Molecule: long non-coding RNA, 94621 nt
Filed under: Cicer arietinum (chickpea)
Lineage: Eukaryota; Viridiplantae; Streptophyta; Magnoliopsida; Fabales; Fabaceae
Description: long non-coding RNA (CARI_LNC000750)
Rfam family: tRNA (bases 7261-7344)
Source: RNAcentral
GCAACUUUACCGCCUUUAAUGUCGGUGAUGUUGACAGAUCCGACGCUGUUUUGAGCGUUACCGGUGGUUUGGAAGAGAGUGGUGGAGAUAGUGGUGCCGUUGGUGAUUUGGUGGAGUUUAGUGUUGUCGAAGUAGUCGAGAAGGAUGAGGAGACUGAGGACGUUUUUAACGACGGAGAGAGGGUGUUUUGAGGUGAUGGAAGAAAACGCGGCGUUGUUGAGGACUAAGACGGUGAUGGUUUGACGGCUGUUGAUUUCGUCGGCGAGUUUGGUUUGAGAGAGGAAGUUGUUGUAUUGACUAUAGUCUGGGUUGUCGGAGAGGAUUUCCGUGAUGUUGUGGGCGGAGAUGGUGGUAGUUAUGGAGAGGAUGAGGAGGAGAGGGAGGAAGAGGAGAGUGUGGUUACCCAUUUUGGAGAAAUGGGUAAAUGGCAGAGAGAGAGAGAGUGUGUGAGGAAGUGAAGUGGAAGAGAAGGAGUUAAAGAUGAAAGUGUCUGUUGUAGUGUUGUUUGUUUGUAUGUGUGCGUCUCCGUGGGGUUUUAUUAACCAUGGUUAACGGGUAGGAUGUGAAUUACAAAAGGAAAUUUCCACUUUAUUUUCAUUUUUCUUUCACAUCAGGUUUUUUUAAAUUGUUUUGGUACAUAUAUAUUUUUUAGAUUUACUAAUUUGUAUGGAGAAAAGUUUUAUGCAUAACAAUCAAAUGGUUUAGAGUUUUUAUCCAUAUAUUAAAAUAUAGUUGUUAGAAGAAAGAUAAAAGUUCAUUUAUUAAAUUAUUUUAAUUAUUAAUGAUUUUUUUUAUUAUUAUUAAUUAAAGUAUAAUAAUAUUUUAAAUAUUAUUGUAUAUAAUAAUUAUAAAUUAUAUUUAUUUUAAGACUUUUUUUUGUUAAAGUGAAGUUGAUUCUGAUAUGACGAAAGUAUUAUCGAGUUUAAUUAUAAUAUUAUCAAUAUAAUAUAAUUUUAUAUUGACUUAUAAUAAAAAGUUAAGAUAUGUUCACAUAAAUUAAUUUUAUAAUCGCAAUUUAAUAAUAAGUGUAAAAUAUUACAUUUUAAUUGGACUUUCAUGUGUGAGUCCUAUUUUCUCUUUAUUAUUUAGAUAUUUGGAUAUGUUUUUAAAAAGUAACAUUGAAAAAUAUAUAUUAUAUAAUUAAAAAAUAGAAAAUUAUUGUGAAAAGAAAGAAAAUGCUAAUAAUAUUCUAAAAGCAUUUAUAAUAUGAGGUGUUUUUCUUAAUAACGUGAAUGUCUAAUAGUUAUCUCCAUUGUGAAAUAAAAGAUAUAAGUGUUCAUGGAAAAGGUUGGUUGCAGAGUUACUAUCUCACUCUUUACUUUUUAUGGGUUCUAUUUACUAGUUUUUAUUAAAAUAAAUGAACAUCGUUAAAAUAUAAUUAUAUUGGAUUGUUAGUUGAAUCUAUUUAAUAAUUUUUUUUCAGAUGUUCAAUUAAAGAGAAUGAUUUUUAUUAAACUCUUUGAUUGAAAAAUUAUAAAAUGAGUUAUACAAACUGAGCUAUUUAAAAAAAAAUGUUAGUUUUUUUAUUGAAAAAUAUAUUACGAUUUUAAGUGGGCUUGAAUAAUGGUUGUAUAGUGAGUAUUGUCGAGGGAUGUACCUACGCAGUUCGAUAAUCAAGUAAAUUUGUGUCUCUGAGUUGGAGACUUUAGGGGGAUAACAUUGUGUACAUUCAACCUACACCAAAUUUCCUUUUAUAAGAUGUCAAAUAAGGUUCACUGAAACAAUAUGUUGGGAUUAUGAACUAUAUAAUCCAAUACUGACGAAUCAUUAUUUGAUUUUUGACACAUGCCUUUGAUGAUAGACGAUAACGGUUGCCAAUGUGCAACUGAGAUUUUGUGAUAUGUUUGUCAUUGUAUGGCCUUAGAAAGAUGUAUGUGAGUUCCAAUAGUCACUCACCUAUAAUCCCUUUUUUUAUACUGGUAUGUCCUAGAUAAAAAAUGUGUCCCUUAUUUGCGAGUUGGACUCAUUACAUAUUGCUUGGUUACAUUCAAAAGAGACUUUAAUGUCAAAUUCAACUAAAAAGUAACUAUAAUCUAACUAAAUAUUAUUUUAAUAACGGAUCAACAUGAAUUACUACCCCUACAAUUCAAUUUUAACUCAAAUUCAGUAUCCAACAUUCUUAUCACUUGAUUAAUGAAAAAUGUUAUUCGUUUAGAAAAUAUUUUGAUAAUAAUCACCUACUUUUUUAUACAUGGUUAUUACUUAGUAAGAAUUUGAUCAAUCAAUAUAUUUUAUUUUUAUACAUUCUUUUCAUUCUUGUAUAAAUCACUCUCAAUUAAUCAUGUAUAUAUAUUUGUACUAGUAAACAAUUGUUAUUGAAUAUAAAUCAUCCUAACUUGUAAUUUUUUUAUAUCAAAACUUUUUUUUAUUAUAAUUAUACUUUUUUAAAUUUUUUUAUAUUUAUCAAAACAUAUAUUUGACCAGUUUUUAUAUAUAAGUGACAUUUUGUUAGUGUAAUGACUAUACUAGAAAAAAAAAAUGUAUUGUCUUAAAAUUCAAUGAAUUGCUUAGUAGAGUAUAACAAUUAACAAUUGUAUCUCACAUAUUGUAGAUUAAAAAUACACAGUGAUAUAAAAUGUAAGGAAAGGAUAAGUAGAGUUAUUAAGAGCAUGUGAGAGGGAUGGGGCAUAAGGGGGGGACAAACAUGAUUUGUUCACAGCUGGAAAUGCAUAGUGAGGUCGUGGCAUUCGUUGCCUUCUUUGCCUUUCUUUUCAUCAAUUCCCUUUUUUCUCUUUCUUAUGUCCUAUUCUCAGUUUUACAAUACUUGGUAUCUUUCUUUUUCUUUUUUCCUUUCUUUUCUCUCCAUCAUUUUCGUGUCUCAUUAUCAAUUGCUAUCUAUUUUCUUUUGUCGUUUCAGAAACAGAAUACAAAAUUUCUACCAAUUUUGAGUCUAUCUUUUUACGGUACCGCGCGUCCACAGAAUCACAUUAUAAUUUUAUUAUAUUUAGUCUUUAUUAUCCGUAAGAUAUUUAUGAUAUUUUUAUUGGUUGCUUAAUUUUGUUUUUGUUGUUAAUUUGCAAGUUUAUUUUGUGACAUUAGAAAUGUAAUUUUUUAUAUUGGAACUAAAAAUAAAUUGUUGAAAUUUUUUAUAAAAUAAAAAUUUAUUUAUUAAUUUUUUUUACAUUCAUGACGUAUAAUUAUUAAACAAUUAGAUGAUUGAACUUAAAUUGUUAAAAAAAAAAUAAUUGAAACAAUUAUUGAUUAAAUAAUUUUUUUUUGUUUACACGAGAAAACAACAAGAGAACAAAAAAAGUUAGAUUAAUUUAAUUUCAUUCAUGUAUUGUCUUCUAGCAGUAGCCGCCAGUAUACUGUAACCAGUUGAAAAGUUUGAUAGUCUCACCUAUUUAAUUACAAUUUUUCUCAUGAUAUUUUUUGUAAAAUUUUAUUAUUCACGUGGGAAAAUUAUUUUUUAUGUGACUGAAAUGAUGAACAAAAUUUUCUCAUUGAAUAGUAAAAACUAAGACACCAUAGUUGAUAAUUUUUUUUUAAGACACCAUAAUGUUACAAAACUAACUAUUAUUUUAGAUUAUGAGAUGAUUAUAUAUUUUUAAUCUUUAUCAUUUAUGUAUGAAUAUGUAAAUAUACCUUAAAAUAUAAAUAUCAUCUACAUAAGACAACACAUUUGGCAAUUGUAAAUAAAAAAGUUAGAAAAAAAAACAGGGGAAGAGAAAGAAUAUGGAAGAAAAGUGUUGAAAGCAAAAACCAAUCUGCAAGUGGUUAAUCUGCACAACGUAUAUGACAGUGUAAAGAGCCUUGCAGUUCUGCUCAAUUUGAAUUUUAAGUGAUUGUUUGGACACAAACAUACUCACACAAAAAUAUAUAAUUUAAUUAAUUUUAAUAUUCUUUUAUCUUUAUUUUUUUUUAAGUGUGCCAAACACUAUUUAUCUAUAUUUAUGUUCAAAUAUUUAUCUUUACUCAUAUAGUCCAGCAAUUUUAUCUCCCCCAUAGAGUACUCUGUUGCACGAUGUACUGGUUCUGAUGAGUUUGUUACCUAGUAACUGCUCCAAAUAUUCACUUUUUUUAACUCUUAAGUUUUUUUAAAAAUUUACUUCGAUAAUCUAUAAUUCGGUAAGGAAAAUGUGAUUAAAAGUUAUUUUAGUGAACAUUUAAAUUCAAAUUAUUUUAAACGAUUUAUUUUUUAAUUAAUCUAUUAACCCUUUUAACUAACCACUUAGUUUCACAAAUUGAUCUCUAAUUGCAUGAUCAAUGACUUAAUAUUAUAAACCAAUUAUAAUAAUAUAUAAAUAAUAUAUGAAAACUUGACGUAUUUUAUUUUAAAGUAGUAUUAUGAAUAUAAUUUAAGACUUAAAUCUAAUAAUAUGUGGUUGGUGUCCACACAUAUUCAAAAAAGAAUGUCCCUGCCAUCCUUAAGCUAAACUUUUAUUCAAAAAAAAAAAAAGAAUGUGUUUCUAUCUUUAUACAUAAUAUUAUUUAUUCUAGUUACCAAAAAUAUGUAUGUAUUAUUUAUUCCUUCAAUAUAUAUUUAGGAAAUGUUGAAACAUAUUGCUGGCAAGAAGUGGCUAACAAUACCAACUUUAGUGUCUGUGAUGUUAAAGGACAUCGAGGCCAAAACUUGUUCAAAAGAGAAAUUAUUGCGAAUUGCUAUGUUGGUGUUUGACCUACAUGUGCUUGUCAUAUGAUCCAUUUAUGACUAGUGGAAAGUGGACUGCACAUCAUAAUAUAACUAUGAUCAUGUAACAGCUGCAAUAAACUUUUUCAUAUGUAGUGCCAUAAAUACAACUCAAUUGAUAAUUUUAAUCACGUUAAUAUAGAGGGAGCUCAAUUUUGAAUUUGAAAAGAAAACAUUUUCAUACGUGUACGACGUUGGCAUCACUACCUACUUAUUUUGACUCGUUUUAUUUUAUUCCAACAAUAACACUGUGGUACAAAAUUACAAAUCAAGCUCCUGCGUUUUCUUUGACUUCACAAAAGCUUCACUCCCUUUGCUUGUGACUAGAGUAAAUGUCGUAGUCCUUUUUCUUGUUACUUCACAACGUUAUGAAAGAAUAAUUAUGUAAAAUCUACCUUUUUGGAUUAGUUUUAUGUAUGAGUAAUUAACGUGUUAACAAGAUUAGUACUAUAAAUAUAUCGGCUAAAUUGGCUAGAGGAAUUUUUGGUCUACACCUAAUAUUUAGUGAUACUCAUUUGACACUUCAAUAAAAUGAUUAAUAUAUAAAAAUAAUUUUAUUUAUUAUUUAAAUUUUGUUUUCUUUCUUUACUAUCAACCACUAACAAUGGGGUGCUAAAUGAGUGUAUUGCUAAAUGAGUGUAUUCUAUAUAUGGAUAUGGAUAUUGAUGUACAUCUAUCACUGCUCAAUUGGCUAUGUACAAAACUUAGUUGAUGACACAAAUAUCCAUUCAGAUUCAUAUUACAACUUUGUAUUGUUUAUCUUCUUCAUUUUUUUAUUUAAAUAAAAGGUCGUCAACACUUCAAAUUUGAAAAGAUAAAUAUUCUAAUUAUUUUGAUUAAUUAUGUCAACAUUUAUAGAUAUUUUACAGUUAUAUAUUAUUGAUUUAGAUGCUGUAAGUUUAUUCGUAGAUUUAUUAUUUUUAUUUUUUAGUGACUUUGAUUUAUGUUAUCUUCAAUGUACCUUAUCAAUUAAAAUUAAUGAACAUCUUUAUGUUACUUUAAAAAAAAAUCGCAAGAACUCUUCGUUUCAAUUCAAUUAUGCAAGUCCUGACUUGCAAAUUGUAACUUUUGCAUAAUCAUCAUAGUUCAAGAUAAUUCCGACAAUUUCACCAAAAUACCAAAGAUAUAAGCUUAAACUUCUAUGCUUACCACCAUGUAUUUUGGCGUUUUAGUUAAUAUUUAUUUUAUCAAUGUAAAUUAUUAAAUUUAGUACCUUUAAAAAGUAUUUAUUUAAAUAGUUAAAAAAUUAUACUAAAAAAUAUGCUUAAUAUAUAAUUACAUUAUACGGAUCACUUAUGCAAACUGUCUCUUUCAAAUAUCACCUUUAAUUAGAAAUUAAAUAUGAUGAUUUUUGGUUUGGUGUAGUGAAAAAAAUGAUAGGACCAAAGAAACUUUGAAGGAACAAUAUUUUAAUGUAAGUGGUCAUUUAUUCCACUUUACUCAUUCUCUCACUGCAUUUGUGUAUACAUUGUGAGUUCAAAUUUAAAUUUUUGUAAGCAACAUAAAGGUUUGCGAUAGAACAAUUAGUUAUCCAAAAUCUGCCACUCAUAAUGAUGUUAAUGAUCACUACAAUCUCACUAGGACUACAAAUGUUUGUUCAUCUGAGCCAUUCAAUACUUCAACAAGUUUUGUCAGCCAAACAGAUGCUUAUUUACUUCAUCUUAGGCUUAAUGUAAUUUUCUCUUUUAUAUCUUUUCAAUUCUAGUAUAUCAGGAGUUACAAAAUUGAGGUUCAAAUUUGGAUUGAUAACAAUUAGUAAAUUUAGUAUUUGUUGAUAAAAAAAAUUUACGAAUUAGACAUUCAUUAAUAAAGAGCAUUUACUAACUAUUAAGAUAAACUAUCAUGUUAUGAAUAUAAAUUCGAAAUUUCGUAAUUAUACGUAUAAAUUUUUAAUAGUGUUUAUCAUUUCAUAAAAUAAAAUAAAAACUAAACAUAUAUGAGUGGUCAAUGAGUUUAAAUGUUUGACUCUAACUUUUGGCCUAUCACUUUGCGGUAAGAUUAUGAUAUAUCUCUUUUUGAUGUACUAAUAUUUUUUUAAAAGACAAAAUUAUUAAUUAUUAGUUUUUGUUAGUAGAAGAAAUUGAACUCAUGACUUUCUUGUAACUCUAAUCCUUAUGUUUUUAUCCAAACCACUAAACUACUUUAUAACUCUUUACAUAUAUAAUAAAAUCUUAGAGUUUUGAAAUUACCCUUUUAACCUUAAAAACAUACUUGAAGACUUUUCUUCAAGAUUAGAAGUUUAAUCUUAAGAGUUAUAAAAUUACACUAAAGUUUUAGCCCACUAUAAACACAAGUAGUGAUGGUCCAUGUUAAAAUCCACGGAAAGAAUAUGAUCAUCCAUUAUUUGUGAUCCCAAAACAUGAACAUUAAAGAAGCAUAAGAAUACAACAUGUAAAACUGAAAAUAUUGAUUCUCAUUCCAACCAUAUAUAUAGUACUAUGAAAUGUAAACAAUUUUUUUCUUUAAACAUAUAUAUAUAUAUAUAUUGCACUGUUUAGUAAAAACAUACCAAUAUUUAGUAAAAUAUAAAAUCGAAGGACUUGCACAAAAUUACACAUUUUUCAGGGAUAGUGGGUUUAGAGUGUCAUUAAGUAAAUACUGAUAUGAUUAACAGAAAAUUAAGACAAGAAGUCAGGAUGGCCGAGUGGUCUAAGGCGCCAGACUCAAGUUCUGGUCUUCGAAAGAGGGCGUGGGUUCAAAUCCCACUUCUGACAAUUUUUAUUUUAUUUUUUACAUUAUUAAAUUAUUCAAAAACUAAUUAUUUUGCAUUAUGUGACAUAUAUUGACUGUAUAUAUUUUUACCUACUAAAAUAUUAAUAACAAUUCAUACAUUAUUUAACUAAAAUAAAUUAUCAUUUGCUAAAUUAUAAAGUGUUUACCUGAGGUGAAUAAAAAAAAACUAAAGAAGGAUAGAAAGCGAGAAAUAAAUUAUCAUUAUUUUUGUGUUUUUUUAUUUAUUUAUUUUAAUUUAUGUUUUAUAAUUUUAAAAUAAUAUUAAUUGUUUUAAAUCCAAAUGGAUUAAAAUAAUCAUAGCUGACAUUUUAUAAUUAAAAAGAUAUGUUCAUGUAAGUGGUGGCUGAGUCAAAAUCAAAAGGAUGUGAUUUAUGCAAACUAUGUUAGUUAAAGGGACAAAAAUAUUAUUUUUUAAAGAUCAAAAUUGUCUGACUUUUAAAAUUCAAAAAGAGUAAUAGUAUAUUAUAGCUUAAAAAUAACUGCUUUUAACUUUGCUUAGUUGAUGUAGUAUAAUAGUGUGUAUUUUUUUUUUCUCUAGUUUUAAUUUCAAAUAAAAAUAAAUUUUUUGUUAAAUACUACAAAUUCAAAACUAAGCAACUACCAUAUAUGAUUAUGUAUAUCAUAGUUCUUUUCCCCAUCAUCAAGAAAUAUUUUCUUGAAAUCAGUUUGACAUCAACUAAUUCUUUUAGAAAUAUGCAUGCCAUUCUCAAUUAAAUAUGGGACAUGUAUGUUGGUUUGGAGUUGGUUUAGAGAGAACAUAUCUCACUUCGUAUUGAAGAUAGGGACUUUAAAAUGCUUAUAGAUAUAGUUACAAACACUUGUAAGUUUAGUGGAAAUGUUUCAUUUAAUAGUAACGCAUUCAUAAGCUUUUGAAUCAUGAUUGACAUGUCUAAAUUUUUCAUAUCUAAAUGAAGGAAAAUAAAUAUGUUGAUUGACUCGUCUCUUUUAACUUUUCUAUAUACUUUGACUACAAGCUUUAUUGUAGAGAAUCCUCUUAGUGAUCUUUACAAAAUUAUUUUUGAUACAUUUUUGAAACUUGUAUAUCUAAAACUGUUCAAUUAAUUUUGUAGUCUUUUCUUUUUUGUUGGACUUUUGCCUUCUCUUUCUAAAAAAAUUUAGAAAUAUUUUAUACUUUUUAUAAACUUCACCAGUAAAUUCUUCAUCCUAAUUUUGAAUUUUUACUAUAUUCAUUUCAGUCUCCUUAUUGUAAGAAGUUGGUAUAUGAAAUAUGUAAAACCGAGAAAAUGCAUCAUAUCUUGAGUAAGCUUUAACUUAACUUCCAAUUGUUGAAAAUGAAACUUCUCUCAUAAUUACCUAACCAAAACAAAACCUUGAGAAUAUUUUUAUGAUAAAACCAUGAUAAUUCAUCAUUACAUCCUAAAGUAUGAAAUAACUUGAGAAUUUGAUAAUAACUUGGGAUUGCCUACUUUGCUUUGUAGCGGAAUUCAAAUAUCUAUGGGUGAAUAUCUAUUAUGAUAGUAUCGGUAUUGGUAAAAUUACGAAAUACAUCAUUUUUAUUAAAAAUUAAGGUAUUGACGAAAAUAAUUUUUUAUAUAUAGCUUGAUUGAGAAAGUUAAAUAUAAUUUUUUAUAUAAUUUAAUUAAAAAAAUUAAAUUGUUUAUUUAUAAUACAAAAUCACAAUAAAAAUUUAAAGGAUCGCAAAUUGUAUUUGCUUACAAUAAUUAAUUAACUCAAAUAUAUAUAAUAAUAUAUUAAUAUAUACAAAAAUCAUCAAUAUCAUUCAUAAUAAAAUAAUAUAAAGCUCAGAAUACCGCGUACAUAUACCAAUACCGAAUAAAUAUUAUGUGGUUCGUAAUAAAAUAAUAUAAAAAAUAGAAUAUCACGUCCAGGUACAAAUACCGAAUAAAUAUCCGGUCCACUAUUUUACAGUUUUAAAAUUACUCAUGCAUCAUAGGAAAAUAUAUAGCAUAUUGUCUUCCCCUCGCUCUAAAUGAAUAAUAAAUACUACCAAUAUCCUUUGAUAACCCUUAGUCCCUUAUUUAUAAGCAAUAUUUACCAAUUUGAAAUUUGCUUAUUUUGUGUUUUGAUGUUUCAAAUUUGUCUUUCCAAAUUAAUGUUUUAGUUAAAUAAUAACAUCAAAAUGUUGUAAAUUAAUUAAGGUAUCUUCUGUAAAUUAUUUUUAUUCUAUCUAGAUUUUUUAUUCCCUUCCCCAUUAAACAGCUAAACAUCUAAGACAAAAUCUUCAAUAAUGUACAUACACCCAAAUCCAAAUAUUAACUUAAUAUGAUCCUUGAUUUUUUACUAUUGAACUAAAUUUUUAAAAUUUUAUCUUUUAUCUGAGGACAGAUUGAUUGUAUCUAAUUAAUAAAAUUAAUAAAUGUAGAAAAAAUAAUAUCCAAUUAUAACUAAAAGACAAGUCAACUCUGCUCAUUGCUUAGCUCGAGCAUUUCAUGGCUUAUGACCAAGUUUAUAAUCAAUUUCAUUUUAUAUUAUUUCCCUUAUUUUCAAUACAAUAAGAUGCAGUAGCUUACUUUGGAUUUUCACUAUCAUUUGAAAAACACUCAAAUAAUGUGUAACCAUACUAUCAUAAGAUAUUUAAUCAUAUAAAAUAUUGAUAUGAUAUGAAAUUUCAUAUAUUCUAACAAACAAAAAAUGGAAGUUUAAAAAUAUGAUUAUAUAAUGUACAUAUAUAUAUUGGUAGCCAUUCCAUUCAAGGCUGUAUGUAAUGUGCAGGUCUGUUAAGUUCAGAACAAAGCCUUCAAGGCUACAUGAUUUCACAUCAUAGCCAUCAACAAACGGAAGCUUCUUUUUUCACCGUCAUAUAUUUCAGAAGUACACAUCCAGAAAAACAAUUUUUUUUUCCCAUUGGAUCUGUACUCCCAGAGAAGAACAUGAUUAUUUUUCCUUCUGAAUGCAUACUUACGGACGACACUGGUUUUUUAGAAACAUAUGGCGAGUUAAAAGUAGCUCUCUAAACAAAUAGCUUCAACUUGAUUAUCAACAAACCUUGAUGCCCUUAUCUUGCUCUAUUUCAGUUAAUAUACAUUUAAUUUGAAUUUUAUGCACAUGCUCCCAUCAUAGCAUGUUCUGUGAAUAAGACCUUAAUUUGAGCCAAACUCUUCAUUCCACUUCUCAAGCUCUUCCCAUUUGCUUUUGUUUAAACUUGGUCUUAUGACAGCCAUUGCUUUCUUGAAGUCCUCAUACCUUAGUCCUCUUACCUGGUAAAACCGAAAAACAUUAACAACAAAUUAAGGUUUUCACUUACAAGAUUAAUAAUAAUCCGCAAUGAUAAUUAAAGCAAUUUGAAUCUAGCAUGCCUGAUUUGCCUUGACAGUAAGAAUGUUAGGACCCAGCUCUCUAAUUGGCAUCAUUGCAGCUUCUUCACACAAGGCUUGUAGAUCACUUCCAGAGUAUCCUGAAAACCAAGCAAGACAAUAUAUCAGUCAUAUUUGGACACAAAAAAACAAAGAAAGUAAAAGAAAAUAAUAUCUCAACAUAUUACUUUCCUUCAGAUCGUGACUCAAUCUAUACUUACCUUCAGUCUCGUUUACAAGCAUUUCUAGAUCUCUACCUGUAACAUAAAAAUCAAAAGUUUUUAGUUAAGAAAAAAGAAGUGUGAGUAAUAACAUAUUAGAAUAAAUAAAUUCUUGAUCUUAAUUUUAUGAAGCAUGUCGAUCUACAAAAUUAAAAGUGUAUAAAAGAACGUACAAACUCUCCCUUAUCAAAAGAAGUAACAAGGGAAAAAAUAGCAUAUUGCUUACUAGGUAAAGAGAACGCUUGACCCUUGAGUUUAUGUUUUAGCAGAAGUUUCCUAACAUUUUCAUUUGGUAAAGGUAUGUAUAUUCUCUUAACCUAGCACAGUAAAAAUAAAAACAGUUAGUAAAGCAGAAACAUGUGGUUCAAGUUCAUUAUAAUUUUAUGACUACUAUCCAUGAUAUAUAAUUAUGCAUAGAUUUCAAUGGGGAAAUGGCAUGACUCUUUACAAGAUAUGCUUCAAUUUGUUUUGCUGUUUUCUUUCUUAUUGGAGGAGUUACUACUUACAGGUUUCUCUAUGCAACAUAUCAGAAAAGUGUUAGAAAAAGUGAUUAUAAAAUGAAGAGUGUCGGCAACACACGCUCUAGCACACAUUUUUCUAAUAAAGUUAGAACAGACGAUCGUUUAGUUCCAAGUGAUAAAUUAUUCUCCACUUCACAUUGGCAACAAUAACAUAACGUUUUGGAAUUAUAUCAUAUUUUUAAUCCAGUUAAGGACAAUGAAGAAAUUCUCACCAGUCUCCUAAGAACUGCAUCAUCCAGCUCCUGUGGCUUAUUGGUCGCACCUGUAUUCAGAAAAGUCAAGUUAUUAUGUUUUCAUGAGUUUUUUCAAAUUCCAGCAUUCCCUAGAAGAUAAUUUUAACCAUAUAAUGUCAUUUGUCAAAGGGGAACAAAGAUGAGAAACUGCAACUAUGCUAAAAUAGAUAAACAAAAGCUCUUCUCAUGGUAGACAGGCUGCAAAUAUUACAAAGAAUCUAAACCAAAGCCCUAUUCAUGGUAGACCUGCUGUUCUGCCUAUUACCAGUAGAUUGGUUCAAAAGUCAGACCCAUGCUCGUUACAGAAAGAGAACGAUUAUUAUCAGAUGUAAUACUUACCAAUUACAAUCACAAUAUCAUCAGGAUUGGAUGUCACCCCAUCAAACUGGAUAAGAAAUUCAGAUUUUAAUCGUCUGCUGGCCUCAUUUUCAUUUGCCAUCCUUGUUGACAUUAUACUAUCAAUCUGUUAUCAGAUAAAAAAGAAAAACUAAUAUCAUUUGAAUGAAGUGGAUAAAAUUUAGACAUGAAGCAUGCAACCUUUUCUUUCUUCUCCGCAGGCAAAUUCGCCUAUUUUAACUAGUAUGACUCCAGGAAGAGAAAACUUAACUGUUAAACACAACAUAUAGAUGAGAGAGAUACCUCAUCAAUGAAAAUUACAGAUGGCUGUCUCGAUAUAGCUACCAUGAAUAGUGUCCGUACAAGCUUUUCACCUUCACCAACCUGUUGAGUAGUUAAUCAUGGUGAAACUUCUCAAGUCUUAACAAUUAACAUAAACACAUUAUAGCAUAAGAUAUGAAAUGAAACUCAACAAAUACAAGUUAGGGUAUGUAGAUAAAGAUGUACCCAUUUUGACGUCAAGGAAGCUGCUGUGACAUUAAAAAAUGUUGCUUCUGAUUCUGAAGCCACUGCUUUGGCAAGCAUGGUCUUGCCAUUACCAGGCGGACCAAAGAGAAGUAAACCUAGAACGAAAAGGUUCAACAGUUUCAACACUUGGCAUUUUUAUUCUAGAAUUGACAUCAUUAUCUAUUACAUAACCCAAAGUGAUGAGGUUCUAAUGCAAUACCUUUAGCUGGCCUUCGAAGACCAGUGAACAAGUCUCUUCUCUUAGUUGGCAAAAUAACCAUCUCCAUUAACGCUUGCUUUGCUUUUUCAAGACCACCUGCAUUUCGAUACUAAGAAUCAAACAAAUGGUAACCCAUAAAAGUAAAAAUAAAAUGUGCAUAGAUUCUUACCAACAUCGUCCCAUCUAACAGAAGGACUUCUAUCUACAAUGGCAGUGUUAAUCAUUUCAACCAAUUUUGUGUCGUAAUUUGCACCAGAUGUUUGAUUAGAUUUCGGGCUUUGAACUUUAUUCACCUCAUCUUUUUUUUUAGGAUACUUUUGUGUCACUUUUUUCGUAGUAUUUGAUAGUUUAGUUGGAAUUGCAGCAGUUUGUGCAAGGCUUGAGGUGCUCUGCAAACAUUUUUGGGGAAAGGGAAAGGAACAUUAAAGGUUCAUAUAUAAUCAUAAAAUCGGUACCAAUUCCCAAUGUUCAGUGAAUCAGACAGUUUAUAUAAGUACUAUGCUAAGAACACCGUACAUUUUAAGAAGCACCGACUGCAUUGAUGCAAAAAUGAGCUAAAGAAAAAACUCUGUACUUCAAGUUUAGAGAGAUCAUAGCAUACCUGAUUGGCAACUGCACUACCUGGAAUGGUAAAAUAGGAAUAGGAACAAGUGGAGGACGAAAAAGACAAUAAGAACUCUUGGAAAAGUCAUAAUGGAAAGGGAAAAAGAGAUGGUUGCUUAAAGAGAUGCAAACCUGCUCGUCUAUUGAGAGUCUGCAAUCUUUCAGAAACUUGUCCCUGCCAUUUUGAUAUCUUUUGACGAUAUGAUUUUACCUUCUGUUGUUCACUGUCAUAGAAUCAUAGAUCCAAGUCAGAAAAAACAACAUCAAAAACAUAAGAUCAUAUGAAGCACAGACACAAACACAGAUUGACACUAGUGAUAAUUUUUAAAAAGUGGAAUUGAUUGAAUGUAAACCAUAUGCGUCGGUGUCGUGUUGGUUGCCAAAUCAUGCCUUCAAUCUAAUAUAUGUCUAUGCUACAUUUAUAAAGUAUGUUAGCUUCUAGCUUUUUUUCCAGGCAAACGUUAGUAUGUUAGUUAAAUUAGUAUCCUUCUUUUUUGAACCCUGGUCCUUUCACUCCUUCAAACCUUAGCCCAAACCAGUUGAGCUACUCAACCCCCACUACCUACUAGCUUAUCAGAGAUUUUCAAUUAAAAAAAUAUAUGGUUCUCACUUACAACACAAGUCCUUAUAAACUCACAGGUGUUUACGGAGAAAUGAGAAAGCUACUAUUUCCAAUUUUCCAUAAAUGCUUGUUAAGAAGUUAUUUAAACUAGCUAUAAAUCUUCAAUUAAAACAAAGAUUAAGUUAUAAUAAUGUUUCUUUGUGCUUCAAUAAUUAAUAACAGUUGUUUAUUCUGUCCGAAAAAAAAAACUCAGCUAGCACUAAACUAAGAAUUACCCAUUAAAAUAUUUUGCCAUUCAAUCUUAACAUUCCCCGUUAAUCCUAACAAGAUUCAUAAUAUUUUGUCACCUCCAAACCAACUAACGAAAAGCCACAAAUAAUCGAAAAAUCCCAAAAAAAAACAAUUCAUGAUAAAUUUUUAUCGACCAAAAUUAAAAAGCCAACAUUAACAGCAAAAAUAAAGAAGUUGAGGAACGAACGUGGAAGUGAUGAAGGAAGGAACAGGAGUUGAAUUAGCUUCGAGAAGGAUCCUAUGAGCAUUCCUGUAGUGAAGAAUAGCGUCAUCGAUCAAACCCCACUCUUCAGCCCUAACAGCCUUAUCGAUCUCUUGUGUGGCCAAAUCGAAGUAUCCUUUGAGCUUGUAAGCAACGCGUUCGUUCGAAACAGAAGAAGAAGAAGAAGAAGAAGAAGAAGAAGAAGAAGCAGGAGAAACUUCCAUUGGUGAAUUGGUUUGAGAAGAAGAAGAUUCGUUAUGCGGAGAGAAAACAGAGUUAAAGGAAUCGAUUAUUCCCUGCAAGAAACUCAUUCCUCACAACAACUAACGCGAUUUUCAUCGUCACUUUGUUAUAUGCAACGCUGCAAAAGGCAAUUUUCGACUUGCUUAUUUUUAAAAUUAAUAAAUAAGGAAGUUAAUUUAUUUCAUAACAAUUUUCUACAUAAAAAUCUUUACCUAUACAUUUAAUAUGUUCAACAUUAUUAAUAAAAGUUAUUUUUUAGCAUAGUUAAAUUAUACUUCAAUUAAUAAAUGAUGAUAUAGAUAUAUUAGACAUUUUGUUUUGAGCUUCCGAUGGUAUUUACUAAUUUUUUUAUAUAAAAAAAUAAUAUUAUUUCACUAUCUUUUAAUCACUGUCACUAUUUUUUCUUAUAAACAAUAUUAUUUAACUGUUUACACAAUAAAUAUGAUAAGUGAUAUAUUUUAAAAAUCGUUAAAUAUAUUUUCAUAAAAAUGCGGUCUUAUCACAAGAAAAAUAGAGAUUACAAGAAAAUUAACCUAGGAGUAAAAACAUAGAGAAAUCUAAAUAUUUUGAUGAGUAGAGAUAAAAUUAUAUAUAAUAAAUAUUUAUAUAUAAAAAUAAGUCAAUUCAUAAACGAUAAAAUAAUAUUAUUAUUAUUAUUAUUAUGCAAAAUAAUAUAUAAAAAUUAUUUUAUAAUAUAUCCAAAAAAUUGAACACACUUUAACAUUUAAAGAUUAAUAUAUUUUUGAAAUAUUGUAAGAUUUUUUCAUUUAUCAACAUUAUAAAAAAUAUACCUCAUCAUGUUUAUGACUAAACAAUCAUUUAAAAAUUCAUUUUAAUACAACUUUAUAUUUUAUUCUUCGCAUAAUUUAUACAUAAGAUAAAACUUUCUUCAAAGAUUCUAUAUCAAGCAACAUAAAAUACAAUAUAGUGUGUCCUUAAGUCAUUGUUCAAUUGACAAAAUAUCGAUAUUGUUAGGUUGAACGUUUGAUUUCAAACUAAAAAUUCACAAUUAUGUGAGUUAAUUAUGACCAAAUUUAUAAUUUCUUUUUUUUUUUAAUAAAAAAAAAUACAAUACAUUCUCCUAGUGAAGAAUAUAAUCUGAUAAUAACAAAUGAGAUUAAGUAAAGAUUGAAAGGUGGAUGAUCAACUAUCUUUGAUUAAGCUCCUAUCACAAAAGCUACCACAAGAUCCUAACAAUCCAAUAUGCUUCAGGAUAAUCCAAAUCGGGCCACAAGCUACAUUGGGUCAAGAUAGAAGCCCAAAACUAAAUACUAACUCCCAAAAUAUUGUCCAAGUUUAGUCUUACACGAAAUUUGAUUUCAAAAUUCACGAAAUAAAAGAUUAGUCUCUAAAAUUUAUUAUCUUCAAUCAAUCAAGUUCAUCUGGAAAUCAAUUUAAAUAAAUAUAUAGUUUAAUGGAAAAACUAAUAAUUUUUUAGAAAAAGGCUCCAAUGGAGUAUAUCUUAAACAAGAGCACUAAACAAAUUUGUAAAACAUGCUCCAAACCAGUAUACCUUCAAUUUCGAUUAUUAAUCCAUUAUUUUAUUUAUUUGAUAUAUUUAAUUAUUUGAUUUCUUUUUCUUUGACAGCAUAAUGAUCUGAUUUCUAUAAUUUUGAUUAAUCCACGAUUAACUAGUAAAAAAAAGUAACCAUUAAUUGUGAAAUACUAGAAUAUACAUUAUUAUCCUUUUUUCUUUGAAGUCCUAAUCUUGAGUUUUUUUUAUAUCUAGGCUUGGAGGUGUUCCAUUACGUCCACAUAUCAUCUACACAAAGUUCAAGAGAGACUAAGAGGGGAAACAAAUUUAAAGAGUGCGAAAGAGAUAGAGAAUAUUAUUGAAUAUAGAGGGCUCUAUAAAUAAAAUGACUCAGAAAAUCUAAAUCCAUUUAUACAUUAUAAUAAAACAAGCUUUAUUUUAUGGCAAUUGUGACAUUUGUAACUUGAGUACUUAUCUAUUGUAAUAUUUCUAUUAAUAGUAAUAAAUAUGUAAUUAGUUGUUUAAAUUAUUAUUAUUUGUUUAUUUAAAUUUUAGUCAUUUUUUUAUCUACUAAAUUUAAGAAUAGCAUUGGUUUUCUUCCCCUUCACUUGCCUUGGAAACUUGCACAUUUUUACUGUAAUAAUGCACCUCAUUUUUUUACUAAUAGUACACCUCAUAUUAUUACAUGUUCUCAUAUUAUCAGUAAAAAUAAUUAAUCUAUACAAUAUAAUUUUUCAAAAAAUUUUCUAUGGCAAGGUUGUUAUUUUUCAUCUAAUAGAAGAUUUUGUUUAAUAUUAAUCUUCCACAAUUUGUACCCUAUAGAAUAAAAUACAAAUAAAAGUGGUAGUUUAAAUGUUGAUGUAUCUGAUUAAAAAUUUAGUUUAAAUACGUCUAUUUUUCGACUACUAUUUUUAUUUAUAUAGUUAUAUUUGGAGGGAGUAGUAAUUGACAACAAAUUAUGCAUUAAAAAUUUAAUAUAUAUUUUAAUUUUCUAGGAUAGUGUUCCCGAAGGUUAUGGAGUAAAUUUUGAGAAUCAUAAUAUCAAGAUUGAUAAAGAUUUAAAGAUUAUUGCGUUGUUGUUUGAGUUUGUUAUAUUAUUUCAAAUAUUUUGUUUGUUGUUUAUGAUGGUUCGGAUUGAAAAAAAUAUAUGAUGUUUUAUGUUAUUUGAUUUCUUUUUUCUUUCGUCUUCUUUUUAUGUUGUUAGUUCUUGAGUUUCCAAAUUCAAUUUACGUAAGAAAAACAAUAACAAAAAUGGGAAUUGUGUUUAGGGGUGUGGUGGCAGCAAAUUAAAUUACCAUGUUAUUUAAAUCCAUGUUGAGUAGUAGGUCCGUCAUAUGACACAGUAGUGAAGGAAAUUAGCAAAGUUUGAUGUUUUUUUUGGGUUUGGAAGCAUGUAUUCCAAUACAAGUGUCAAAAAGUAAUUCUGCAUAAUUAUGCGGUUCAAUUGAUAUAGUAGUUCUUUUUGUUCUGGUUAGAGUAAUUUUCAGGGAAGUUUUUUGCAACUGCAAACAAAAAUUGGAAGCUAAAUCUAAGAAUAAAUUAACUUAAAUAAUUUAUGGAAAUAAAAUAACAUACAAAUAUGUAUUUCAAUUGAAAAUUUUAGGCGAUGAACAUUCAAGAUAUAAAGAAUGAUAUAACAUCAUUUGGUGUGUUGGUAUUUAUGAAAACAGCUAUAACAAUAUAUAAUCUAGUUAUAUGACUUAAUUAAGUCUAUUUCCUUGGUUACUUCAAAAGACAUAGAAGAAAAUGAAUUGUCUUUUAUGUAGUUAAAUUCAUUAAAAUAGAUAACAACAAUAUAGAUGUUCAAAAUUUAAUGAUUUAAUGAUAAUUUUUAUGUUUCAUUUUUAAUAGUUAUCAAUUGUAUUGUAGUCUUUUUAUUUAUAUAUCAAUUUGCACUAAAACUCGUGAAUUACUGUAAUAAAUUAGUGUUUGGUUUGCAAGUCUACUGAUUUUCUUGAUUAUUGGUAAUAUGCCUUUUGUUCAUAUAUGUUUGAAAAAAAGGCAGUCCAUUGCAAUGUUAUUAUUUUUGAAUUUGGCCAAUUCCUUAUUGUUUAUAUAUUGAAUUGCAGUUUUAUUAUUUUUGAAUAUUGGUCAAUUCCUUGCUGCUUAUAUAUUGAGUAGCAUAGUAAUUUUCUUGAAAAUUUCACAAAUAUCUUGAAUAUGGUUGAAUAAAGGUAUUGCCUUGCAGUCUUAUUGUUUUUGAAAUUUGGUCAACUCCUUGUUGUUUAUAUACUGAAUUGCAGUCUUAUUGUUUUUGAAUUUGGUUAGUUUCUUGCCACUUAUAUAUUGAGUAGAUUUGAAUUUGGCUAAUUUCUUGCUGCUUAUAUAUUGAGUAGAAGACUAAGUCUGAAGAAACAUAGUAAUUUGCUUGAAAAUUUCAGAAAUCUCUUUAAUUUUGAUACUAAUCUUAACUAAAGGGGAAUUGAUAGUCUGUAAUAUUUGUCUUUCAAUAUUUAAAAAUUCAAUAAAACAAUAACUAAAUAUAUGCAGUUGAAAACUUAGCGUUUAGUUUAUCAGUGACAACAAACAAAAUGAUAACGCUUGUUAACAUUGUAGAACCAAUGAAUAUAACAAUAUACACACAAACAAAAUUAUAAUACCUCCUUCUCUGGUUUUGUUUUUUCACAACUCAUUGAAAUCCCUAACAUUCCAUCUUCAUUGUUUCAUAGGUAACAACUUCCAAAUUUCCAACUUCUUAUUGUUUAAUCCUUCUUGUCUAAGUGAAACAAAUAAGAAAUGAAUGACUAUCUAUCAAACUUGAAUAGUUUUGACAAUUUAAUGGUGAAUUGAAGUAAAUUAGAUGUUUGAAUAAGUGGUUUGGUUUAUUGGAAUUAGUGGUAAUUAAUGAAUGAAUUGAAGUGUAUUAGUGUUUGGUUUGCAAGUCUGAUUUCUUGAUUUUUUUAAUUCCUGGUAAUCUGCCUUUGCUCAUAUCUAUUUGAAAAAAAUAUUCUACUAAGUGUUAUUGUUGUUGAAUUUGGCCAAUUCCUUGCUCCUUAUAUAUUGAAUUGCAGUUUUAUUAUUUUUAAAUUUGGUCAAUUCCUUGCCGCUUAUAUAUUAAGUAGCAUAGUAAUUUGCUUGAAAAUUUCACAAAUCUCUUGAAUCUUUUAAAGUUUGAUACUGGUCUUAUGGUAAAAGGAGUGAAUAGUAUGCAAUAGUUAUAUUUCAACCUUUGAAACUGCAAUAAAAAAAACAAAAAAAAACAUACGUAGUUGAAAACUUAGAGUUUGGUUUAUCGGUGGCAAUAGACAAAAUGCUAACUCUUGUUAAUAUUGUAGAACUAAGAAACAUAACAAUAUAUACACAAACAAAAUUAUAUAUAAAAUUUGUUUUAAAUAUAAUGUAUAUAAAUAUCAAGUAUACUAAGUGCCAAUCACUCAAAUACUUUGAGUAACCUCUGUAAAUCUUUGAAAUUUCAACUAAAUACUUUAACAGUAAUAUUAGUUCAAUUAAAAGAACAUAUUUGUGUCAAUGUAAAUGUUAAAUGUUUUAAUUAUGUAUUUCAUCCCUCAAAUCUUCUUAAAACUUUCUUAGUAAGGUUAUUGUUAUUAUUUUCAAAAUAGAACCAAAGCAAGGUAAUUAGUAAGGUGAAAUUCCAUAGCCAAAACAAGAUACUCUUUUUGUAAACAUAAUUAGUAAGAUAAAAUGUAGUUAUUUUCAAAGCAAAUUCUUCACAUCGAAGUAAAUCACAUAAUUUUGUUCAAAUUAUUUAAUGAUGUUAGAACCUCGUCAUGUAUAGAAAUAAAAAUUUCAAUAUUUUCAACGUAAAUAAUAUUAAAAUACAAAUUUAAAUAAAUAAGUAUUUGAUAAGGUAUAUCGUUCUCAAUUAGUUCAUCCAUUUUACAACAAGUAAUAUUACAUUUAAAUAGAUGCUAGAUCGUGUUGGAUUUAAGAACUUCAUUUAUCAUAUAAAGUUUAUGUGCAUAUUGAUGUAUAUUCUAAUAACUCAACUAAUCAUACACAAAAAAAUAUUUAUUUUGAACACAUACAUGAUAAUUUUGCACAUUAAAACAUGUCAAUUAAAUAAGAUAAGUGUAGAUUGAUGAUUUUAAAAAAUAAAAGAAAAGAAAAGAAAAUCAUGAUAUUGGGUACUGUAACUUCCUAGAGAGUAAUAUAAGGGUAAUUGAGAUUUAACACCAAUGAAAAAUGGGCUACUGUUUUUUGUUUCAUUGGAGUUUUAUUUAUUUAUUUAUUUGUUGUGUUGCUAUUUCAAAAUGGAUAGAGCUAUUUUGCUAUUUUCUUUUGCAGGUGAAAUGUGACUCUCAUCUUAUUCACGAUCUACUGUUUUUUAUUUUUUGUAAGGUUGAAGAGUUAGGUAGAGACCCCACAUUGGAUGAGGUCUUUUUAAAAAUUCACACUAAGAAGAAGGACAACUCUUGAGUUGAUGAAAGAGCAAAAAAAAUAUGUAAGUCAUAUUAAAUCAUUCAUUCUUUCAUUUGUAUUUAUUGUAAAAGUAAUUUGAUUAUGUUACAUAUUUUCUAUUUGAGCAGCAAACAUUUUAAGGUAAGUUGCAGCAUGCCUUCAAAGGCGGGGAAACAUCUAGUAGUUGUAGCCAAGUAUGUUGUUGGAGAUAGAUCAUCGCUUUAUAGAUAAAGUGUCGUAAGUCUAGUCACAUAUUCUCUUUCAUCUAGAGGUUGCACCAAUGUCUUGUCUCAACACUCUAAUGGGAUAGCUGCACAAAUAGUAGCAUUUGGGGAGUAAGCAAAAAUGGUAGAACACGAGGCACGAAAGGCGCGGAGGAGCUAGAGAAAGUUGAGCAAUGUCGACAAAAGGAAGCUAGGGAAAGUUGAGCAAUGUCGACAAGAGGAAGUUCAACAAACAGAGCAACACACUACAGAGCUCCAGAUGUAGCUAAUAACAUUGAAAAAAAGUGUUGCUUCCAUACAUGCUAAGUCCUCAUGUCGUCGUCGUCAUCCAAAUUAUGACGAAGAUGAGUCUAAUGACGACGACGACAAUGAGUAAUACUGAUUUUAGUGUCAAUUUUAUUUAGUAGUUAUGGCUGCAUAUUUUGCUUAGACCUAUAUAUAUAUAUAUAUAUAUAUAUAUAUAUAUAUAUAUAUAUAUAUAUAUAUAUAUAUAUAUAUAUAUAUUACUACGAUAAUGUCAUUACGUGUAUUUUAAAACUUAUGGCAGCGACAAUGUGCUUAUUUUGAUAAUUAUGGUAGUAUAAAUUGUAUUUAUUUUGAGACUUAUGGUAGUCACAAUGUAUAUUUUGAAAACAAUAUUUACACAAAAUUUCAGUUUGUUUUGACAAUAAUGUUUUAAUAUGCUUACAAUUUAUUUUAAAAAUAUAUUAAAAAAUACAUAAAACAGUAAAAAAAAAAAAAAUUUCAAUUACUCACGAAAAUUUCAUGAGUAGACGAUAAUUUAAGUAAACGAACAUGCCAUUGAUAAAAUAAAUAGAAAAGUAAAAUUGUUCACGAAUUGUCCGUGAUUAAUGUUUACGUAUCUAUGUUUUUAUCCGCUGAAUGUCUAUGAGUAAUUUUAACUAUAGAGACUCAGCGGGUCAUACUACCCAUGGAUAUGCCUUAAGUAAGUGUAUUCCACAUCUUAUUUGUCGAUAAAUAUUUUUCUACGAACAAAUUAUUUAGAAUCCGUAGCCAUGGGUAAUCCAUGAAUAAGUUUAGGUAUAUACUUAUUAAAUUUCUUAUAGAUGUGAUUAUAAAUAUGAAUAUAAAAAGAAUCAUAUUGAGAGUGUGUAUAUACUAAUUAGAUUUCUCAAGCUCAACCACUUGAGCUAUGUUAGUAAGUUGAUUCAGUUUGGAUUUUCAAAUACUCGUAUGAAUGUGAAUUAAUUAAAUUUUGUUGGUUCAAAUAUAAAUAUCAACUUACUCAAUCCAUAGUCACCUCUGAAUUUAUUAGACUAAAAUCCAUUUUGUUUCUUUGGUAGAAAACACUUAGGGACAUUAUUAUAAUUAAACAUUCAAUAACUUCUAAAAUUCAAAUUUACCCUAUUUCAGUAUUUCUAUUUGUAUUUACUUUCCUAAUCUGAUUUUACGUAAUUCCUCUUUCUGCAUCUAACAAAAAAAGAAAUUCCAUCACAAAUUAAACGUUCUCACCAAAAUAACUACAAAGAAGAUUAUGCCCGAAAUAACUAUAUAGAUCAAAGUUGCUCAAGAUAUAUAUGAACAUAUACCACAGGAUUUUUGUUCGUGGCAUUUCCAAUUUUAUGACCAUAUUAAAAUAUCCAAUAUCCCUAUAUGUGGAUUAUUAUAAUUUUUGCUUGUUGGUGAUGACUUGUGUUAGAGAAAUUCUUCUUUUGCCAUAUGCUGAGGGAGGAAUUUCGUAUUGGAGCGAAAGAACAAUAUUACAAAAGUAAAAGAGCAUCUCCAACGGUAGCUAAAAUGAGUUCGUUCGUCAGAUGUAAUUACGUAACCGUCAGUUUUUGGUGAGUUUACUGUUGGAGAUGUGUCAAGUUGUCGUCACCGUUCUCUCACGAAGGAACGGUUGAUAUGAUUACUUUUUUUUUGUAUUAAUUUAUAAAUAAUAAUAAAUAAAUGAUUUGUUAGUGGUGGACUAUUUUUAAUGAACAUGUGAGUUCACCGUUGGAGUAAAAAAUAAAUAGGUUAUUUCAAUAUGACGUGGCAUGGUGGACCCCAUUCAAUGAACCUAUAUUAAGUUAACUGUUGGAGAUGCUCUAAGGAAUUUCUCCUUAAAAUACGUAUACAAAGUUCCUCAAAAAAAUAUAUAAGAGAAAAUAGGGAACAAUAAGAAAAUAAAUAAAUUUAAAAUACUUAAUAGGGAACCAUAAGAAAAUAAAUAAAUUUAAAAUACUUAAUAUCCCUAAAUUUAAGUGGUUUUAUGAAACUUAUUUAUAUAUAUAAAAAAGAACACACGAAUACGUUCCAAUGAAAAUGGACUAAGUGUAGUGACAGUAGCAUAUUUUGAAUCCGUUUUUUCAAUUCAAAAUAUACAUAAGCCGUCCAGUUAAGAUUGAGAUUGCUUGAAUGUUGAAUGCAAGUUAAUUUGGGUGCCAAUACAGUCACUUCAAGCAUUUUUUUAUUUACUUUUAAUAUGAUAAGUGAUUAAUUUAAGAUGCAACAUAAUUAAAAUGUAAAGUUAAUCAUGAAAUGUAAUGCUUAAAAUAAUGUUGAAUGCAAGAUAAUUAUCACCGCACGAAGUCCAAAUCCUAACAAGUAUUGCAAUACUUAUUCACCUCACAUAGAUUUUUUUAAACAAAAAAUUAAAAUGUAAAAAUAUCACAUAAAAGAAUUAGACAUCUCAUCUAUAUUGAUAUUCCUAAAACUCCCACGAUAUCACCUAUUCACCUCACGUAUAAAUUUUUUCUUUUUACAAAUACAAUAUUAAUUAUUAUUAUUAUUUUAAAAAUGGAGAUCAAAUCUUCUAUCUUUUUAUCAUUUCACUUCCUUUGUCCUCUAUACCUCAAUUACCGAACCAAUCUAUAUCCCCUACCUCACUUACAGACUUAGGCAAAAUUCAUUAUCAUGUAAAUAUAUAAUAUAUAUCGCAAAGGAUGAAAUUAUCAAUUUAAUUUUUAAAUUAUCAAUCUUUUUUAAAUUUGAUCUCAAAAUUAUAGAAAUAUAAUAAAUAGUCUUUAAAUUAUUUUAGAGUUAUCAAGUUAAUUCAUCAACUACAUUCUCUCCUAAUUUUAAAGUAAUUGAUACACUAAAUUGAUGGAUUAAUAAUAAUUUAAAGAUUACUCAUUAUAUUUCUAUAAUUCAGAGACUAAAUUAGAGAUAAUGAUAGUUUAAAAACUAAAUUAAUGUUUUAAUUUUUAUUUUAACUCUCCAAUUUUUAAGUAUACAAAACUCCAAAAAUGUAGAGUUUGAUGGGGAGGUAAAUAAAAUUUAACCAUAAAUUAUUUCAGAUAUAAUUCUAACUUGGGUUCACCCACUAUAUAUAUCUGCAUAUCACAGAAAGAAAAUUAAGGUAGAAGAGCCACAACAUGGACUACCAACAACUUUUGAUACUAAUUUCCUUUAUUGUCUUCUUCAUACUUAGAAAAUUAAACCAACCCCAAAAUUCUAAAAAACUUCCUCCAGGACCAAACCCACUUCCCAUAAUUGGAAACAUCUUAGAAUUUGGCAAAACCCCACACAAGACACUCACAAAACUCUCAAAAAUCUAUGGACCAAUCAUGACACUAAAACUAGGAAGAAUAACAACCAUAGUAAUUUCAUCACCACAACUAGCCAAACAAGUGUUACAUGAAAAUGCCCAAAUCUUCUCUAAUAGAACUGUUCCACAUGCAGCAUGUGCACUUGAUCAUCAAAAUUUCUCAGUUGGGUGGCUUCCAACAUCACCCUUGUGGAAAAAACUAAGAAAAUUUUGUGUGACAAACUUAUUUUCUCCAAAAAUGCUUGACUCAACAAAAAUAAUUCGCCAAAAAAAGUUGCAAGAUUUAUUGGAUUAUGUGAAGGAAAAAAGCAACAAAGGUGAGGUUUUUAAUUUUGGUGAAGCUGUUUUUGUAACCGUCCUUAAUACAAUUUCAAACAUUUUGUUCUCUAUGGAUAUGGCUCAUUAUGAAAAGUAUCAUGAGUUUGAGAACAUUAUUAGGGGUCUCUCAAAUGUUAUUGGGCAGCCUAAUAUUGCUGAUUUCUUUCCAAUUCUUCGUCCCUUGGAUCCACAACGUUUGCAUGCUGGAACAGUCAAUUACUGGGGGAAGUUGUGUAAGAUUAUUGAGGGAAUUGUUGAAGAAAGAGUUUCCAAAAAUGAUUCUAAAGUUUGCAAUGAUGUGUUAGAUUCACUUCUUAACAAUAUUGGAGAACCUAGUUUUGAUCAGUUCAGCCACGAGGAGAUAUUACAUCUGCUUCCGGUCAGUGUCGUUCAUUAGUUUUCCUAUUCUUCUACCUUUUCAAAAUCUUUCCUAUAUAAAAAAAUCUUAUGUUAUUUUAGUAUCAUUAACAUCAUGAUUUUUCUUUUUAAGCCUUAUUUUAAGAAUGACAAUGAAUGUCGAUUAAGUUAUUAAUAUAAAUGGUAUAUUUAAUAUUGAGUUUGAAAAUGAUUUUAUAUUAGGAUUUAUUUGUUGCUGCGAUUGACUCAACAUCAAACACAAUUGAAUGGAUUAUGGCAGAGCUACUAAAUAACCCUGACAAAUUGACAAAAGUAAGAAAAGAGUUGUUUGAAACAAUUGGCAAAAAUGAAACAAUUGAAGAAUCAGAUAUUACCAAAUUACCUUUCUUACAAGCAGUGGUGAAGGAAACAUUCCGAUUGCACCCACCAGCUCCAUUAUUUCUACCCCAUAAAUGUGAUGAAUUUGUGAACAUAUUUGGCUUCAAUGUGCCUAAAAAUGCACAAGUACUAGUCAAUGUGUGGGCCAUAGGAAGAGAUCCAACCAUUUGGAAAAAUCCAAAUAUGUUCAUGCCUGAAAGAUUUUUGGAGUGUGAUAUUAACUAUAAGGGCAAUAAUUUUGAGCUUAUACCCUUUGGGGCAGGCAAAAGAAUUUGUCCAGGAUUGCCAUUAGCUCAUAGGAGUGUGCAUUUAAUUGUGGCUUCCAUUCUAUACAAUUUUGAAUUGAAGCUUGCUGAUGGACUAAUGCCUGAACAUAUGAAUAUGGAGGAGCGAUCUGGAUUAACCUUAAAGAGGCUCCAACCUCUUCGAGUUCAAGCUACUUCAAUCAAGCAUGGUUAAUUAUUAUAUACAAAAAUAAUACUUCUCAUGCUAUAUGUGUGUAUAUUUCAGUUAUUAUAUAUUUAUUAUUUUUAUUAUUGUAUAUAGAUGAAUGUAUUUUGUUCCAUUAAAAUAUAUAUGUCAUUGUAGUCUCUUAGUAGUACAGAUUAUUAAGAAAUGAUGAAAUAAAAAGAAGAAUGUGAGUAAUUGUGUUUGCUACAAUUUAGUAUUAGUAAUAUUAGAAUCACAAAUCUUUGAGUCUUACGAGAUAUUUUAUAGUUUUUAGCGGUACUUUUAUCAUAAUUUUUAAAAAUUGAGAAGAUAAAAGUAGAUGGGUAAAAUUAGAGAAAUUAUGUCUUUUAGUCCUAGCAACGGACAAAUACCAAUAUUAAGUUGAAUGAUUUAUUCUGAGUUCGAACCCCGGAAUCUCGCAGUUGAUGUAGCACUUUCUAUAUUGGAGUCCUGUUACUCUUAGUCUCAUUUUUCUGUUGAGCACCCUAUCAUAUUUCUAUCCUACUGUUAUUCUAUCACUAAUUACUCUUAUUCUCAUUUUUCUGUUCAGCACCCUAUCCUAUUCCUAUUCUACAUUUAUUCUAUCUCUAAUUCUCUAUGUCAUUCUAUCUCUAAUUCUCUAUGUCUAGCUCAUUAAAACUACAUGUUGUAUUCUUCGACUUCCAACCCUCCCUCACUCCCUGCUCUAUUGCUACUCAUUCUUAGCGUUAAGAUUGUUCAGUAACACCACUCACCUAUCGAUUAUAUAUCAUUAUUAUUACACCAACUUUUGAGCUUCGGACUCUCUCACAAUUUAAUUGAAUCAUCCAUCUCUCUUUUUGGUUUCUGAACUUAAGUUUCGAUGAAAUGGUUAUUUUGUAAUGCAAUAUUAUGUAAUGAUGCUCUGAUUGUUACCUAAAUUUUGUUUAUUUUAGAACCUAAGUUCUCCAUAUUUUGUUUUGGUUGUAAUGUAAAAUUCUGGUUGCAGUUAAUUUAGUAUAUUAUCUUGAAUGAGCAAAUUUUGUUUGAGCAUUAAUAUUAGACAACUACAUUAAAUCUUGAAUGAUACCAAACUAGUUGAAAAUUGUUUGAGCAAAUUACAUUAAUAUAAUGAUACCAAACUGAAUUAUUAACAUGCAAAAAUAGACAACUCCAUUACAAUAAUACCAAUUUCAUUUCACAAUAACAACCUUAUUCAUUCAAAUUUGAUUAUAUUACACAAUGACAUUACAAUUUAAACCCUAAACACUUAACCUUAUUCAUUCAAAUUUGAUUAUAUUACAACUUCAAUUCAUCAUCAUAAUUUUUUGUCACAUUAUCUUUCUUCUUGAAUUCAUCAAAGACAUAAUAACUUCUUUUGUUCGUUUUGUCAUUGGUUCAUCAAACCAAUAAAAAAAUUGCAAGAUUUUUUACUCUGUAACUAAAACAACAUAACAAAAAAAAAAGAUUGAAUAUUCUUUCAAUGAAUUUUCAUAAUCUCAAAACAAUACAACAAAAAAUAAAAUCCAGAAUUUUGAAAUAUAGUUACCUUAUAAAAUCUACAACCAUAAAACAUUCGACAUGGAUUUUCAGUCGUCCAAGAAGUACACAAAGGAGAUUCAAGUCCACACAAACAUUCUCUCCUUCUAAUUCUCAAAUGAGAAUUAUUGCUUGUAACUGAAUACGAACGGGAAGACAUUUCCCCCCCUCCCCAAAAAAAACACAAGGAACAAAAGAAGAAGAAACAAACCAGAUGAAGAAGAAGAAACAAGAGAAGAACAAAGGAAGAGAAUAAGAAGAAGAAGAAGACAAUUGAAGAAUACAGAUGAAUAAAAAGAAGAAGAAGAAACAAAGAUGAAUAAGAAGAAGAAGAAACAAAGAUGAAGAAGAAGAAGAACACGAAUGAAGGCUUAGUCGAUUUUAGAGUUCAUGCCUCUUACUGUGCGCGUCUGAUUUGCGUUGAUUUGAGUCUGAUUUUUUUUUAAUUGUUUGGCUUAUUAAAUGUUGUUUUAAAAAUAUGAAUUUUGUUUUUAAAAACAUAAAUUGUAUUUUAUUAAUUUAGAAUAAUAUAAUAAUUCAUUUAAUCCACAAAGACGUCUGCCACAUCACCAUGUUUUUGACACAUCAUUAAAAAAGACAACUCAUCAAGAUUUGGAUCCACAUUCUGUUUGGAGGACCAAAACUGGGGACAAAUAAAAUGGGGGGGACUAUUUUCGCGAUUCACCUAAAAUAGGGGAUCAAAAGUGUAAUUAAGCCUAAAAAUUAUUGUCAAUGAAAAUUUGUCUUGACAAUGGUAUCUCAUUGUCAUAUGUGUCAACUUGUCAAAUAUAUGAUAAUAAUUUUUAUCAGCGACAACUUGUCUCAUAUUUUUUUUAUAAGUACUUGUCUCGUAUAUAAUAAUUAUGUUGAAAUUUUACCAAUGAAACUUAUCUGGUGUAUGAUAUUUCAAUUUUGUAAGUGAAUAUUUGUCCCGUGUAUGAGUUAUUUUGAAUUUUUUAUCGGUAAGAAUUUGUCUCGUGUAUAAAAUUUAAAUCAUAUCACUUACAACUUGUCUAUGUAAGUUAAUUAUUUUAAUUUUUUAUCGAUAAGAACUUGUCACGUGUAUGAUAGUUCAAUUUUAUCAGCGACAACUUAUUUUGUAAAUGAUAAAUCAAAUUUUUUACCGUGUAUGAUAGUUCAAUAAAAAGUUUCCAUGUGAAUGAUUAACUCAUCACUUACAACUUAUCUCGUGAAAGAUGAUUAUUUUGAAUUUUUUACCAAUGAUAAUUUGUCUCAUCUAUGAUAGUUCAAUUUUAUCAAUAACAACUUAUUGUGGAUGAUAAAUCAAAAGUUGUCUCGUGUAUGACAGUUAUUUUAAAUUUUUUAUCAGUGAAAAUUUGUUUUGUGUAUGAAAAUUAAAUCAUAUCACUUACAUCUUGUUUUGUGUAAGAUAACUAUUAUAAAUUUUUGUAUCGAUGACAACUUGUUUUGGGUAUGAUAAUUCAAUUUUAUCAGUGACACCUUAUUUUGUAGAUGAUAAAUCAAAACUUUUACCCUGUAUGAUUGUUCAAUCAAAAGUUGUCACGUGAAUGAUAAAUCUCAUCACUUGCAACUUGUCUCAUGUAAGAUGAUUAUUUUGAAUUUUUAUCAAUGAUAAUUUGUCUCGUGUAUGAUAGUUCAAUUUUAUCGAUAUCAUCUUAUUUUGUAUAGGAUAAAUAAAAAAUUGUCCCGUAUAUGAUAGUUAUUUUGAAUUUUUAUCAGUAAGAAUUUGUCUCGUAUAUGAUAGCUAAAUCAUUUCACUUACAAUUUGUCUCAUAUAAGUUAAGUGUUCUGAAUUUUUUAUCGACGAAAACUUGUGUUGUAUAUGAUAGUCCAAUUUUAUCCAUAACAACUUAUUUUAUAAAUGAUAAAUCAAAAGUUGUCCCGUGUAUAUGAUAAAUCUAUCAAAAGUUGUCCUAUGAGCGAAAAAUCUAAUCACUUACAACUUGUCUUGUGUAAGGUAAUAAUUAGUUUGAGUUAUUUAUCAAUGAUAAUUUAUCUCGUUUAUGACAGUUCAAUUUUAUUAAUAACAACUUAUUUUGUAGAUGAUAGAUAAAAAUUAUAAUAUGAAUGAUAGUUCAAUUAAAAGUUAUCUCGUGAAUGAUAAAUUGUAUCACUUAUAACUUGUCUCGUGUAAGAUAAUUAUUUUGAACUUUUUAUCAAUUAAAAUUUGUUUCUUAUCCCAUGAAUUAUAUAUUUCAUCACUUAUAUCAAAUAAUUCUUUAAUUAAUUAAAUUAUAAAUUAUAAAUAUACAUUCUUAAUUUUUAAAAAUAACCAUUUUAAUUAAAGAAACAUAUUUUAAAAAGUCGGAUUCAAUCAUUAAUGGAGAGUAAAGUUAAUGGGAUACAACUAACCUUUCACCACUAACCACACACGUCAUUUAUUUUUAUUAGUAUUAUUAUUAAUAUAUUUUUUUUUUACAGUUUAUUAUUAUUUUGAUCUGUGUAAUUUAGAGAAAAUAUAAUUUUAGUUUCUUUAAAAUAUGUAACUUAGUAUUCUUUCUUUUUUAGUUCUUUAAUGAAUUUUGACAUUUUUAAAAGUUGACGUGGCAUUGACACAUGAAAAUUUUGUGGUGAAGUGGAAUAAUAAAAAAUAAUUAUGAAAAAGAAAUAAUAUUUUUUUUUACCAUUUACUUAUAUUUUUUAUAAAUAUAAAAACAAUUUUGUAAAUAUAAAAUAGAAGAAAAAAAAUUAUAUUUGUUUUGAAAGAAAUCGAAGAGAAGCAUAAAUGUAUUUCUUCAUCUUCUUCAUGUGCUCGUCUUUCACCUUCUUUUAUAUUUUUGUACCAGUCUGAUCUUAUUUACCGACAUUGUUAUUCACAAUCUUCUCACCUCCUUUCACUCAGCUAGAAAUUAAUGAGUUUUUACCUACUUUGAAAAUCAAACUCGGUACCUAUGGGAUAAAUAUCACCGUUCAUUAAUUCUCACUACCAAUUGAGCUUCAAUUUUUUUAAAAAUUGUUUUUAAUUUAUAUUAAUAAAAAUGUAAGUAAAUGGUAAAAAAUUAUGAAUUCACCUUGCCACAAAUUUUUUUUUGUUUUGAUAUCACAUUAGCUUUUAGAAAGACCAAAAUCAUUAAAAGAUCGAUCCACUAGCGCGCACGGGUAAAAUACGAGUAAUAAAAGUGUAGCUUAUGGCAACAAUUUGAGUCAUCAAGCAAGGACUUAUGACAUUAUUAAACGAAUUCUGAAUCAAUAAAAAAUAAAAUAAAGAGGGGGUUUUGAAUUUAAGUUCGGAAAAAUUAAUAAAACAAAUUACAAUCACGUAUAUUGGAACAAUUAAUUUACUGGUUCGAGAAUUUCAGACCUAUCACAUAUUCUAUCAAUGGACAUAAUUUUUAAAUUGAGACUCUAUUCUUGUUUGAGUAUAUAAUUGAUCAAACAAACAUAAUCAACCAUAUGUAAAUUCUACUCCAUUGACUGGAUUAAACAUCAUAGUAAUCGAUGUAUUGUAGUUAACGAUCAAACGUAAAAAAAUUACAGUUAAUCAACUUAGUAGUCGAAUUCUAUCAAAUCAAAUUAUCAACUCUAUUGACAUUUGAAUUAAGAAAUCAGAAAACAAUUUAAUCGAGAAAAGCGAUAGAAUCAUCAACGCGAAAUUAACAUUAUAAAAUAAACCUUAAGGUCUUGAUGAAAUUCUGAAACAGUGGAUUAAUCUUAGAAAUUAGUUUUCCAUCCAAGAAUUUAAAAAUAAAAUAUUAUUGAUCGAAAAUAAACUCUAUGAGCAUUUGAGUAUCUCUCUCCCUUUGUAACAAAAGCAACCUUAUUCGUUUUUUGUCUCUAAAAGCUCCAGGGCCAAAAAAACAAGUGGUCCAAUACUAAAUGUUAUUACAAAUAAAACUUAGGGCAUGUGAUCAAUAGUUUUGACCAAGUAAAGUUCCUAGUUGAGGUUUUCGCCAACAUAAAAGUUGUAACUUUGAAUCUCAGUAUUACAAUGUCUGUUUGCAUGAGUUAAUCGGGUAUCCAUAGCUCAAAUUAUGGCAUGCAGAGCGAACAACGAUCAAUAUGCAAAUAAUUACAUUAAAACUCAAAGUUUAAAAACAAAGUUUAUAAACUCAAAUUAUGGCCCAAAGUUUAGAAUAGUACAAUCUCAUUAAGCUUGAUAAACUUGAUUUAAGUAUAAUUACUUGGUUUAAUUCUAAAAACUAACUAGUAAUUAUAAGGUUUUCAUACAAAAUUUCGUUUCAAAUUAAAUAAGAAAAUACAAAUUACAACCAUUAUUCCUGGUAUCACCUAUCAGAGCGGGGUUCCUCCAAAACUUGAACUUCAAGACUCAUUAACCUGUAACAACUGCGAUUUCGCAAACGCAUGGCCAAUCUAGUCAAACACAAACAACGAAUGAGGUGAGUUUUGAAAUCAUGUCAAUAGUAUAAUAUAAAUAAGAAGAACACGCAAUUAAUCAUAAAUAAACUGUAUCAUUACACAAACAUUCUUCAAUGAAAAACAUAACAUUAUAAAGUCAAAACCACUCAAGAAAAAUCAAUAAAUUUCACUAUACAUCAAACCAUCUAAGAAAAUUAUUAUCGCUUUUGAAACACACCAAUCACAACAAAACAAUCACAAGGAAAUGCAAUGCUAAGCAUGAGCUUAGACUCUACUUCACAAUGUGGUACCAUUCUAACUCUGAAGUACUUGGUUAGGAGGCUUGAUACUAUGCCACCAUCUCGAUGGACGGACAAUUCAAAUUGACCAUGUCCUCAUAGAUCCCCUCAACUCAACCCGAGACACAUAUACAUGACAAUCGAGGUAAAUGUAUGUUGUGUGGUAGCUCCUGAUAUUUGGAGUGCUACCUCCAAGUCACCUUGGAAUUCUCCACCUGUAUACCUCCAAGGUCUAACAAUCUUGCCUUAAGGCUCGACAACAGACCGCCACGAUCAGACUCAUUCAGUUGUACUUCCCCAGAAUCACUAGGCUUGUCAGACUCUACCUAUAUGAUGACAAAAUAAUCUUCACUUCACAAAUUCUCAAUAUUUAUUUUCUCCCCUCGUUAGCUUAGACUACUUCCUUAAGAGCAUCAUCUUUAUAAAUCAUCACUAUUUCAUCAUAUAUGGGGUACAUUUUAAUAUUCUCGUAAUAAUUUUAUAACAUCAUUAAUCAUACAUAAUUAUAAUCAUCGCAUAAACUCAUCACAAUUUUAUAACAUCACUAACUGUACAUAAUCGUAAUCAUCAUAUAAACUCAUCACAAUUUUAUAACAUCACUAUUAUCGAUAAAAAAUCAGCAUUAUCACCCCGCAUACAUAUAUCAUACCAUGCAUCCAUAUUUUAUUAUCACAUCACAUAAAUUCGUCUAAUCAAAUAUAUGCAUCAAAUUCAUUUGAAAUCAAAUAUCAUAAUAAUAUCAAAUACCACACAUUUAACGAAAUUAAAUCAAUCAACACCUUAUAAAUAUUUCUAUUCCAUAUUUUUAUCACACAAUUUCCAUAUUUUCACAUUAAUCAAUUUAUCACUCAAAGGGCUACUGUUGUACGUAUCGAGCCUCAGAUGAAUCGUUGGAAAAUAAAGUUUUUCCGUUCAUCUCACAUUAUAUUAUACUCAUGAACUCAAACGCUCUCUCACCCUUUACCUUAUUUCGACGCUUUCACACACGAAUACGAUUCCACGAGAAAACAGUCUUUGUUCUUUGACUUUUUGUCCUUCAAUCGAUUUAACUCGACAAUUUAUGGGUAAACGUCAAAAUAAAUUAUGAGAAGAUACUCUAAAAACUAAAUUCGAAAUUUGGUCAAGAAAAAUUACCAUAAAUCAGAAAACCAAUCAGUGGAUAAUAUAGUUACUUUUCAUAUGGUCGUUUUGGCGUUGGUUUAAAAACAAAUCGAACUUACGAUGAAGAAAAACGGUACAAAAUAACGAAUUCUACCAACGGAGAAAUCGAGUAUUUUAGAAAGAUAUUGGGGUUGUUAAAAAUUCAAAAAAUUAUGUUUAAUUGAGUAGCUAAAUGAAUGAAACAACAUACUCAAAUUUGGGUGAAAAUGGAGAAAGUUUUCUGGAACAGUCAUCGAUCACCGGUGUGAAACGAUAGGUUUUUGUUGGUUUGCUCAUGGUCUUAGGCAGCUGACAGAAGCUCUCUCUUAUUUCUUUUAUUUUAAUUUAUUAAGACAAUUAGGGAUUAUGGUCAAUCCCAUUAGUCUUCUUUUAUGUUUUACUAUUACUAUUUUUAUUUUAUUUUUUUUUAAACACAACUUCAUUAAUAAAAUAUUAUUAAUAUUUCAAAAUUAAUAUUUUAUAAAAUAAAAUAAUUAUUUUUAUAAAAUAUAAUAAUAACCAAAACUCUCAUAUUCAAAUUAAUCACUAUAAUUAUACUUAUUUUUUCAAAUGCUUACAUUAGAUUACUACCAUCGUUAGAAAACAUUUGAAAUUAUAAAAUAAAUAAAUAUAACAUCAACACUUUAUAUUAAUUACUAAAUCUUAAAUAAUAUAUAUAAAAUCACAAUGUCAUAACAAGUAUAUAAAAAUAAACGAAAUCAAACACAAUAUCAAUUUUAUCUCAUGAUAAUUAUUUAUAAAAAAAAUAACUAAAAAUAGAAAAUAGUUAUAAAUAGUUGAAAUAUAACUACGGGCAUACUUAACAUGAGUCAAGUGCAUAGAAAAAUAUUACAUUAAUUGAGUACGCAUAUAUACACAUAAAAUCGCAUAAAAUCUUUAUCUUUAAAAUAUUACACUAAAAUACUAUUAUUUUUUAAAAAAUAUAUCAAAUAAUAAAAUAUAAUAUUUAUUAUUUAUAUCGCUCAUUUAAUCUAAUAUUUAUAAAACUAGCACAUCAUAGAAAACACCUAUAUAAUGAAAAUUGUCCCAAAAUUUAUCAACAUAUAUUAUAAAAUAAUUUUACUAUUAAAUUAAUUAUUUAAAAUCAUAUUUAAUUAAUAAAAUUGUUUAUUAUAAAAUUUAGAGUAUUGCACCUUACAUGCUUUAAAAUAUAUGUAAACUAUUUACAAUGAAAGACUUGUUGUAUUUUUAUCUCGUCUUUGGUAACUUUACAUUCGAUCCAAUAUUAAACUUCAACAAUUUGUGAUAGUAAUCAUAUAACUAUUUGAAAGAACUAUAAAUAAAAAGAUUGACAUUUAUCAUUUACAAAUAAGAUAAAAAACGAAAAUAAAAUAAAAAAUAAAACAGCAAAACGAAAAUUUAAGAAAACAUAAAUGACGGAAAAAGUAUAUUUAUGCAAAAAAAAUAUACUAUUUAAAAAUCUUUUGGAUAAAUAAAUAAAUAAAAUAAAAAUUAGCAGCCACCUAAGAAGAAGAAGGAAAACACGUAUAUAGACUCAAUAUGCGUGUGAUGGGAAACCUUCUUAUUUGUGUGUGGUUUUCAUUUAUGCAAAACACAAACCACACCCUUCACUUUCACUUUCCCAUUCUACGAUGUACAAGCUAUUUACUACUCAAAACGUCUUCGUUUGAGUCUCUAGUUUUCGUUCCCUCUCUCUCUUCUUUCACUCUCCUUAAAUAACUUUUAUAUUGUUUUGAUUCUCUCAGUCUUGUAUUUCCUCCAAAUCCUCCAAAAUGAAGGGAGAUAAAAAUGAGCUUUAGAUGAUAUUUUGGCUUCCUCCUCUCUUAGGUGGCGUUUGUUUCAAGUAUAAGAAUCACACUCUCAAAAUAAAUGAGUAUAUCCAUAUUUGUCAGGAGGUUUUGAAUUUUUUUUUCUCUAGAUAUUAAGGUUUUCAGAAAUGAGAAAACUUCCCAUAUUCCAAUGUUUUUAUUCUCAUAAAAAGAUGUGGUAAUAAAAGUUCAAAAUUGCUAUCUAUACCCUCCUUUUUAUUACCCUGUGAACUCAAUUUACGCACGCAUCAUCUACGUAACUGAUAUAAUGUAUACGUGAACUGAGUUCACGUAGAUGUACGUGAAUUGAGUUCAUGUAAGUGUACGUGAACUGUAUUCACGUAUUGCAUGUGAAUUCUUAAAUUUCAUUGAAUACCAGAGCCGACCCAAGGAUAAAGCCACUAAAGCAAGUGUCUCGAAGAUUCAUCUUUAAGAAAAUUUUAUCAUUAAAUUUCACAAACAUAUUUUUUUACCAAUAAAUCUCUCAAAAUUUAUCAACUAGCAAUCACCAAGAGAAAUUAUUAGUUGUUUUGAUAAAUUUAUUUAUAUCCCUUUUGCGAUUCAAUAAAAGUUUCAACUCUUUUUAUUUUUGUAAUUUUAAAUAGUAUGAUUCAUAUUUUUGAGUUUACAUUUAUAUAUUAGAUUAUUUAUUAAAUUAAUAUAAUUAAUAUCACAUGAUAUUUUUUUUACAAGUGAUAAUAAUGUCUAUUGAUUUUAAUAUUUAAAAUUAACUUAAUUCACGUAUACGUGAAUUCAAUUCACGUAAACGUACGUGAAUUCAAUUCACGUAAACGUACGUGAAUUCAAUUCACUUAUACGUGAUUUUAAUUACAUAAAUAAGACGUACGUAAAUUAAGCUCACGUAAUUAUACAUAAAUUGAGGUUACAUAAACGUACGUGAAUUGAGUUCACGUACGCGUUCGUGAAUUCAAUUCAAGUAAAAGUUAUAAAUAUUAUAAAUAGGUAAGGAUAUUUUAGGUAGUUUGUUCUUAUAAAAAAAUUGAGGGGUGUGAGUAGCAAAAAUGGGGAUAUAGGUAGCAAAAUUGUUAAAAGUUUCCCAUGAAAGUGAAAAUAAAAUUGACGUAAUUACUCAUGUAUUCACUUCAUUAAAAAAAACUCUCAAGAAUAACAUAAGUUUUAGCCAAAUAAUUUUUUUAUAGAAAAUACAUAGGAAUAAGUUUCCUGUCAUUGCUCUCUUAAAAAUUGAACUAAAUACAAAACUUACAAAUAUUUCGUCUCUUUCAUCUACCUUCAACCAAACAUACCUUAAAUGAAACGGUUGUAAUCGAAAGAAGAUUAAGUGGGUGGUUCGAAGGUGGUGUUCCAUAUUUUGUUAUAUAUUGAGGGAAAAAAAGUGUUACUAUCAUUUUGGUUAGUGUCAAAUCAACUAUAUAUAUAUGAUAGUAAGAGAGUGACACAUCAACAUCCAUGUCACCAAGUUUACAAUAAGCUUAGCAUUAGAACUAAACUAAUAGACACUUUGGUGAUUCAAAUACUAAUUUAGGUUUUUAUUGAGUUAGAAACUAAAGGGACAUCACUUAUACACUUUAUGGGACCAACAUGGUGCUUUCCCAUUUUAUAAACUAGACAUAACUUUUGAAACGUGUAACGGAUUGGUUAUUUCUUUGGUUAAGGGUCACUAUAUUUUAGAAAUUGUUCAUCCCCAUAGUAAUCAGAUCCUCUGAAUUUCUCAUUUUAUCUAUUACUGGAAGUUGACUUUCGGAUUUGUAAUUUACCGAAACCACACUUCCAGUAACAUUGUGUAUAAAACACAACAAAUUUUCUCACUUAAUCUACUUCAACACCCUAAAAAAAACUCAAAACUUACUUUCUACACCAUCAUAUCAUAUCAUGCAUUACAUUACACCUGUCAACAAUAUUUUCAUUUCAAUUUUGUGAUAUCAAAAAGUGAAAGAAACAAUGAUAGUUUUUUAAGUAUCUAUACUUCACAAUAAAACACAUAAGAUCAAUCUAAAGGUGUAUCUAAAAGGUCUAGUGUUAUUGAAUUUAUGUAAUAUUAGACAUAAAUUUGAAUAGAAAGGUUAGGAAGAUAUGACAAGGGUACCAAUUCAUAUCUAUUAUAAUAUAUUAAAUUAGACUCAUAAAUUCUCAUGUUGAUACUUAAGCUCGUUGUAUGUCAAGUAAUUCUAUUUUUGCCACAUCACACAAAAUCUCACGUGUCAACUUCUAACUCACACUCUCUAAUCUCCAAAACACAUUCUCAUUCUCCUAAAUUCCUUUGAUUUGCCUACUCCAAAUCUCAUUCAUUUAUCCAUAAUUACUAUUUCGUAAAUUCUCAUUAAUCUCGUCAAUAACACUCAUUUAUUUAUCCACAAUUACUAUUUUAUAAAUUCUCAUUAAUCUCUCAAUUUAAUCGACAAUGCAUACUUGAUACAUCUUCAAAGCUCAACAACCCACAUGCUAUAUUCCUACUCCAAAAAUCUUUUUUCAAUUAUCUAUUCAUUUAUACUCUGAUCUAUAAAUUCAUUCUUUGUAAUUUUCUGGUUUUACUUUAUCGGUUCACUAUUAUUUAUAUUAUUUAUUUCUUUAUCAUGUUGAAGGUAGUACUAGAGUUCAUAACAACAGUUUAUAGUUCGGUUAAAAAAAAUAGGAAUAGUGAUUACAAUAUAAUCUAUUUCAAUAUACAACGAGAUCUUUGAAACUUCAUUUACCAAUAAAUGUCUCAUUCACAUCUUUCUUUUGUUUGUACAAGUCCCAAUCACAUACCAUUAAGUGUUUGUUCCUUUUUAAAAUUUUAUUUUAUUUAUUUUCCUUAUUUCAGGAGAUGGAUUCUAUCUUGAUCAGAGAUAAUGCAUCACUUAGUUCUUCUUCACCGGUAUAUUACAUUAUUAAUUAAAAGUAAUCUUCUUUAUCAUUUAUUUGCCAUAAUUUGCCUGAACUAUUUUGAAGCAACACAAUUGAUGAAUGAAAAUUUUGUUGCCUAUUUGUAAUCAUUGUAUAAUCACGUGUUUCAUUAUGUAUAUGCUAAAUGGAUGAAUGUAACCCAAAUAUUUAUUUAAAAAGGUGACCUAAAAUCAAUUACUAACGUAUAAUAACAUCAUAGUCUGGACAUCGUUAUCUAUGAGAUAGGUUUCUAGGGUAUCAUACAUAUUUACUUCCUUUGUUUUCUAAUGUGUUUGGUUCAUAUCAUUCAAAUGCCCAAACUUAUAGUCUAAUAUCUUACCUUCUAAAAUUUCUUUGGUAGAAGUUUGUAGAAACAUAAAGAAAAAAAUAUUUGUUAUAUAUAAAUAUGAAGUUAAGAGUAUAGUUUCAAUUGUAGUUUGUAACUCCAAUUGUGGUCAUAAUAUUAUAGAUUUGGAAGUCACUGCAACAAAUUUAAAUAUUUGUAGAGUAAAAUUGACAUAAACUUAUGAGAUUAUGAAAACAUGCCAUAAUAUAGCUAAAUAAGUUACAAGAGACUUAAUGUCAUAGUAAAAAACAACACUCAAGAUUCCUCCUAAAUAAGUAUUUUCCAUAUUUUUCAACAAUUUAAAUACUUUGUAAUAAGAAUUAUUGGUAUAAAGUUUUGAAAAUUCAUUUGACAACAUAAUUGUCUAAUUAUUUCUAAUGUCUUUUAAAAAAAAUCUAAUAAUAAAAAUUUUACGGUACUUUUGUAAUUUCACAUCUCAUACCUUAACUAAGGUUUGAAUUUGCAAAAAGAUUCAGUUUUAUAAGUCUUAUAUCAUUAGACUACAAAAUUUCUACUCUGGAUCAAAAAAUUAGCUUCACGACUCAACAAACGUUUGAAUUAUCAAAACAAGUUUAAAGCUCGCUGAAACAUGCUACUACAUAUUCGAGAACAAUGUUAUGGAGACGUUUAAUAUAUUGGAGUGCAGAUUUAAAUUCACAAUAUCUGACUUUUCAAGAUUCAGUGUGUGUUUGUUUCAUCACUAAAUAUCGAUCAAAAAGACCUUUAUAUUUUAUUUGUUAUGUACUGCUAAAAACACAAUUUUUAUAUUUCAAAAAUAAAUUUUCAUUCUUUUACAUAAACGAUAAUGUACAUUUUCCUCUAAUUCAACAAAUAUUAAUUUUAAAAUUUUAUUUACUUAUUCACACACAUAAUAAAUAAAAUAGAUGACUAAUUUAUAUUAAUUUAUAUUAAUUACAUAAAGUAAUGUAUUACGCAAAUAAAUAGAUGACUAUAACAUCAUCCUUUAUUAAGAUAAAAGGAGCAUUAAUUUAAAGUUUUGACUUUAUAAUUUCAAUAAACGAAAUUUAAAUUUUCACAUGAACAAUUUUAAAAUAGUCGGUAGUAGUACUUUUAUUAUUAAUACUUCCUCUUUCCUCAAAUUUAUAAAAAAAUGUUCAAUAUACUCACAUUUACUCUUCAAACAUAUCUAGAGAAAUACAUAUAAUUCUAAACCAAAGAAAGAGCUUGAACUUGAAGAGAUUGAACCCUCUUUAAGGUUAAUCCAAAUUGCUCCUCCAUGUUCAUGUCUUCUGGCUUUAGCCCAUCAACAAGAUUCCAUUCAAAGUUGUGUAGAAGGGAUGCCACCAUUAAAUGUGUGGUCCUAUGAGCUAAUGGCAGUCCUGGACAAAUUUUUUUACCUGUCUCAAAGGGUAUAAGCUCAACAUUAUUACCCUUAUAAUUAAUAUCACACUCCAAAAUUAUUUUCUUGCUUUUAUUAAUUUGUCAGGGUUCCGUAGUAGCUCUGCCAUGGCAUAAUCCAUUAAAUAGUGCUUGAUGUUGGUGUCAAUCCCAACAACAUAUAGGACCUAACAUGACAUUAUUUCCAAAUUCAAUUAAAUAUAACCUAUAUUAUCGAAAAGGUGAGGAUUAAAUAUUAAACCAAAAAUAAGAAAGUAAAAAAAAUAAAUUAUUAUCUAUUUUGAUAGCACUAUAAAUUACCUAGACAUCAAUUUAGUCGUGCGUGGCCCUAAAAAAAGUUUAAAUAAGUCUCUCAUUCCUAUAAAUAAAUUAUAUUUAAUUUUUAAUUCUUUUAAAUUAUUUCUUUAAAUAACGAUCUUUCAAAUAUUUUCAUCAAUAAUUUUAGUUUCUUUUAUUAAGGCAAUUAAUGUGUAUCAUUCAAAUUUCUCCUAUAAAAUUUUAGAAAUAUUUAACAAAAAAUAAAUUAAUAUAAAUUUGUAAGCGCUAAAAAUUUAAAAAAUAUAUUUGGCUCAUUUUUAUGAAAGAAUUUUAAAUUUUGUAUGAGAGCUUUUUAUAAUGUUAUAAAUAUUUAUAUAAAGUAUUAUUUAAAAUUUUAAAAAAUACUCUUGAAUUAAUUUUAAAGUAGAGAACAAAAUUAUUUACGAGUAUUUUUUGAAAGAACAUAAUUUUAGAAAAACAUUAAAGAAAUUAAAAAUGAAUUAUAUAUAAUAUAUAAAAGACUUAUUUAACUAAAGAAAAUUAGUCAUAAGUGUGCCAUAUCAAUAAUCAAUGUAAGGACCAGAUGAAUGUUAAUUAUUAUUAUUAUUAUUAUUAUUAUUAUUAUUAUUAUUAUUAUUAUUAUUAUUAUUAUUAUUAUUAUUAUUAUUAUUAAAUAUGUGUAUAAUACAUAACCGAUUUGUUAAAAGUAAUUAUAAAAUAAUAUUUUAUAUUAAUUCACUUUAUUUUGAUGGAAGUUGUUUGAGUGCUCCAAGAACCAAUAUUCAUAUUAUUACUCUAUUAAAAAUAAUUAUUUUAUUUAUUUAUUUAUUAUCAAGUAUCAUGAACUCAACCAAACCAAACCGAUUAUGUUGAGAUUAGUUGGUGUGCUAUUAUAUACAAUAAUAAUAUUAUAGCACUGAAGUUAUACAAUAUAUAAUAAAAAUAGGUUAUACCAUCUUUUACACAUCAGAGCAAUAACUAGUGAAUUAAUUAAAAAAGUAUCGAUCAAUUCAAUUCAGCUUUGACUCAACAUAUGAAUAAUCAUAUCCUUUAAAUCUUUUGUGAAACAUUUAUUUUGAGAAUUUGAAAUGAGAAAAGAGUUAGACAUGUUGGAAAAAUAUGACUUCUUUUGAUUAAGAAUAAGAGAAUUAAGAUCAAAUACAACGUGUUCAAUUUUAAUUCAUAUGUUAACUAUGCAAGACUCAUACACAAAGUACACAGCGGAAAUAUUAGAUCGCAUACAAGAUGAAUAUGAAAAGUAAAGAGAUAAGGGAUAGAGAGAUGGCACUAAGAUUUAUCCUGGUUCAGCUGUCAGUAUGACAGCCUACAUCAAGUCCUGACAAUCCAACUGGAUUUCAGCUUUUUCUCCAAUAGAAAGAAUUAAGACUUGUUUACAGAUUGUCCAGUUUUCUCGAAACCUAUCAAUCUAACUCGAAUUCUUUCCUAUUGCUUAACCCCUUGAUCCUUGCAGUCAAUCGUCAAACAUACACAAGAUCAAGUGAAGCUCCUUCUUGAUGAUCCUACAUCAACGAAGAUCGCCACCAGUUUCUAAACUGGAUUUUCCAAUCCUUUAAUUACAAAGAGUUGUGUUUUUCAAGAAUUAAAGAAAUACAAAGAUUUGACUCAAAUCACUAUUUUGGUUCUCACACAAAAGUAUUUUUGGGCUAUGAAUGUUUGUGUGUGUGUGUGUGAAAAACUUUUCUGUCAAAAGUGUUUUUCAAGUGAUUGUCAAAGAUUAUGAAAAGUAUGCAAAAGUUUUGUGCAAAAGUUCUUUUCAAAAGUUCUGUUCAAAAACGUUUGAAUCAGCUUAUAUAUAUUCAAAGAAAACAUUAGGACAAUCGAUUUCCUAAUCGAUUUCAUAAAGCAUUAAUUGAUUGCCUAAUCGAUUUUCGCAGGUCUUGUUUUUCUAGAAUCUUGAAUCAUAUAAGCAUGUAUCGAUUUGCCAAUCGAUUCUUUUAAUACAUUAAUCAGAACUGGAACUAUGAUUUUAUCCAAAUCGAUUGAAUAAUCGAUUAUAGGUGUUUUGAUUCAACAACGAAAUCAAAACAAUCGAUUCCUCAAUCGACUUCAUAAUCGAUUUGGCACUUAGCUGAACCCUUUCUGUAACUUGAACAUUUUCUNNNNNNNNNNNNNNNNNNNNNNNNNNNNNNNNNNNNNNNNNNNNNNNNNNNNNNNNNNNNNNNNNNNNNNNNNNNNNNNNNNNNNNNNNNNNNNNNNNNNNNNNNNNNNNNNNNNNNNNNNNNNNNNNNNNNNNNNNNNNNNNNNNNNNNNNNNNNNNNNNNNNNNNNNNNNNNNNNNNNNNNNNNNNNNNNNNNNNNNNGUUUCACCAAAAACAUUUAACCAAUCGAUUGCCCAAUCGAUUUGUAUAGUGAAAACACUUGUUCUGAGUCAGACAAUCGAUUUAUCAAUCGAUUCAUCAAUUGCUUUAUUUGUUGAUUGAUUUAUAUUCAUUGGCAAAGGCUUAAGUGUGAGACCAUAGUGAUUAGUCUACUAAACUUAUUACUAUGACACCUAAUAACACUAUACAUUGCGUCUUUCUCAAGUGCAUCCUCCAACUUUGGUUGAUUCCUUGAGUUGCAAGCUAUUGUUCCAAGUGUGUGGUGUCUUCUUGUUUGCCUGAAAUAUUUCUCAAUUCAAAACAUUAGAUCAAUCAAAUAUUUCACAUGUACUGUGUGUUUGGGAAUUAAAUCAAAAACAUGAUCAGGGAAGCUCAUGACUUACAAACUCCCCCUUUUUGAUUUAAUGACAAAUACACAGUUUUAACAUUGAGAUUAUUUUAAAAUCUCCCCAUGAGUUUUGGAAUGUAUGAUACAUUUCAACAACAUCAGUAUAAAAAGGUAUCAGAGUGCAAACAAGAUACAAUGUUGUGUAUCAGAGUACAUUUCAUCAGAGCGAUAUGCAUCAGAGUAGUAUUGUAUCAGAUCACAAGUUAUUGUAGCAUAAUAUCAGAUCAUAUGGCAUCAGCAUCAGCAUUGCAUAUACAUAUAUCACAGCAUAUAUCCAUACAUCAGAGUAUUAUAUGAUCAGUAUGUAAACUAUCAGAGCAUAUCAGAGUAAAUAAUCGCAAGUUAAAUCAAUCUCCCCCUUUUGUCAUAAAAAGCAAAAAGAAAUAUACAAAGAGAGAUGAUGAAACAAACUGAUAUAUACAUAAAAACAAUUACAAGGACAACAAAAACAAGAGUAGUACAAGAGUAAGACAGACAACAAAGAAACUAAACCUAAACAACUAAUCUAGGGUUGAUCCUCAUUAUCACCAGCAGGAGAAGGAGAGACCGCUGUAUUAACCUCAGCAGGUGUCUCCUUCCCAUGAGGAUCAGAUCCAUCUAGGUUGACAGGGUUAGGUUCUCCAGUUGAUUGCUGUCCGAUCUCUGCAAUGUCUUCAAAAGACAUUUUGAGCCCCAAGUGCUCCUGGAUUGCAGAAAUAUCCUGAACGACUGUGUCCAAAGAUGCUUGAAGUUUGUGAAGAGAGGCUUCCAUCCUUUCGUUGUGGGCAGCUUGAAUCUUCAUAAACUCCAUCAGCUUCGCCAUGAUCUCAAAAGAUGCUUCAGAUUGUGCAGGUGGUUGGGCACUUGCUUGGGCUUGAUCAGCACUGGGUUGUGCAUGAUCAGCAAUAGAUGGAGUUCUUGUCCAUACUCCAUUUAUGCGUCGCAACUGCAUUUGGUUCACAAUUGAUUCACCAAAUGUCAGUGUGGUUUUGAGAGAUUCUUCAUUGGCUAGAGACACCUUGAAAUGCCUCAGAAUCCUCGUAAACAUUUGGGGGUAGGGUAGGAUGUGCUUUCCAUGUGCUGACUCGUCCAUAUUCAGCAGCACAAUCCAAGCCCAGCUCAUCCUGAGCUCUUUGUACAGUCCCCACAGCAGGAUAAUAUCCAGCCACUGUACAACCGCAUGAUUUCCAGCUCUAGGUACUAACAUUCUUGUUAGCACAUACAUGAGCAUCCGAUGCUCAACCUUCAUCUGGCCUGUUGGAAGAGAAACCUUCUCAACGAAGCUGUCGAUCAUUAGCUCCUUAGUUACCGCAUGCUUGUUUAUAGAAGUUUCCCAACCUUCAUCUUCCGGAGCAUCCUGUGCUCUACCAUCAAUGGUGAAGCCACAGAAUGUCAAGCCAGUGAGUUUCGAAAACUCCUCAAAAGUCAUUGCAAUCUUUUUGCCUUUGACUUCAGCAGUAAAACCCGUCUUGGUUAGAAUGAAGGUGGAGUAAAAAGCACGUACCAACUUCAGAUAGACUUCCAGUGAUGAAGAAAGGAAAUCUUCCAUUCCAUGAAAUCUCAAAUGAUUUUGAAACACAACCCGUUUGUAUCAAAAAAGGUGAAAUCCAAAGUUCUGGCUUCUUGGAUUUUUCUUUUUAGAAAAGAAUCAGGAAGAGAGUUGCCUUCCACUUGUUUUUCCUUUGAAGGCUGAGCCUUCUUUGGUGGAGAUGAAGGCUUCUUCUUCUUCUGGGUGGCUCCCUUCAUAGCAUCACCCAUUAAUUUUCCUGACUGAGGAGCCUUCCUCAACCCGUUUGUAUCAAAAAAGGUGAAAUCCAAAGUUCUGGCUUCUUGGAUUUUUCUUUUUAGAAAAGAAUCAGGAAGAGAGUUGCCUUCCACUUGUUUUUCCUUUGAAGGCUGAGCCUUCUUUGGUGGAGAUGAAGGCUUCUUCUUCUUCUGGGUGGCUCCCUUCAUAGCAUCACCCAUUAAUUUUCCUGACUGAGGAGCCUUCCUCUUCUUACUUGAUUCCUGAUUUGUGGCAACAGCUUUGCCUUUAUCUUUGGCUAAAAUUUUAUGGGUAGGGAUUGAAACACGUUUAGCUGGAGGUGAGGGAGGUGGAGGAGGUGAAGGUGAAAGAGUUCUUCCACUUGAGGUAGAAGAAGAAUCCAGUGAAAUGGAUUUUGAAGAUGAUGAUGGUCGUCUGGCCGUUUGCUUUACUCGAGCCAUGGUAAAUAGUUGAAGAUUAAUGACUAAGAGAGAUUAGAUGCUGAGAAAUUUGAAGUUGAAUGUGUAAACUGAGAGCAAACUGUGAAAAAAUAGAUUGUGAAAUCGAUUUAGGGUUUUCCAGGUUUUAUAGCACAGUUCGGAAUCGAUUGCCCAAUCGAUUAUUUUAUACUUUCUGGGUUUACCCAAUCGAUUGCCCAAUCAAUUAUGUUAACUUGGUUCAAAAAGUAUUCGUUACACCCAUUCCAACGGCUAUAAUUUUUACUCAACGGAUAUAUUGUCAAUCAAUUUCCCAAUCGAUUUUGUAAAAGAUCCUCCUUUACUACAUCGAUGUUCCAAUCGAUUUCCUUUUAAAUUCAGAAAAUUUCAAAAUAUCUGCAUCGAUUCCCAAAUCGGUUCCUUCAAAGACAGAAACUCUCAAAAUUUUACCCAAUCGAUUGUUUCUUAAAUUCAGACAACUUCAAAACGCAACCUCGUCUCACAAAUCGAUUGUCAUAAUUAUAGGUCCAAAACACAGUUGAUCCAAUCGAUUUCCCAAUCGAUGCUCGGGCUUGAGUCUGAAAAUCUUCUCAAAAGUGUAGAUGACCUGCCCACAUAAUCGAUUAUCCAAUCGAGUUUUUAAACUAUUCUCCAAGUAUACAAUCGAUUUACCAAUCGAUUGAGAUAAAACAAACUUCAGCAACUUGGCUUCUGAGAUGUGAUCAAUCGAUUUUCAAAUCGAUUCUAGUGAAAGUAACACAGAGAAAAGAACAUAAAGUACCAAAAAAAUCGAUUUAGCAAUCGAUUAUCGUGUUUCCAAAUUACCAAAUUUAAAACACUAUGCAUCAUAAAUCAAUUAUACAAUCGAUUUGGUAAUGCAUUUUUCCUAUCUGGCCACAAGAUAAUCGAUGUAGCAAUCGAUUGUUGCAUAUGGAUCAUAUUUCAUUGAGAUCAAUAAUGCCAAGUUUCAUUCUUAUAAAGAAGAAACUGUCCUUGGGCAAGGCCUUGGUGAAAAUGUCAGCCAACUGCUCAGUUGUAUUGACAUAUUCCAACUUAAUCUUGCCCUGUUGAUAUUGGUCUCUAAUGAAGUGAUGCCUAAUCUCUAUGUGCUUAGUCCUAGAAUGCAUGACAGGGUUCUUAGUGAUAUUAAUAGCACUAGUAUUAUCACACAAGAUGGGCACUAUUCCUAGAUCAACACCAAAAUCUAAGAGGUGUUGCUGCAUCCAAAGAAUCUGUGAACAACAGCUACCAGCUGCUACAUACUCAGCUUCAGCAGUUGAGAGUGCAACACUGUUUUGUUUCUUGCUAUGCCAAGAAACAAGAGAGUUCCCUAGUAGUUGACAAGUACCAGAUGUACUCUUUCUGUCCAAUUUGCAUCCAGCAAAGUCAGAAUCAGAAUAACCAACUAGAGUACAAGUAGAUCCCUUAGGAUACCACAAACCUAGAUUUUUGGUUCCUAUGAGAUAUCUAAAAACCCUCUUAACUGCACUAAGGUAAGAUUCCUUGGGAUUGGCUUGGAAUCUAGCACACAUGCACACACUAAACAUGAUAUCUGGUCUACUAGCUGUUAGGUAAAGUAAGGAUUUCUUUAAAAGAUCAUUACAGUAUUUGGUUUGACUUAGGAAAAUGCCAUUCUUGCUUUGUUUGAUUUGAAAUCCCAAGAAGUAAGUCAAUUCUCCCAUCAUGGACAUUUCAAAUCUACCUUUCAUUGUAUUUUCAAAAUCUUUACAAAGCUUAUCAUUUGUUGAUCCAAAUAUUAUGUCAUCAACAUAAAUUUGUACCAAUAGAAUGUCUUUUCCUUGUCUUUUGAUGAAAAGUGUCUUGUCCACAUUUCCCCUUGAAAACUUUUCUUGUAAGAGAAAAUUGCUCAGCUUAUCAUACCAAGCUCUUGGAGCUUGUUUCAAGCCAUAGAGAGCUUUUGUCAGUUUAAACACAUGAUUUGGAAGCUUAGGAUCUUCAAAACCAGGUGUUUGACUCACAAAAACUUCCUCCUGGAUGUCUCCAUUUAAAAAUGCACUUUUAACAUCCAUCUGAUAAAGUUUAAAGUCCAUUAUACAUGAAUAAGCAAGCAGGAUUCUAAUGGCUUCUAGUCUAGCUACUGGGGCAUAGGUUUCAUCAUAAUCUAUUCCCUCUUCCUGGUUGUAACCCUUGGCCACUAACCUAGCUUUAUUCCUAGUAAUAACACCAUUCUCAUCCAUUUUGUUUCUGAACACCCACCUAGUUCCUAUGACAUGUUUAUCCUCUGGUUUUGGAACUAGAGUCCACACUUGGUUUCUCUCAAACUGAUUGAGCUCCUCUUGCAUGGCUACUAUCCAGUCAUGGUCCAUAAGGGCUUCCUUAAUGUUUUUGGGUUCUAUUUGAGAAACAAAGGCAGUAAAGUUGCAAAACUCUCUAAGUGAUUUUCUGGUUGAAACUCCUUUUGAGAUCUCUCCAAUAAUGUUGUCUAUGGGAUGGUUUUUGGUAAACUUCCAUUCUUUGGGUAAAUCAUCUUCCCUAAUAGGUUCUACACAGUCAAUGUUGGUUGGAGGUACAUGUUCACUGGGUUCUAUUGGUUCAGACUCUACAAUAUCAUCCAAUGAAUUACCAACUAUAGAAGGAGUUUUGUUCAAGUUUUCAGCAAACAAUUCAUCAAACUUUACAUGAACUGACUCCUCUAUAGUUUUGGUUCUUUUAUUGUAGAAUCUAUAAGCUUUACUAAACUGGGAAUACCCUAGAAAGAUACCCUCAUCUGCCUUAGGAUCAAACUUACCUAGAUGUUCUUUACCAUUGUUUAACACAAAGCACUUACACCCAAAGACCCUAAAGUAAGAUAUGUUAGGUUUUCUACCCUUGUAUAACUCAUAGGGAGUCUUUCUAAGUAUAGGCCUAAUAAGAACCCUAUUCACUACAUGAGUGGCAGUGUUUAUGGCAUCAGCCCAAAAGUAUUUAGGAAGGUUAGAGUCCUUAAGCACGGUCUUAGCUAGUUCCUCUAAGGAUCUAUUCUUCCUUUCUACUACUCCAUUUUGCUGUGGAGUUCUAGGGGCUGAAUAUAUGUGUUGGAUACCAUGAUGUUCACAGUAGGUUUGAAAAGAAUCAUUUUGGAAUUCACCUCCAUGAUCACUUUUAAUGGAUAUGAUUUUCUGGUUAUUCUCAUUUUGAACCAAAGUAGCAAAUUUCUUAAAAGUUGAGAAUGCCUCACUCUUGUGAGUCAGAAAAUAUGUCCAUGUGAACCUAGUGUAAUCAUCUACCAGCACAUACCCAUAUAGGUUCCCUCCAAAGCUUCUAACCUGAGAUGGACCAAACAAGUCCAUGUGUACCAACUGUAAGACCCUACUGGUUUGAACUAGGUCUAUAGGGGGGAAAGAAGACUUAACUAGCUUACUCCUCUCACAGGAGUCACAUAACCUAUCCUUAGAAAACUUCCUAUUUGGAAGACCUAGGACUACCUGCUUCCUAACUAGUCUAUUCAAGUGAUCCAUAUGAAUAUGAGCCACUCUUUUAUGCCACAGCCAGUUCUCAUCAGCAUUUGAUAAUAAGCAACAUAUGUCAUUUGCAGGUAAGGAAUCAAAAUCUAUCAUGUAAACAUUGUUAACUCUUUUACCUGUCAAUUUCAUACCUUUAACUUCCUUAUGCUCAAGUGUGCAACUCAUAGAGGUAAAAUGUACCUUGAAUCCCUUGUCACACAGCUGGCUGAUACUUAGCAAGUUGUGCUUUAGAUCCUUGACAUACAGAACAUCUUUAAUCAAUGUAGAUGAUUUGUUUCCGAUGUCUCCACAUCCUAAGAUCUUCCCUUUAUUAUUGUCACCAUAUUUGACAAAGCCUCCUUCCUUUAAGUUCAGAGACAAGAACAUUGACUUGUCUCCAGUCAUAUGCUUGGAGCAUCCACUGUCCAGAUACCAUGAUUGAUUCCUGGAUGCCAAGCAUAUCUGCAAAAAUGAUUCAAGUUUUGGAUUUAGGUACCCAAUUCAAAUUGGGUCCUAGGGGGUUAGUUUCAAAUGCUUGUGACUUAACUUUCCAAAUUUGUUUCCAUCCUCUGUUGGCAAGUUUUUUCAGUUUGCAGUUGAAAACCAUAUGUCCUUUUUUGCAACAAAAAUGACAUACAACAGCAGGGGAUGAUUUCAGAUUUGGUCCAGUAAAGUUAUCAUGCAUUUGUGUUGAUUUAACANNNNNNNNNNNNNNNNNNNNNNNNNNNNNNNNNNNNNNNNNNNNNNNNNNNNNNNNNNNNNNNNNNNNNNNNNNNNNNNNNNNNNNNNNNNNNNNNNNNNNNNNNNNNNNNNNNNNNNNNNNNNNNNNNNNNNNNNNNNNNNNNNNNNNNNNNNNNNNNNNNNNNNNNNNNNNNNNNNNNNNNNNNNNNNNNNNNNNNNNNNNNNNNNNNNNNNNNNNNNNNNNNNNNNNNNNNNNNNNNNNNNNNNNNNNNNNNNNNNNNNNNNNNNNNNNNNNNNNNNNNNNNNNNNNNNNNNNNNNNNNNNNNNNNNNNNNNNNNNNNNNNNNNNNNNNNNNNNNNNNNNNNNNNNNNNNNNNNNNNNNNNNNNNNNNNNNNNNNNNNNNNNNNNNNNNNNNNNNNNNNNNNNNNNNNNNNNNNNNNNNNNNNNNNNNNNNNNNNNNNNNNNNNNNNNNNNNNNNNNNNNNNNNNNNNNNNNNNNNNNNNNNNNNNNNNNNNNNNNNNNNNNNNNNNNNNNNNNNNNNNNNNNNNNNNNNNNNNNNNNNNNNNNNNNNNNNNNNNNNNNNNNNNNNNNNNNNNNNNNNNNNNNNNNNNNNNNNNNNNNNNNNNNNNNNNNNNNNNNNNNNNNNNNNNNNNNNNNNNNNNNNNNNNNNNNNNNNNNNNNNNNNNNNNNNNNNNNNNNNNNNNNNNNNNNNNNNNNNNNNNNNNNNNNNNNNNNNNNNNNNNNNNNNNNNNNNNNNNNNNNNNNNNNNNNNNNNNNNNNNNNNNNNNNNNNNNNNNNNNNNNNNNNNNNNNNNNNNNNNNNNNNNNNNNNNNNNNNNNNNNNNNNNNNNNNNNNNNNNNNNNNNNNNNNNNNNNNNNNNNNNNNNNNNNNNNNNNNNNNNNNNNNNNNNNNNNNNNNNNNNNNNNNNNNNNNNNNNNNNNNNNNNNNNNNNNNNNNNNNNNNNNNNNNNNNNNNNNNNNNNNNNNNNNNNNNNNNNNNNNNNNNNNNNNNNNNNNNNNNNNNNNNNNNNNNNNNNNNNNNNNNNNNNNNNNNNNNNNNNNNNNNNNNNNNNNNNNNNNNNNNNNNNNNNNNNNNNNNNNNNNNNNNNNNNNNNNNNNNNNNNNNNNNNNNNNNNNNNNNNNNNNNNNNNNNNNNNNNNNNNNNNNNNNNNNNNNNNNNNNNNNNNNNNNNNNNNNNNNNNNNNNNNNNNNNNNNNNNNNNNNNNNNNNNNNNNNNNNNNNNNNNNNNNNNNNNNNNNNNNNNNNNNNNNNNNNNNNNNNNNNNNNNNNNNNNNNNNNNNNNNNNNNNNNNNNNNNNNNNNNNNNNNNNNNNNNNNNNNNNNNNNNNNNNNNNNNNNNNNNNNNNNNNNNNNNNNNNNNNNNNNNNNNNNNNNNNNNNNNNNNNNNNNNNNNNNNNNNNNNNNNNNNNNNNNNNNNNNNNNNNNNNNNNNNNNNNNNNNNNNNNNNNNNNNNNNNNNNNNNNNNNNNNNNNNNNNNNNNNNNNNNNNNNNNNNNNNNNNNNNNNNNNNNNNNNNNNNNNNNNNNNNNNNNNNNNNNNNNNNNNNNNNNNNNNNNNNNNNNNNNNNNNNNNNNNNNNNNNNNNNNNNNNNNNNNNNNNNNNNNNNNNNNNNNNNNNNNNNNNNNNNNNNNNNNNNNNNNNNNNNNNNNNNNNNNNNNNNNNNNNNNNNNNNNNNNNNNNNNNNNNNNNNNNNNNNNNNNNNNNNNNNNNNNNNNNNNNNNNNNNNNNNNNNNNNNNNNNNNNNNNNNNNNNNNNNNNNNNNNNNNNNNNNNNNNNNNNNNNNNNNNNNNNNNNNNNNNNNNNNNNNNNNNNNNNNNNNNNNNNNNNNNNNNNNNNNNNNNNNNNNNNNNNNNNNNNNNNNNNNNNNNNNNNNNNNNNNNNNNNNNNNNNNNNNNNNNNNNNNNNNNNNNNNNNNNNNNNNNNNNNNNNNNNNNNNNNNNNNNNNNNNNNNNNNNNNNNNNNNNNNNNNNNNNNNNNNNNNNNNNNNNNNNNNNNNNNNNNNNNNNCGAUUUUCGCAGGUCUUGUUUUUCUUGAAUCUUGAAUCAUAUAAGCAUGAAUCGAUUGAAUAAUCGAUUAUAGGUGUUUUGAUUCAACAACGAAAUCAAAACAAUCGAUUCCUCAGUCGACUUCAUAAUCGAUUUGGCACUUAGCUGAACCCUUUCUGUAACUUGAACAUUUUCUUCAAUCGAUUCGUCAAUCGAUUGUGCUGAUCAUAGUGACUCAGACUUUUCCAUCAAUCGUUGCAUCAAUCGAUUGUGCGUGUUACAGAACCUCAGCUAUUUUGACAAAAUCUAUUUGCCAAUCGAUUUGAUCAAAGUUGUUCUGAUGAAUGAUUAAUUUGCAAUCGAUUGCCUAAUCGAUUGCGUCAAACUUGGAUUUUUAAGAAAACUAAAUCAAUUGAUGUCCCAAUCGAUUUGUUGCAUCACAGAACUUUAAACCUGAUUUUAAACUUGGUAUCAAUCGAUUUGGUAAUCGAUUGUUCCCAUCACUGAUUGUUUCUGUGACUUGCUAAAUCGAUUGCUCAAUGGAUUGCCCAGUCGAUUGUCUAAUCGAUUGAUUGUAUCCCAGAACUCAGGUUUCACUUAAAAACAUUUAUCCAAUCGAUUCCUCAAUCGAUUGAUGUAAUGAAAACACUUGUUCUGAGUCAGACAAUCGAUUUAUCAAUCGAUUCAUCAAUUGACUUUUUGGUUGAUUGAUUUUCAUUCAUAGGCAAAGACUUAAGUGUGAGACCAUAGUGAUUAGUCUACUAAACUUAUUACUAAGACACUUAAUAACACUAUACAAUUUUUGCGUCUUUCUCAAGUGCAUCCUCCAACUUUGGUUGAUUCAUUGAGUUGCAAGCUAUUGUUCCAAGUGUGUGGUGUCUUCUUGUUUGCCUGAAAUAUUUCUCAAUUCAAAAUAUUAGAUCAAUCAAAUAUUUCACAUGUACUGUGUGUUUGGGAAUUAAAUCAAAAACAUGAUCAGGGAAUUUUAGAUUAUAAAAUUUAUUUAUUUACUAUUUUGUUUGUUGAAUUGCUAUUUUUAUGAUUGUUCGAAUAUACAUUCUUUGAGAUAUUGUUUUAUUACGGGUUAUUGUUGUUAUUGUAUGUGUUCGAAAUGUGCUUAUGCUCCAUAUAGAUGAGUCUUGUACCCCAGAGUUAUUUACAUGGAUGAUCUAUGUGCUCUAUAUAGAUGACUGUUAUAUCUCACAUGAGAUGAAUUUUAAACUUCAAACAGAUGAAUCUUAUACUCUACAUUAGAUGAGCUAGUACUCCAUAUGAUGAGAUGAUACACACUUCACGAAAGUAGUAUAUCUUCAUAUAACAACGGAACAUCAUUGAAUUGAUUGAUGUAUUUUCUGUAGAAUAAAUGUGUGUAUUUUAUUUAUCUUAUUAUUAUAGAUGUGAAUUAUUGUUGAUUUUAAGUGAAUGAAUUUAUAUUAAUUAUUGAAAGUGAUUUUUUGUUAUAGAAAAUUAUUUAUAAUUCUAAAGUAUGUUUAGAAGAAUGCGGGUGCCGUGGUCCAUUUUUUCGGUUACCGUACCGGUUAAGAACAAUAUUUGUUUUAAAAUUGUGUGCAUUAUUCAAUGGAAUUUAGUAUCUCAUUAAAUUGUUAUUUUUAGAGUUUGAGAAUGAGACGACUGAGAACGUCGAGAACUAAAGACUUCUACAUUUUUUGAUAAUCAUUCCGUUAUAGUAGGUUAGUAGAUCAGGAAUAAGUCGACUCAAUGUCUACAUCGCAUUUUAUUUUGAGAUUAGUUAUUAAAUGUUCAAUUUAAAUAUUUUGAUUAUUAAAGAAUUUUCAAUUGAAAUAAUUUAAUUUAAAGAUUUUAUAAUAUUAUUUUUUUGGGAUAAUUCAUUAUUUAUUAUUAGUAUAUUAUUCUCUUAUAUAAAUAUAAAAGUUUUUUUUUGUUAUUAUCUCAAUUGUUAAACUCACGUUACUAGUAUCUUAUUCUCUUAUAUAAAUAUUGUUAAUCAUAACCGUUAGAUCAUUAAAAUUAUUUGACUUUUAUCAUUAUUACUUUUUUUAAGCUAAAAAUUUAUUAAAAAAAGAAAGAAAACAAAUAGGGGACAUAAACUUAACACAUGAUAAAAAUAAGAAAAAAAGAAAGAAAAAUGUGCUAAAAAAGUCUUCAAAUAAUGCAAGUUUUCUAACUCUUGGACGGAAAUUAUAAAUUAUAGCGUCUUUCUAUCUAUAUUUUUUCCUGUCCUUAAAAGUCACCUACGUAAAAAACUUUUCAGUAGACUGAUGUGCUUCUCUAGUAUCUCUAUCCUUAUAUAAUCUGAAACUUCUCAAUAUCUCUAAGUCAUGAAUAGGCAUGGCAACAGGGCGGGUCGGUAGCGGAUUUUGCCUCCUCCACCCCCGUGUCCGACUAAUUGGGGAAAACCCGCAUCCGCACCUGUUUCAUAGCAUGUGUGAAACUUAGACCUCCAUCGCCGCCCACAACGGGGUUCGGGUUUCCCCGCCCACACUCACACACAUAUAUAUAUAUAUAUAUAUAUAUAUAUAUAAAUUUAAAAAUCAUAUCUAUUAUAAUUAAUAUAAUAAAAUAAUAAUUAUUAAUAAUAAUAAAAUAAAAAAUUAUUUUCUACAGAGAUUAGAUUAUAAUUUUUAAUAUUUUAAAAAAUAUUAAGUAUAUUUAAUAUGUAUAUGUAUAGAAAAUUCAAAAAUUAUUAUAAUAUUAUCUGCGGGGCGGAUUCCGAAAUCCGCCUCCGUCCCCGAAAUUUAAUUUCAGAGAAAAUCCUCACCCGCACCCGAUCAAAACAGAUUUUCCCACCCAAAUUAAACGGGUUUGGGUGGGUAUCCGCUGGUGCGGAUUAUAUUGUCAUCCCUAGUCAUGAACAAUCCUAAGAUGUAAAUUACCAUCAGUAACAUUAACAUUUGGAUAAAUCAUGUUCGAUACCAUAAACUUUGAAUAUAGAUCAAUUGGCAAAGAAAUUUUUUUUUGGUGGUUUUGAAUAAUGUUCUCCUCUAACACUACAUCACUCCAAGAACCAACAAUACACAUUUUCACAUUGAUGAUCCUCCUGCAUAUGCUUUGCAUUAACUAUAUUAGAUAAAAUGAAAUCAGAUAUCUCUUGAAUUACAUUUUUAGGACUUCAUGUAGCCUAUAACUCAGAUUCCUGAGGCGUCUCUGGAAUGAUUCCUUAUUCUCCUAAAUUAAUUGAAUCCAAUUCAUAAGCUUCUUCAUGGUUUUUUUUAAUCAAUUUUUUCCUAAUUAGAGGGAGGUUCUUGAAUGCUGGAGAUAUGAUCAACAAAAGAAGAGUUAACAACACGAUGAAUAUUGUUACCUUAAAUAUCUUUGUUUAUACUUUCAGUUUUAACCUUGUCCAGAGCAGCAAUAUUUUCAGAGACAUACUUUAAACCAACUUCUUUAAUGCUGCAACAUCUUCAAUAGAGUUAGCUAUUCCAUCACCAUUAGAAUAUUUUCGACAUUUAUCUAUGGAAUGCCCUACAACCUUACAUGAUUCCAAAAAAAAAAAGUAGUUUUUUUUUAUCAUCAAUGUAAACAAAAAAUGCAUACCAUUCACGUUGAACACGAAUGUGAUAUCUCAGCUCUUGUAAUACAUCCAAAUUGACCAAAACACGAGCGAAAUCUCCCAACGCUUUUGAGUUUGUUGUUUCCUUAAGAGAUAAUGGCGUGUCAAUACCUGAAGCAAUUGUGAAAAUGAUCUUUGACCUCCAAUAUUCUUGAGACAAAUUGUAGAUACAAAUCCAACAUUGAGUCUUUUUGUUUCUUAACAAAUCCAACCUAUUUGUUUUUUUUACCAAACCCAGAUUGAAGUCUUUCGUCCAAGAGAAAACUCAAAGAAGAAUAGGUUUCAUUAUCUAGGUUUCAAUUAUUCGAACACUUUGCAAAUUGUCGAGAAAAGCAAAAGAGAACUCAUAAAUUAUUUUCCCGAAGGGAACAACUUGCCAUGAACCAAUCAAUUUUCAUAUUGUUAAAAGUUUUUCAUGUAAAACCGACAAUGUAAUCAGUGUAUUACCUUUAGACAUAGUGACUCUACCAUGAAGUUUAUUCUUGCAACUCAUCAAAUCUAAUUGAUAUUCAUCUUCUGAAAUUUUGGUAAUGGAUCUCAACCCUAUUACUUUUAAAAUCAUAUAUAUAGAUGAUUGUGAUAUACUAGCAAUAUAAUUUUUUUACACGGACGGCAGUGCACCGUAAUUAAACUCUUGUUUUUAUUCUUUCUUAUUUUUUAUCUACCAUCCUUUCGUUUUCUUUGAUAAUACCAAAGGAAGAAUAGAGUUACUUUUAUUAUUCAGUCAUCAGUAGUAUUCAGCGAAAGGAAUUGAAUCAGAGUUUGAAAGGGAUUGAAUUAAAAUGACAAGAGAGAAAUGAAGACAUAACUUGCAAAAAAAAUUGUCCUCAACACUUAUUCCAUGUAGGUUUUACACAAAUAGUCAUAUUCUUCUUUUUGUUCCAUUGUUACUUAAUAAUUUGCACCACUAAGAGACGAAAAUGACAUAUUUUUUAAUGGAACAAAUGACAUUAACCUAUAUUAUAAUAUUAUUAUUAAUAAUAACUCAAACGUAGAAAUGUGGGGAUAUGCAAUACUAUAGCAUGAAGACCAUUACUUUGUAAUAUAAUUAAUCAUGGUUGAUUGAAGUAGCUUGAACUCGAAGAGGUAGAACCCUCUUUAAGGUUAAUCCAAAGUGUUCCUCCAUGUUCAUAUGUUCAGGCAUUAGCCCAUCAGCAAGGUUGAAUUCGAAAUUAUAUAGAAGAGAAGCCACAAUUAAAUGCACACUCCUAUGAGCUAAUGGCAAUCCUGCACAAAUUCUUUUGCCUGCCCCAAAGGGUAAAAGUUCAAAAUUAUUACCCUUAUAAUUAAUGUCACACUCCAAAAAUCUUUCAGGCAUGAACAUAUUUGGAUUGUCCCAAAUGGUUGGAUCUCUUCCCAUGGCCCAUAUAUUGACUAAAACUUGUGCAUUUUUUGGCACAUUGAAGCCUAAGAUGUCCACAAUUUCAUCACAUUUAUGAGGUAACAAAAAUGGAAUGGGUGGGUGCAUACGAAAACUUUCCUUCACCACUGCUUGCAAGAAAGGUAACUUGGAAAUAUGUGAUUCUUCAAUUGUUUCAUCUUUCCCAAUUGUUUCACAUAACUCUUUUCUUACCUUUCUUAGUAUUUCAGGAUUACGAAGUAGUUCUGCCAUAAUCCAUUCGAUGGUGGUUGAUGUUGUGUCAAUUCCAGCAACAAAUAAGUCCUAAUAAAAUAUCAUUUCCAAAUUCAAUUAAAUACAACAUAUCAUAUAGACAUGAUAUAGAUGUAAUUAAAAUAUACUUAUGUUUAUGGUUAAGUGGAAUUAGUUAAGUUAGUUAUACUCUGCUUCAUAUUUUAAUUGUAUUAAAAUUUUCUACUUAAUUAUUUUUAUUUUUAUUUUUCUCUUUAACUAUAUUAAAUUCAACCAUGAUUCUCAACAUAUGAUAUUAGCAAAAGGUGAACAUUAAAGAUUAAACUAUUUUUUUUUAUGAAAAAACAAUACCAUUUAUUGUUUUAAAUACAUAAUUGAUAUAAUUUCAAUCUAAAUCUUUUUAUAAGUGUUCAAAAAUUUAUAAAAUCUUUCUUAAUUUCAACUGAAACAUCAUACUCUCAAUAUAAAUUUCUUUUAUAAAAAAUAUACAUAAUUAAUAUUGAAUGCCGUGAAUAAAUCCAUAAUUGAUAAAAUUGGAGAAGAUAAAUUAUUAUUAAUUUAAAUAAUUAUAAUAAAGAACUUAUAGUUAUUUUACAACUCAUUUAAACUUACCUCUCUUGAAGAUACCUAAGUAAACUCUUACCAGUCAUUAUAUAUAUAUAUGACACCUCAUAAACAGUAAAUGAAAAUUGAUUAGUAUUAAGCAAUGUCGAUCAAAUGCCAAAAGUGGUCCAAACAAGAAGUGCCCGAAUAUCAAAUUAGUCAUAAUUGUUCCCAUAAGAACAAUCAAUGCAAGGACUAAAUGAACGUUGGGAUAUUCUACAUUGGUCCACAUGGAUGUAGCAUACUUAAGAAACACAAGUUUGUACGUAGAAACAAUAUUGGAUCUCCAUUUCCAUAUAACACAUUUGCAAUGGAACAAGAAGUUUAGUUUAACUAGAACUGGAAGAUUUGUCUCAUUUAAAACAUCACAAAUUGUUUAUUUAUUUAUUUUUGAGUUAAAUAUAAUUUUAGUCUUUAUAAAAUUUUAAGUAUUAGUUCCUAUAAAAAAAAAUCAUAUUUUUUAGUUUUUAAAAAAUUAUUCUACAAGCAGUUUUAUUUUAGUAACUUUCAACUCAAACUUUUGAAUGAUUUUUUGAAUAAUGUUUAGAAAAUAAUAAAAAGUUCUUUCACAAAUAUAAAAAACUCAAAAUAAAAGUAGCAAAAAUAUGGAUCUCAAAAUUAAAUUUUGUGUUUAUUUUAUAGAGAAAUUUUUUAUAUUAUUGUAAAGAUACUUUCAAAAAUUCAUUUAAAAAUAUAUGUUGAUUUCACAAUAGAAGUUAAAACUGUAUAAAUGAUAAUUUUGUAAAGACUAAAAAUAUAUUUUUAUUUUAUAGAGAUUAAAAUUGAAAGGUUGAAAAUUUAUAGAAACUAAAAAUAUAUUUAACCUUUAUUUUAAACAUACAUACAAAAAAUACUCAAUAAUGUAAUUUGAAAUUCUAGCAAAGAUUAAAAUUAUUUAUAUGAUAAUUUUAUACAAGCUAAAAUAUUUGAUUUUUUUAUUGGAUUAAAAAUGAAAUUUUAUAUUUUAAUAUUACUACAAAUUUAUUUACUUUUAUUCUAUUUUAAAUGUGAUAUAACUAAAACUUUAUUUAACUUUUUUAUUUUAUUUUAAAUAAAAAGAGGUGGUACGCUGUAAAUUUUAUUUAUAACUCAAUUGUCUCUUAUAAAAAAGAGUGAAAACAUAUUUUAUACCAAUGAAGUGUUGAGAUCUAGCAGAAUGAGUUAAGCUCCUAUAAUAUGAUGAAUCUGAAUCCGAAUUCGAAUUCUAUUUAAAAAAUAUAUCUGCAUUUAUUGUCUAACGUGUGUUGAAUAUAAUUACUUCUUAUUAAUGGAACCUUUUGGGAAGAAAAAGAUAGUAAUAUUUUCUAUUUAUGGUGGACUAUCAUUUAUCAAUAUAAAUUACUUUGCAUUCAACAACUAAUAUGACAACUAUUUAAAAAGUUUAUAUAAAAAAAUAGCUAUUUAAAGAGAAUUUCGGUAUAACUAAUUACUAUAUAAAAAUUAAAUCAAAAUAAAUAUAAAAUUUUGAGUUAAAUAAAUUUUUUUAUCUUUAUAAAAAUUUAUAAUUUUAUUUUUACUCUAUAUAAAAAAUUUUCUUAACUUUUUAGUCCUCAAAUUUUCUCAUUUUUAUUUAUGGAACAUACUUAUUUAAGUCAACUCAUAUGUAUCAGUCUAAUUUUUAAAUAAUAUUUUGUAGAUAUAUUUAAUAAAUUAUGAAUAUCUCACUUAUAAAAAUUUAAAUUUUAUUAACAAAACAUUAAUCAAAUAUAAAUUUCUAACUAUUUGGUGCUAAAAAAUUUAUAUUUUAUUCAUAUUUUGUAUAAAAAAAUUAAAUUUUUAUGUGGUAGAUUCUUAUAAUAUUUUAAAACUAAUAAAAAAUUAGUAAGUUAUAAACGAAUAAACUUUAAAACAGAAACAAAAAAUAACAAAGGAAAAAUUUUAAGAAUUAAAAAACAAGUAUAUAAACGAAAAACUUAUUUAGCUUAUUAAAAAAAUGAAUACUAACCAGAAAUAGAUGCAACAUCUCAUCGCGGGUCAAUUCUAAGCUUAUAUCUCCAGUAUUGUUAAGAAGUGAAUCUAACACAUUGUUGUAAACCUCAUAAUCACCUUUUGAAGCUCUUAAACAAAUUCUUUCUUCAAUAAUUUCAUCAAAAAUAUCACACAACUUCUUCAUAUGAGUGGUCAUUUUUCCAAGCACUCUUUGUGGAUCUAAUAGACGAAGAAUUGGAAAGAAAUCUGAAACAUUAGGCCUACCAGCUUCUUCCAUGAUACCAAAAAUAGCGUUCUCAAAUAAUUGAUGAUCAUACUUUUCAUCAGAUGUUGAAUGAAUCAAAUCCUUAGAGAACAGAGUGUUUGAAAUUGAAUUAAGGACAGUUGUGAAAACAACCUUACCAAUGUCAAAAACCUCACCUUUCUUGCUUUUUUCAUUCACAUAAUCCAAUAAAUCUUGCAACUUUUUUUCACGAAUGAUUUUUGUUGAGUCAAGCAUUUUUGGAGAAAAUACUUUUGUAGCACAAAUUUUCCUUAGUUUGGUCCAUGGUGUUGAUAAGGGAAGCCAUGCUACUGAGAAUUUGUAAUGUUGAGUGGCAUGGACAGCAUGUGGGAUUGUCCUAUUAGAGAAGAAUUUUGAAUUUUCUUGAAGCAAUUGUUUGGCUAGUUGUGGGGAUGAGAUAACUAUGGUUGUUAUGUUUCCUAGUUUUAUUGUCAUGAUUGGUCCAUAGAUUUUAGAGAGUUUUGUGAAUGUUUUGUGUGGGUUUUUGCCAAGUUCUAAGAUGUUUCCAAUAAUGGGAAGUGGGUUUGGCCCUGGUGGAAGCUUUGUAGAAUUUUGGGUUUGGUUUAAUUUUCUAAGUAUGAAGAUGAGAAUGCUUGCACUUACAAAGGAAAUUAGUAUCACAAGUUUUUGGUAGUCCAUGGCUUAUUGCUUUUGCCUUUCCUUUGUCUCUCUCUCACACACAUAUAUAUACUAUAUGAAAUAAUGUCACUCUUUUAUUAACUUCUAACAACCUUGGCCUCUACCUAAAACAUAUAAGAGUGUUUGCAUAUUCUCUCCACUUCAGAUUCCAGCCAACACCACCAUAAUCUUUUACUAUUUAAAACUAGUUUUAGAUGAAGGAUAAUUAUGUAAAUUUCAUUAUUUUUUAAAAGUAAAUAAAUAAUAUACAUGAUUUUCCCAUUUUGUUGCAACACUUCGUUCAAUGCUGGUUAUGGAGCUGAAUCAUUCUCACUCACACUCACACGUUGAACAUGUUGAGGAUGCAUAAUUAAAGUCACAUAUCAUUCUCAUGAAAUAUUUCAUUAGUUUGUAUGAUAAUGAAUUAAUGUCAUUUUUAAUAAAAGAGUUUAAUAAUGUUUUUUACCACGUAAUAUGGAGGCAAUCUAAUUUUGGUUCUGUAAAAAAAUUGAUUCCACUUCCAUUAUUUAGUAUUCUCUCAUUUUUUAUUUUUGUUAAAAUUUGGUCUUCACCAACAGACAAUAAAUUUGGCGAAAUCAGUUAAACUUCAACGUCAUAAUGAAUUUGAAUUUCUAUUAUAAGUAUCAUAUGUAUUUGGAGUAUACCUUUGAUGUAGAAAAACUAUGACCAUAUUAAUAAAAUAACAAAUCAAAAAAAUGGUGAUAUUUGAAUAGAAUCUCUUGGAUGGUCACAAGAUUUUGAUCACAAGUUUUAGGAUCAAUCAAAAAAAUGAAAUAAGAUAGAAAGAGAAAAAAAAAUGUAUACUUUUCAAAUAAUAAAAUGAUAUAUUUUUAUGUGUGGGGCUAAUACUGUGCUCAAAUUCUUUUGAUCAUUUAAGUAUUUUUCUAAUCGAAUAUCCUUGAUUUUCCAACACAUUAUCAUGUUACACUACUAAUAUAUUAUAUUAAUUUUUUUAUUAGUCUAUUUCUUGCUCUCUCAAAAUAUUUGAAUAAAAGAAAUAUACAUCGUCAGGGUAAACUAAUUUUAUUGAAAUUUUGUUGAAUAGUAACCUUUGGGUAAAAAAUGUUAACAUAUGACCAUCAAGCCCAAGGUAUUUGGGUAAAAAAUUCCAAAAAUACUGCAACACCACUCUCCUACUCCUUCCAGCUAUUCAACAAAUCCAACAAAAACAUCAAAGUUGAUCGCUUAUAACAUAGUCGAUAGUUAUUAAGUUAAUUAAAGUGUUUGAUAAAAUUAAUAGUUUAAUUAAUUUAAAAUGUAAAAUGAAAUAAAGAAUAUUCUUAAUUAAAAGAAAAUUUUGUCAAUUAACUUUAAAAUAUUUUAAAAGUGGUAAUUUUUUUAUUUAUUAUUAAUUUAGAAUUUAACAAUCUUAUAUAUAUUUUAUAUUUAUUUAUUUUAUUUAUUGUAUAUUAAAAAUAAAAUAAAUUAUUUUAAAAUUUUGAAUUAAUUCUACAUAAUUUUAAUUUAUAAUAAAUAAAUUAUUUACUUUAAAAUAUUAAUUCUUUUAAAUUUUAAAUUAGUUAUAAAUAAAAUAAUUUAAAAUUAUAAUAAAUAAAUUAUUUAUUAAUCCGAUAUAUUUUUUAUUUUAUUUAGCUAGUUUAUUUAUUUUAAAUUGUUUACUUUAAAAUAUGAUUUAUUAAAAUUACUUUAAAUUUUAUAAAUUAUAUAAAAAUAAAUUAUUUAUUUUUAAUUAUAAAAGGUAAAAAUAAUUAUUUACAAUAAUAAAAGUAAAAUUAGAAGAAAAAAAAUUGAUUUGCUAUAAACUCACAAAUUACUUGAAUUAAUUUGUAAAAAAUAUUAUAAGUUAUAAGUUCAUAAAUAAUUGUUACUAACGAGGUCUUAUAAUUUAUAGACUAUAAACUUGUUUUUUGGCCUUGCCAAACAGAACCUAAAACCUAGAAAAUUAGAGGUUCCGAUAUCUUUCUCAUAAACCUAUUGAAUAAAAUUUUUAAAAUUUAAUUUAAUGAAACCAGUUUAACAAAAAUACUUUCAAUAUUUUGAGUAAAAUUCAAUUAAUUAACUGAACCAAUUAAUAAUUACUAAAAAAGAAAACACAGACAAAAAAAAGAAAAAAUUUAAUGGAUGUGCAUUAUAAAUGUAAUACAUAAAUUUUAUUGGUGUGUAAAAGUGUUUUACUCUGACAAGGCACAUGCCUUUUCUCAAAAAAGAAAACAAAAUCCUAAUAACUCUACAAAACCAUUUCCCAGAAUUUCUUCAAACAAUACCCACAAGAAGGGUAGCAUAGUGUUACCUAUUGCUUUUGCUUUUAAGAACUCAAUGUGUUUUUCUGUAUGUUUAUUGAGAUUCCAUGUCGCCGACUUAAAUUUUUCUAUAACAAAAGGAAAGAUCUGAGAGAGAUUCAAGUGAAAUAUUGGAGAUAUUAGUGUUUUAAUUUUAUUUUUAUGGACUCAAAUAUUAUUAUUAUUUUGUGUACAGAAAAAAUACUAAAGACCUCGUUAACUCAUACUUAUAAUUACAAGGUAUCGAGUUUAAAUUCGAGUAUAAUAUAGAGAGAGAUUCAAGUUAAAUAUUGGAGAUAUUAGUGUUUUAAUUUUAUUUUUAUGGACUCAAAUAUUAUUAUUAUUUUGUGUACAGAAAAAAUACUAAAGACCUCGUUAACUCAUACUUAUAAUUACAAGGUAUCGAGUUUAAAUUCGAGUAUAAUAUAGAGAGAGAUUCAAGUUAAAUAUUGGAGAUAUUAGUGUUUUAAUUUUAUUUUUAUGGACUCAAAUAUUAUUAUUAUUUUGUGUACAGAAAAAAUACUAAAGACCUCGUUAACUCAUACUUAUAAUUACAAGGUAUCGAGUUUAAAUUCGAGUAUAAUAUAUAAUUUAGUAAUAUCGAUAUUUAUUAGUUAAAUUAAAAUUUAAAUAAAUAAUUUAAAUAUUAUUAAAAUGAUUAAUCACUUAAAUUUUACGACCAAAACAUUAUUUCGUCGUAUCAAUAUUUUUAUAACUGAGAGAAUUUUAAACAAUGAGGAUCACAUCAAAAACAGAAUUUUUAAAAUAAAAAAUACUAUUAUCUUACCUUUACUUUAGAUUGGAUUAUUGGAACAUCAUCAUUUCACUCUAAUUUUUUUUCCAUUAAAAAAGAAAACCUUUAGAAAUAGUAAUCUAUAUAAUAAUGAUAAUUGAAAGUUAAAAUAAUAAUUAAUGGUACAUCAACUCUCAUUAAUAAUUAAAGCCUCUGCAUAUAGUUUAAAGGGGAUAUGCUGUCGUGAAACUUUGAUUUGUAAUUGUAACUCUUAACUUAUGCCUCUUGGUUGAAUUUGAUAAUACUAGUGGUAUUAACAGAAUUUGAUAUACUAAUUUAACUUUUAUGGUUUUAUCAGUCUCAACACUUUAUUUUCCUCUUAAAAAAGACAAAAUACUUCCGACAAUUAAUUUCAGCUAAAAAUUCAAAUUUUUAUUUUUUUUUAUUAAUUUGAUCUUUUAUUUAAUUUUAAGUAACGAUCUAAUUAUUUAUAUUUUAAAAUAUUAAUAAUGUCUUUUUUAUAAAAAUCCAAAAAAUUCAUCAUCAUAUUCAAACAAAAUCUAGAAAAUUCAUUAUCAGUUUCAAAUAAAAAUUAUACAUUAAUCAAAUCUAUAACUCAAAUAUUCAAAUAAACUCAUAUCUCCAUCUCCAAUAACAACAUCACCAAAUUCAUCAAAUAAAAAAUUCACCAUAUAAGUUUUGAUCUUCAAUUCACUAAGACAAUAUCUUCUUCUUCAUUCUAUCAUUCUCCAAAUCAAAUCUCUAAUAUAAAUCUUAUUUGAUAAAUUAGUGUUAUUGUUGUUGAUGAAGAUGGAAAUUAUUUGAUUAAAAUCUGAAUUUUGUUCAAGAUAAUACUUAAUAUUUCGAGUGUUGUUUGAAAAUGAUGAAUUUUUUGAAAUUUUAUAAAAAAAUAAUAAUAUUAUUGAUAUUUUAAGAUAUAAAUGAUUAAAUCAUUAUUUAAAAUUAAAUAUAUAAUAAAAUUUCAAAAAAAAUAAUUAAUAAUUAAAUUAUCACUUAAAAUUAAAUUAAAAUACUGCAUGAAAUAUUAAAAAAAAAAAAUACUUUCUUUUCGGAUAAAAAAAUAACACUUUGUUUUCCAUUUUUUGAAGGCAAUAAUCUUUCACCCCUUUCUCUACUUGCAGAAUUUUUGUUCAAUGUCCCCCAGCUGGAUGUGUUUAUGCUCUUUUUCUUUAUAGUCAUUUAACAUUUUUUUUAUUAUAUUAUUAAAAUAUCACAUAUAUUAUAUAUUUUUUCCUUUAUUUCUUUUUUAAAAUGUACAUGAAGUGUAUAAAUAUCUUUAUAAGUUUCCCUUUUCGGGUUAUGCUAAGAAAGACACUUUUUUUUAUUUACUCAAUCAAAGACUCUUGUUAAAAGGAAAGAAAAAGAAAUUUAGGAGAAAUUUUCAAUUCUUACAAUUCAAAAGCUAUUUCCCUUUUCUUAAUUUUUUUUUAUUUGCAACAAAUUUAUAAUUUAUCAUUUUUUAAAAAAGUUUUAAAUUUGUGUAAAAGUUGUUAAAUAUUAUUACAAAAAUUAUUUAAAAAAUCUAAGUAAUAUACUGUAGUUGAUUUAAAAUCAAAGAUAAAAAAUAAAAAGAGAAAUUAAAGUGAGUAUUGCUUCACGUGAAUGAUUGAGUGGUUUAUAAUAAGCCACACUAUGGUUAAAGUGAAUAUUAUUCAGCUGCAUAACCAAUUAACCAUAUAUCUAUAAUUAAAUGGAAAAAAUAGAUAAAUUAAGGAUUUUAAAAUAAAAUAAAACUAAAUUACAAUAAUAACCUUUUAUAAAGUAGUGUUUUAAAAAGAGAUACAGAAAUGUUUUUUCUAAAUAAAAAAUGUGUAAGUUAUUAAUAUAUCCUUCUUAUUACUGUUGGAUGUGUAUAUAUAUUAUUUUUUAAUUUAUCCAAUAAUGAAUCCAUUUGUUUAAGUUUUUAAAAGAUAAUUUUGACUUUCUAUUUUUAAAAAUAAUUUUUACGAAUAUUUAUUUUAAAAUAGUAAAAAUUGUUGUAGAUUCAUUUAUUAUAGAUUAAAAAAAUUAGUUUUAAUAUUUAAUAACUUAAAUAUUUAUUAUUAAAAAAUUUAACAUGAUAAAAAUCAUGCUUUAUUUACAAAAUAUAUCUCUCAAACAUAAUUUUUAUGAAUAACUCUUCAAAAUAACUUCUUAUUUUAAUAAUUUUUUUGAAAUUUUAUUAAUAAAAAAUUACAACAAAUAAAUAAAAUACUUAAAAUGAUAUUUUAAGAUAAAUUAUUUAAACCACUUUUUAUUUGAAACUUUAUUUUAAUUUUUUAUUAGAAACAUAAUAAUAAAAAAUAAAUACUAUAAAAAUUGUUUUAAAUUUUAUUUUAAACGCUCAAAAUUUUAAAAUGUCACUUGUUACUGAUAAAUUCACCUGUCAAUUGAGUUGCGACGAAAGUAGAUAUUUUUAUUAAAUAAAAUUGAGAGUAUAAUACAUAAUUAUAUAUAUAUAUAUAUAUAUAUAUAUAUAUAUAUUAAAAAAUAUAAAAAUUAUUCAAUCUAAUAAUAUUAAUAUUUAUCAAAUAAAUUACCAUGAGAUUAUAUUUUAAUAUUGAGGGAGUACUGAUCCAACUUCCAAUUACUUCCCACAAGCAUAUAGUUUUGUCUUACUGUGUGCUUGUUGGCUUGAUUUUAAUUCGUGCGGCUAUUGUUGUCAUAUUUGACUCACUUAGAUGUUGACUUGGUUGUUCUCUUGCGUCUAACUUUUGUAGAUCUUGUGCACGUGAGAGUUAGUUUUUUUUUGUUUUUUUUUUGUCUACUACAAAUAAUUCACAUAGAAUUAGUUUUAAAUAAUAUUCUUUGAAGUUAAUUUAUAAAUAAAUUUUAUAUUAAUAAUUAAUUACAACCAUUAUAUUAUUAAUAAUAUUUGACUUUUGUCAUAACUAUAUAUAAAAUUAUUCAUUCGGAUUGGUCAUGAUGAGUCAACGUUGUAUAAAUAAAUUUUAUAUUAUUAAUUAAUUACAACUUUUAAAUCAUUAAUAAAGUUUGACAUUUCUCGUAACAACUUAAAAAAGUAUUCAUGUGAUUGAUUAUGAUUAGCAUAUCGUGUAUACCUUUUUACAUUGUUAAUACAUAAAAAUUAAACUCAUACUUUUUUACUUAUUCAAAACAUUCGACAUAACAAUAUUAGCAUUUUUCAAUUAAAUUAAAAUGUUAGGAUGCAAAAAUUAGUUUUUAAUAAUAUUCUUUGAAUUUAAUUUAUAUAGUAUAGAAAAAUUUUAUAUUAUUAAUCAAUUUGUAACUAUUAAAUCAUUAAUAAUAUUUGACUUUUGUCAUAACUAAUUAUAUAGUCACUCAUAUAAUUAUUUAUGAUUAGACAAUUGUGUAAAACUAAUGUCAAUACAUAAAAAUCAAUCUCAUAUUAUUUUGCCUCUCUAUCUCUUUGAAUUUUACUUCUCUUUUCAUUAUCUUUUAAUUUUCUAAGCAUUUUCUCUAUCUUAAUUACAAGAGAGAUACAAAUGAUUAAUAGAGAUUAAAGAAGAUUUAAACAGGUAAUGGAAGUACAAGUGAGUUAGUAGCUUUAAUAAUAUUAAUAUAUAGAAGUUCAAGUUCGAAUCUCAAAUUUAUCAUUUUACUAUAAUUAAGGUGUGUGCACAUAGAUUAGAUUAAUUGAUCCCAAAAAAAUUAGAUUUAGAGAUCAACAUCCCUUUCUCCGAGACAUAAUAGCUUCACUACGAGAUGUUAUUGUGCAGUGGUACUAUGUUAUCACUUUCUACACAUAUUUUCAGAGUGUGUUUGGUUCUAAGAAAAAAUUGAGAAGAGAAACAAAAAUAGAAAAAAAAAAUGUGAUUAGGAGAGAAAAGAACUAAAAAAUAAAGUAAAUUUGAUAUAAUGUUUUAUAUCAGACUACCAAGAGAGGAGGAGUAGAAGAGAGAAUUUUUUUCUUCUUUUGUUUGGUUUGAUAGAAAGAGGGAAGAUAUAAAUCAUAUUAUUUUCUAUUAAAACUGAAUUAUUAUUUUUUAAUUUAAUUAAACAAUUUAAUUUAACUUUUACUGUUAAACUAAUUCAAAUAAUAGAAUUAUUUAAGUAAUCUAAAAAACCAAAUUAGCUAAAUUAAAUAAUUAAGUUAGUUUAAAUUAUUAUUAAUCUAACUAAAUCCUUAUGGGAUUAAAUUGUGGGUUAGAUGCUAAACAAGAGAAUGAUGUGAGAAAAUGUGAUGCAGAUUCCAUGGAAAGUGAUUUUAUUUUAACUAUAAAUCUUCUCAUUAAAUACUAACAAAAAGUCAAUUUGUAAUAAACAGCCAAUGUAGAAUCAUAUUCAUAGAAAUAAGAAUACUCGUGUCUAUUAUAAAUUCGAGAUAAAAACAUUUAUGAUAUAGAGUCUUUUAGGAAUAGAAUAACUUUCAAUAUUUCAUAAGGAAUUAUUUUCAUGUUAGAGGUUGGAAAAAUAAAUUCUCAUAAAUUUCAUAUACAUUUUUUAAAAUUAUUUAUAAUUACUAAUCUUUCUAAGAAAUUAAUUAAUUAGAUGUGUGCCGAACAUUUUUUUAAAAAAUAUAUCAGUAUAUUCCAAAAAAAACUAUUUCUGCUGUUCAUCACUAGAAACAAACACUUCCCAUGGAACAUGAAGGAUCGCAUAAAAAGUGGUCUUUUAAUAUUUUUUGGUAAAUGUUAAUAAAUAUUCUUGAUGUAUUUUUUAAUGAUCUAAAGAAAAAAUAUUAAUCCAUUGGAAUGAAAAUAAGCAAAAAUAGUACUUACUCAGUCUUAUUUGCGAUUUUUCUCUAUAUUAAAAUAAUUGUCACUUCUUAAUACCAUAUUGUUUCCAUUUAUAUACUUUAAUUUAUUAAAUUGCAUUCCACUUGAUUACUCCACUAAUUAUAAUUAGUAGGAAUAUAUUACUUAGUUACUCCACUUCUAUACAGUAUUUAUAAAUUAUAAAUAGAAGCUAAUACGUAUAGAAUUUAAGAUGUCAAUUAAAGUUUAAAAUUAUGAAUAUAAAUUAGAAUGUCAAUUAAAGAUAAAAAAAGUUAAUUUUGUAGAAUGUCAAUUAAAAUUAAAAAAAAUUGUAAAAGUAGAGUAAAAGAAAUCCACAGAAAUAUUUGGUGUAUGGGAAAUUAUAACAAAUGCUUUGAUAGCAUUUUUUUUACGAUGAAAAUCUUGAAAACUCUCAUUCUUGAAUACUUUCAUCCUCUUCACAUGAGAUGCAUACGAUGCCUCCUAACUUUCAAAUGAUCCAAUUUGUGACCAAACAGAAAUUUUCUUGGAUCUCUCAUAACAAAAUAAGGGUAUAGCAAUGAAGCAAAUUAGAGGUAGAUUUUGCCUCUUCCACUCUACACCACAUCCAACUAAUCGGAGAAACUCACAUUCGUUCUCAUUUCAUAACGGAUAUGAAAUUUAGGUCCUCAUCUUCGCUCGCAACAGAGUUUGGGUUUCUCCGUCUAUGCUCGCACCUAUUAAUAUAUAUAAAAUUAUAAAUUUAAAAAUUAUAUCUAUUAUAAUUAAUAUAAUAAAAUAAUUAUUAUUAGACAAUAAUAAAAUUAAAAAACAUUUUCUAUAGAAAUAAAAUUAUAAUUUUUAAUAUUUAAAAAAAUAUUAAGUAUAUUCAAUAUGUAUAUAUAGAAAAUUUAAAAAUUAUUAUAAUAUUAUUUGCAGAGUGAAUAUUACCGCUUCAGACCCGUCCCUAUCUCGAAAUUUUAAUUUUAAAGAAAAUCCACAUCCUUAAUUAUAAUUAAUAGAGAUUACUUCAAUAAAAAUACUAAUACCAAAUAAGUACCAAGUACUUUCCUAUUUUAGAAGUAUCCUUCAACAUUAAUAGAACCUUUUUUUUUUCUUUGAAGACUGGUCCAUUAUUAAUUAGUCUUUAUCAUACAAAAAUAAUAGUUCAAUGCAAUCUUCUCAUUCAUUAAUAAAUGGUUGUUACACUUUAGUUAACUUCAAGAGAAUUCAAGUUUAAAUUAUGAAAUAUUUGUUAGUCUAAUUUUAUUUCACAACUAAAUUCUAAAUUAUUAAUAAUAAUUCAAUGCAAACAAUGACCACUUAAAUAAGUAGGGAUAAACAAAAUCAGUUGACCCGAUCGAACCCGAGUCAUACGAAUGAGAAAAUUUGAUAUGUGCGCAAAUUGCAUUGAAUCACGGGUUUGCAAAUGUGGAUGUAUACAAGUUUGAGUGGUCGAACACAGACGAAAAUAAAUAAACCUACAAUCACCCAAACGCGAUAGCUCCACUAAUCUUAGUUACAAAAACUCAUAUUUUUUAGAGUGAGACUCUCAAUGUUGCUUAGUCACCACACCAUCAAUUUGAUAAAUAGGUUGUUCGAUAAAAACAUAGUCAAACAUUAUCAAAAACAUUGAAAACUUAAUGCAUUUUUCUUAUAAAAAACACUUUGAAAAAAAUAAAUAAAAAAUUAAAGAAAAUAAACAACCUAAUAAAUAAAUAAAUAAAUAAAAAGCUCAUCACCCGGACCAAGCCACCAUAUAACCUACAAACUCGGCUAAAUCGAUGCCAAAAAAUCAAUUGAGAUAAGGUUUGUAAUUCGCAAGUUCAAGUUUGAAUGGUUUGAAAAAAUUAGCUAGAACCCACUCAUAUUCGAUCGAUACUCAGCCCUAAUGAUAAGCAAGGUUUCUCUAAGGGUAAGAUUUCUAAAGAAAUCGCUUUAGGCCACACAAAAAAAUUCAAAUUUUACUUAUUAAAAUGACCUCCAAAAAUUUUUUGUCCUUAAUAAAAAAGCUUCAUAUUCUCGUAUUUUUAAAAUAUAAAAUUAAUGAAAUCUUAUCUAAAAUUAAUAUUGUCUCAACAAAUAUUAAAGUAAUUGACUUAAUUAACAAUAAAAAAAGAAAUAUUAUAUAACAUCAUUUAUAUUAAUUUAAUAAAUUACUUUUCUUCUUAAAUGUCUAAAAGUUAUUUUUUUUAAAUUAAUAAUUUUACUAAAACACUAUUAUAGACUCAAAAAAACAUCAUAAUAAAAUUAGCUUUAAGUUCAACUGAAAAUUACCGAUACUAUUUCCCUGAAUAUCGUGUUUUGAGUUUAAAUUUAAAACUUCAUAGUUGUAUGUAAAUUUUUUUACCGCUUACUUUACCUAAAAAAAAAUAAAUAGCUUCAAGUCACCUUAUAUCUUUGGUCGGUCCUGAAAAUAAGUCACUUUUUUAUAGAAAAUGGAACGUUUGCACAUUGUUUUAUGGAGUCCUACUAAAUUUAAGGAUAGAUCAUCUUUAUUAGAUAGUAAUCAAAAUAUAAGUAAAAGUUAAAAUAGAUUUGAUCCUAUUGAGGAAUACCAUCAAUCACAACAAUAUAAUGUGGAAAUACUAAAAUCGGAGAAAAAUCACAGUUGUUGUCAUAUGACAACUAAAUAAUAACUUUAUGUAAAAAUUAUUAUAAUAUAUAGACUUUUCUCAAAUAACCUCAAGAUUCAUGUACAUCCGGGUACACUCUCCCAAAAAAGUACUAUUGAAGCAAAAUCUCAAAUCAAAUAUUUUUAGGAUAAAAAAAUAGUUAAUCAAUCAAUAAUUAUGAUUCUGAAUUAUAAUGUUAUUUAACUUGUGUUUUUGAGUAGUCUAUUUAAAGAUAGAUGAUCAAAUAUAUUCAUACAAAAAUCACAUGUAUCUCUAUGAAAGAAAUCAAGAACAUCAUGUCUUACAUAUUGCUUAAAGUUGUUCUUGAAAGAAUCCUCAAAAUCAAUAUCGAAAUGAAUUGGACAAUGAUCAUAAGAACAUUAUGGAUGUUCCUUAUUAAAUAAAAAGUCAAGACAUGUCAUUUUCUACAAUCCAAACCACAAGUUUAGAGUGUCAAAACUACUCAAAUCAGUGGUUAAGCCCAUAACUCGAGUUGAAGGCCCAAAGAAGAAAAACAAUCUUUAGAUUGAUCUCCAGAUUAAUGAGCUGUGAGUAAAGACAACUGAGACACAAGUACAUUGUUGUUGCACAUUGAAGUAGCAAUAUCAAUCACAAGGAAGGUGGUUUGAAUUGUGAUUCCCUUUUAAAAAUUAAUUCAUGCUUUUAAUUUUAAACUAACUCAAGAUUAAUCUUGAUUAUAAAAAAAUGCAUAACGUUCUUAGUUAGUGAAAAUAAAUGAAACAUAUUAUUUCUACGUAAUUAGUGAUUGCGAGUGAAAAAUAAUUAAAGAUAAGGAUAAGAGAAUCACACAAUGAUAUAUUCUGGUUCACCCAAGGUGAGAUACAUCAAGUACUCACAAUUUGUGAGUUUUUCCACUAAUGUACUUUACACAAGAACGUUCUUGCUUUCACAAAUACUUUUUUGAAUACUCUUGAUCAGUUACAGUUUUUUCCUUUCAACAUUGAAAUGAUUUCUUAUAAUUACCUUUUAGUCCAUACAUGAUUUUUACACGUUACUAUCUAAUUACAAAAAGGAUUUUUACAAACCUCUAAAACUAUCUUUAAGAAUAUAGUUUUGAGUUUCAAAUGAAAUUAUAAAAGAAUGUUGAAGGAUCAGAAUCUAUUCAACACUUGUUUGAAAUUAAUUUUCAGCAAAAACUCAGUAAAAAGAUCAUUCAAUCUAGUGUAAGAGAACUGAAGCACUUGUUGUCUUCACCUUGAGGUUCUUCUAUUAGGCGUGAUAAAGGAUGAUGACAGCUUAUAUAGCUAUUAGUGAUCCAUCUGUUCAUAGUGAUGUAGACAUGUGUUUUAUUUUAACCAAAACAUUCAUGCUUUGUAGCUAGAAUAUUAUUCGUUUGUGCUUUGAGUGAAUACUCUGACUGAGAGCUUUUAGCAUUUGUUUGGUGUCAUAAGGUGCAACAUCAAUGUCCAUUUCAUCCUUGUUGACCUAGUUGUACUUGUUCAUAAGUCAUCAAUAUGGAGAUUGGUCUUGUUAUUGUUCUUUAUGUUGUUUUGCUUCUCUUGAUCUUUUGGGCUUGAGCAUGGCUCGUUAAUGUUUUGACUUGAUCUUGUUAUUGUCCUUGAUGUUGUUUUGUCAUCUUUAAAAUGAACUAUCCAAAAUGAUCUUGGAUUACCAGACUGUUGCUUUUUUGAACUAUAAUGUUAUUUUAUAUACCAUAAUGAUCUUGUGUUGUUGUAUAUGAUUGUCUAUCUUGGAAUAACACACUUAAGAGCACAAGUUAAAUAGAAACACAAUUAGAAUCAUAAUUAGAAAUUAAUUAAAUUGUUUGUUUAUCUUCAAAACAUUAAUUUGAAGUUUUGCCUCAACACACCUUUCUGCAGAAAGAUUUGCAUGCUUGAAAGCUAUAAGACUGAUAUAUCACAAUCUCACUUACUCAUUCACGUUCUCCAUGAAACUAAAAAAACAAGAACGUUCUAUUUAUCAAAAAAUAAUCUAGACAAAAUAUAACAUGUGCUUAAUAGACAUCAAUCAAAACUAAUAGUCUACUAAGGUUCUCUAACGGCUAUAUUCAAACUGAUAUAAGUCUUUCGAAUUUCUCUUCUUCUAUAAAAGGAACACCAAAGAUAAGACAAAGACAAGAGUUUUAAAAGCAAUCAAUCUACACUUGAUCAUUCAUACUCAAGUAACAAAGUUCUUCUCUCAAGAAAAACUUUAGCUCUCUCAUUAUAUUCAAGGAUCAUUUCACUGAGUUCUUGCUGAUAAUCAAUCUCAAACAAGUGUUGGUAAAUUUUUAGAUCCUAAACAUUUAUAUUAUAUGAUACACAUCAUUUGUAACUCAACUCUAUCUCUUAUGUUAUUUUGAGUGUGUUGAAAAAAUCCUUUUAGUUAUUGAAAGGUACUUGUAGAAUUCAUUUCUAGACUGAAAUGUGACUGUAAAAUUUAUUUCAAAGUUGAAAGGUGAAAGUUAUAAUUGACCAAGGGUGGUCAAGAAAGAUAGUGCAAAAACAUAAUGUUAUGGUGAUAAGCAUAUUAGUGAAAAAUCUCACAUAUUGUAAGUACUAGAUAUAGCUUACCUUUGGUGAACCUCGAAACAUCUUGUGUAAUCUUCUUAUCCUUGUCUAUCUUAUUUUUCAUUGACCGACAACAUGUUACUUAGAACUAAUCUGUUUUAUUUACUUAUAACAUAUUCAUAACGUUUUGGACAUUCAGUUUCAACCAAGAUUGAUCUUGAAUUAAUUUAAAUUAAAUACAUAAAUUAAGAUUUUAAAAAGGGAUCACAAUUCGAAUCUCCAUUUCUUGUGAUUGAUAUUGCUCCUUCAAGUACAUGAAUUAUAUUUCAUAGUAGUUUAACAAGAGAGUAUAAGAGAAAAGAAAAGAAUCAAAUAAAAACUUAAAUUAUUUAUGAUUGAUGCAUGUUGUAAUAAUAAUAAUAAUAAUAAUAAUAAUAAUAAUAAUAAUAAUAAUAAUAAUAAUAAAAAAAUAUACAAUAAAUUAUCAUUAUUGUGUUAUAUUUUCUUCAAAAUUAUAUCCAUAAAAUAUUUAAGAAACAAACAACUACUGAAAUACUUAAUUCUCUUUUAAUUGAUUGAUUAUUGAUAGAUAAUCUUUUACUUAUCCGAUUACUGAUAAGUAUUUGUAUUGUAUAUAAUUUAUGUAGAAAAUUAUGAUUAAAGUAUUAUAAUUUUUUUAAUCUAUUAUCUAGAAGACAUCUGUCCAUGUCCUUUGAGGUUAUAAUGUCAAACUUUUACACAAAAGGCAAAUCAUUAAUGAAAUAUAACAAAUAUUUGUCUCAUAAGUAAUUUCUAUAGUAAAUUAUAAUUAAUGUAUUAUAAUUUGUUUUAAAGAAAUUAAGAGCCACAUUCAUUAAUAAAAAAUAAAUUAAGACACAUUAUUCAUAAAAUACAUAUUAAUAUUUUAACUAAUUAAUUUGUGAAACACUAUUUAAUAAAACAUUGACCAAUGACACAUUUAACACUUCAAAGAAAUUUGACAAAAUAUAAAGGAAAAUUAUUAAUUAAAAUAAUUAAUAAAAGUUAUUUGAUGAAAAAGAAAAUCAAUUAAGAAAGAUAGGACAAAGUCAACAAAAGUGAAGAAUUUAAAGGUAGAGAAACCCUACCUGUUUUAGUAGAUCUGCAUCUCUUCAUACUACUGUCAUCCCUAAAUCUACUGUCAUCCCACCAAGUUGACAUUGUAACAUGUUUUUGGUGAAACUUAUGACAGUGUAACAAUUUACUUGGAAAGAUUUUCAUAUUAAAAUACUUCCACUUAAAAUUGUCAUUUUUAUUGGUGUUUCUUUAAGAACUAGCAUUCUACGUGCCAAUUUAGGUCAAAUUUAUAUUUAGGUAAAAUUUAUAUUAGUUUUAUUUAUUAAUAAAGAGGUAAGAGAUUUUUUAAGUGAAUAAGUAGAUAUAUUUCUAGAAAAUACAUCUUAUUAACUAAGAUUUAAUCUUAUUUUUAUAACAAUGAUUUACUUCAAAAAUCUCUCAUUAAAUAAAAAUGAACACAUUUUAAAAAAUAAAAACAGAAAAUAUUUUCAGAUUUAUCUAACUUUAUACAAUUAGAUACACAAUUAUCCACUAUUAAAACAAGAAUUAAAGUAAAGCAGUAGACUUUAAGUCAGGCAGAAAAAUAGGACUUUUAGGUGGAACUCUCCAUGCUAAUAGGACUUUUAGUUUUGACAUAUCAUAUUCUUCAGUUCAGAUUUCAUGAGUCUAUAUUUCUAGAUACAAAAUUUAAAGCAAACCAAGGAAAACAUAGAUUAAAGAAUACUUAAGAGGAAAAAAUACAAACAGCAUCAUCGUUUUGAAUCAAUAUUUUGCUCUAUGUUAACAAAUGUUAGCCAACCUAGUUGCUCACCUAUUGGCUUUUCAAGGAUCAUACCGUAACUAAUGACUUCAGCAGUGUCAUAAUUCCUAUAAGAACCUGUAAGUUGCUUCUGAAUGAAGAAAAGUCCACCUCCAAGGGAGAAAGUAUGAAAGAGCCAUGUUGAAUUCCUCUGAUUUGUUCAUGUAAUUAGCAUAAUCUGCUAAAUAAUGGCUGCUUCACAAGACUUCCUCAGGUAAGCAGAGUAUCCUUAAUAAAUAUGCUGCAAACGAUUUAAGGGUCAGAUGCAGUCACUGGAGGUGGACGGUGAUUUCCUGGCCGUGAUGUCCAUCCUUUGCGACUCCUGUAAUCCUCUAUGGCCCGGAGUCUAAGUCUCUCAUGAGAAGCAUCCUGUGAAAUCUUGGAAGCCUGUACACAAGCAAAACAUUUUCCACACAAUAAUAAGUAUAGCAUGAUGAUGAUCCAUUGAGUAAAGCUGAGAACUUCAAGUACUUACUUUUGGAAUGAAAGAUAACUUUGGUGGGGCUUGUACAAUAUCUCCAAAUUUUAUUUUUUCUUGUCCUGGAAAUUCCAAAUUAUCAUCUUCUUGGCUUUUUUUGUGCUUCUUCUUUUUCGAUUCCAAAUACCUGAUGAAUUUACCAUGAUUAAGAUUAAAAUAAGCUAAAGUUGUGUGUUAUGUUAUUCAUUCAGUAAAUAAAUUUCAAAAGUUCAACUUCAAUUGCCAUAUAUUGCACAACAAAUGUAACAAAAAUGUAUUCAUAUAGUUUAUGAAUGUUGGUGGUACAUAUACAAUACAACAACAAUCAAAUCAUUUUUUUCACUAGGUGGCACAUUUGUACAUGUUCAUAAAAGUACAGACAACAAACAUUGAAGUAAUAUUGACUUCUGUUGGUUGUUUUCCUGUCUUGCAGUCAAAUUCUAACUGAACAAAAGGCCAUAGUGCUUGAUUUGAACUCCAAAAUAUGACAGUUUGUAGGAUCAUUGAAGAAUCGUGGAUACAAUCACUCGUAUUUCAAUAUCUCAAAGAUUUAAUACUCGUUUUGAAUGCAUCAUUUACAAUUUAAAGGAAAUCAAUGCAACACUAAAAAAUAACUGAUUGAAAAAAUAAAUUAAACUGGUAAUAAAAUCAUGUAGAGAGUACAAAGCGCAUCUCUCUAGUCUCUACACACACUAAAAUGUGCAAAGAAGGAGUAGGUUUUAAUUCACUUACUUCUUUUUACGCUCCCGUCUUUUUAGUUGGGUGCUCGUUUUAUCCUCUUCCAUCGCAAACCUGAGAUCUUUAACCUCUUUCCUCUUUCUUUUUUUCUUAUUCUUAUCAUUUCUAUCAAGCUCUUCAUCACUGUGUUGAGGUGCCUUCAAUUGUUCACUAGUAUCCUCCUGUUUCACCUGAGAAAUUCCAAGAUUAUCUUCCAUCAUUUAAAGGAACAUUCUUUCCAAAUAUCCAUUCAAUACAAUAAAUAUCACUACAAAAAUUUUAAUCACUUGUUAGUUAAUUUGUAUUUUAAUGUUGACACACCAUCACAUAUACUCUUGUUAGGGGUUGUCGUUUCGUUAUGGUGGCAAUUAGCUACUUUUGUCCCCCUAUGUUUCUAAAAAACCACAGUCCCGUCUGGAAGUACACACCUGGAGGACAAAAUACCGUGUUUUCUCCUUAUGUGUAUUUCUGAAGUGUAUGUGGGAUGAAAUAGCAACAAAAAAAAACGGGGUUUUCUCUGAAUGUGUACAUCUGAAGUGGAUGUGGGGUGAAAAAAUAAGCUUUCAAAAGUUAUUUAUAUCCUCUGUUGCAACCUAUGAAGCACAUAUACUGACACAGACACUCAAACUGACAUUAACAUGUUGACACCGAUAAUAAUUAGAGAAAAUGAAUUAAUUGAAAGUAACCAAGGUGACUGUGACAUGUCGGACACCCUUCAAUCAGAUGUGCCAGUGUUACAUUGGUUGCAACUAGAGCCAAGAGUUAACAUAAAUUGGAAGGACUACAUUUUAAAUAAAACCAACAUCAACAUUUAAAAUCAACAUCAACACCGAAUAUGCAAAGCACAAUAAAUCCCAUAAGAAAACUUCACAUGCCAUGCUCAACCAACACAAUGAUUAUCAAUUUAUUCAUCAUUACAUCAAAGAAUCCAAUGAAUGCAUCAUGUGUUCACAUUGAAAUAUCUAUAAGACCCCAUUAACAAACUCAAACUCAUCAAACAACAUUAUCAGAGAGAAGAAACAAACACAAUCUUCUGACACACUUAUCACUCACUCAAUAAACUUCACAAACAAGCAAUUUUCGUUAUUUAAUAAUAAAUAAACACCAUUUAUGAAAAUAAAAAAACUAAAAAAAUAAGAAGAAAAAAAAAACAUUAUAAAGCUUACAUUUGUUACAUGCCCAUCCUUUUUUACAUGCCCAUCAUCUAAUUUCUUGUCUUUUGGUAAGCCAGGAGAAUCUGAAAAGAUGGGAAUGAAAUGAGAAAGAGAAAAGUAGAAAGUGAAGUAGAGAAGAUGAAAGGGGAAGAGAAAGAACCGUUUUGGUGUUUAGUGAAAGAGAUAAUUUGUCGGAGUUUGAAUGGCAAAGCAUCGAGUUGAGAGGAUUUUGGCGGUGGAGGGAGAGCAGUGUAGCCACCAUGCGCAGCUUUGUAGUUCUUCUCUCUCCUUUUCCUUCCCUUUCCUGCCAUUCUCUCUCUCCGUCUCUCUCUUUCUCUCUCUCGCUCGCUAAACCCUAAUACUAAUUCACUCGGGCUCUUACCAAUUUCCCUAACGAUGUCGUUUUACGAGUUUUAAGUUUUUUUUUUUAUUUCAAAUCCAGUUGAUAACGAUAAGUCAAGGUUUUUAUUUUAUUUUUAUUUUUAAUAACUGCUUAUAUUUUAUUUCUGAAAAAUUAGUUUACAUUCAAAGUAUCCGGCCCGAGAGACACCUAAAACCUUGCUUUAUGCCUCGUCAAAAAAAUAUCUUUUUUAUUUUGCUUUUAUAAGAUAUAAAGUUCCAUUAAUAUAUUAUAAAAAGUCUCUUAAUACAACAGAAAGAAGUUUUAAUUUUUAAUUUUUUGUAGAAUCAUUAUUUAUCUGGAUUUAUAUGUAAAAUAUCACAGAAAAUGUCUUAACUUUUGCUAUCAACUGAUAAAAUUUAUAUAAAUUAAAAAAUAUUAGUUAAAAAUUAUGAGACAAAAGUGAGCACAUUGUUCAUACGAGAAAUAUUAGUUAUAAAUUAAAAAAUCAUGAAAACAUAUUGCUAACAUGAGUUAUUGGAGUAGUAUAUACGCUAUUUUCUUCUUCAACUAAAAUAUGAAAAAAUUUACAUGAAUUCUUGAUGUUGCUAUAGAACAGUUAAAAUAUCUUAUUUUAUAUUUUUUAAAAAUAUAAAAAAAAUAGAUUUGAAAAUACUAUUAAUUCUACUAAAAAAAAUUUAUAUAGUUAUUAAAUAAAAUAUUAAUAAUUUAUUUAUUAAUUUUUGAAAAUAUCAUGUCUAAUAGUUUCGUUUAGGUCUCAUAAUAUAUUGGGUCAACCCUAAAAGUAUAUAUAUUUAUUUCUUGUUUUUUAAGUUUAAAAACCAUGCAUCCUCGUCAUUUUUACCAUGUACACAUAUUUAGUAAUCAAUUUUUGAAAUUAACUAUUAUAUAUUUUAUUUUUAUUGGACGUCAAUGUUAUUUUUCUUUUUUGAAACUAAUAAGUCUGUUAGGUGUUGAAAAGAAAAUGUAUUUGGAAAAUAUCAACAUCUUUUAAAAAAUAUAAUGGGAGAUAAGAUCAUUGUACAAAUUUUGACUCAGUCCAUUAAUCUAUCCUAGUAUGUAAAUUUUGGGUUGGAUCUGAUUUUAACUCGUAAAACUAAAUAAUAGAUGAGGUCAAAUAGGAAUCAAUUCAAAAUUGACUUUUGAGUUAUUGAUCUUGUCCAAAAAAUUUUAAAAGACACGUACUAUUAUUUUUUAUUCGUUAAUUAUAUAUUUUUACUACAAAUUCAUACUUAUUAUCUCUAAAAAAAAUAAUAUUCUUACUACAUUUUUUUCAUAGACGAAUACUUAUAAUUUCAUACAUAAAUGUUAAAUUUCUAACACUUUAUUUAUUUAUUUAUUUUGGAAUCUUCUUUUUCCUUUUCUCAUAAUCAUUUAACUUCUGCAUUUCAAAAAUUUGUAUUGUGUUUAAAAUGAAUUGAAAACAUUUAUAGUCAAACUUUAUUCAAUAUCAAGACUUUAUUAUUUAAUUAAUAGUUUCUUUCAAGAAUUAAAUGCAUAUGUAUUAUUAUUUGAUGCUCAAUUUUUUUAUAGUAUUACAGAAAAAUUAAUUUUUUAAUCGAUUAUUUUUACUUGUUGAUUAAUAUUGUUUCAAAAAAAAAUAUGAUUUAAAUAUGUUUUUGUUUCUUGCAAACGUGUUUUGUUUUAAUUGUAGUCCAUAUAAUUUUUUUUCUAUCAUUGCAAAUUCUAACAAGUUUAAAAAAAUCAUUUAUGAAUUAUUUUUUAGUAAAAAAAUGGUGACAUGACUUAUUUUAGAUUAAGUAGUACUUGGUGACGGUGUAAUUGUUGUUGACUAGACAAUAUUUAAUAUUUAAAAUUAAAAUUUAUGUUAUUAACUCAUUUAAUUAAAAACUUAAAAUUAAUUAACUAAUAAACCAAUUAAAUAAUAAAAAUUCAAUAAUCUUCAUCUUCAUUCCCAAUUUUUUUUAAUAAAAACUUAAUAACGUUCAUCUUCAACCCUAAUUUCUUCAUCUUCAAAUCGUAAAUUCUCAAAUUUAAAUCCAAAUCCUCAAAAGUACAAUCUCUCAUUUUCUUGUAUGACACAUAUAAUUGAAAUAUAUAGUUUAUUAUCGGAUUUACUUAUCAUGAAUAGUGAAGAAGUAAGUAACAAUGUACAAUGACUUGGAACAAAUAUAAAUUCUCCUAUUUAUUUGUGAUGUGCUUUUUAUUUUAUUUUAUUUUAUUAUGUUUUCAUUCAAGUGUUGCUUCUUGACGGCUUCUAUCGUGACUGACUUCAUUAUUUUUUUAUCAAACUCAUAAGAAAGUUCCUAAAUAUUUUAUAUUCCAGUCCUAAAAAAUGUAAGUAUUUGAAUUGUUGAAGGAACAACGACCGAAGGCAACCGUGAACACGCGCUUAGUUGAGUUUAUGACCGUUUUAAGGCAAUAAUAUAUUGGAGGAAUAAGUAGCCUGUUUUUCUUCAAUCUUCUUCUCUCUUAUAUAAUUUAUGUAUUUUCAAUUAUAGGUGUGAUGUAAGAAAAAUAAGAGAUUAGAAUUUUUAGGGUUUAGAUUCAGAUAUGAGAAUUUGUGAUUUGAAGAUGAAGAAAUUAGGGUUGAAGAUGAAAGUUGUUGAAUUUUUAUUAAAAAUUUGGGGUUGAAGAUGAACAUUAUUGAAUUUUUAUUAUUUAAUUGGUUUAUUAAUUAAUUAAUUUAUUUUAAAAUUUUAAUUAAAUGAGUUAAUAAAAUGAGUUUUAAUUUUAAAUAUUAAAUAUUGUAUAGUCAACAGCAAUUACACGGUUACUAUCUGCCACUUCAUUCCAAAAUUAGCUAUGUUACCAUUUUUUUACUAAAAAAUAUUCAUAAAAGACUUUUUUUAAACUUGGUAGAAUUUGCAAAUGUAUAAAUCAAAUAAAAAGAAUGAAAGGGACUAAAAACAAAACGAAAUAUAUUUGCCAGAACAAAAAACAUAUUUAAACUAAAAAAUACUUAUACAUUACUAUUCGGUGACUUAUCUUCAUACUAAUUAAGUCUUGUCUUUAUAUUAUUUCGUUCUUAUUGAACUUAUUUCUCUUCGAGUUUAGAUCUAAAAAAUUGGUCUGGUUUAAUAUUAGGACCGAGAAAAAGACACACACAAUCGAACCACUUUGGAAUUGAAUUGGUUUAGAAAAAUUGAGAACAAAAGAAGAGCUUGUUAACCAGACUAUGUCUUGAAAACUAGAAGCAAACUAAACUAAGUGUUCCAAUUCAAAAUCAAAUCUCAGUUAAUUUGUCGAGCAAUCUUUCACUUCAGUCUUUCUCAAUCUUCUCUCUCUCUUCUCUCUACCUCCAUUUUUUUUUAUUUUUUAUAAUUGCAAACGUUAAUUUGUUAGUAAAGAUUAUUGGUAAUGUGGUGUGUGGGAAUAAAACUUUCAACCUUCUUAUCACUUAACUCUAUAACUCUUCCAUCUCAAGAACUAAACCACCUUAUAUCCUCUCUUUGCAAACUCUUUUAUUCCAUCCUUUAAUUAAAUGAAAAUAGUUAAGGAUUUAGACUAUCACAUAUACAAAUGAAACGCAUCACUUAUGAUCUACUUGGUUCAAUAGAAUGGAGCAGAAUGAUUUUAUGAAGGGGAGGGAAUGAGAGAGCUGAAGUGGAGACAUACUUGGUUCAAAGGAGGGGAGAUGAGAAAUAUUUAUUAGGUUUGUGUUUGGUUCAAGGGGAUAGAAAUGAUGUUUAAUAGUUUUUUAGUUAUAUGAAGUACCCAUUUUUCCUCUCAAUCAUUCCAAAAUGGAGGGAGAGCAAAAUGAGUUAUAUGAGAUAUUUUAGCUCCCUCUCAUCUCUAAAGAUGAAAUCAAACACAAAAACUUCAAAGUAUUAUCUCUCUUCCCCUCAUCUUCAUCUACUUCCAACCAAAUACACCCUUAUAAGCCAAUGUUUUGGUGGUAAGAUAUUGAAUGAUUUUUGACAUCUUAUGAACUCAAGGUAUUAUAUUGAAUGGUUUAUGACCAUUUGUAAACUCAAAAGUAUUGAAUGGUCUAUGAUGGUCAUUAGAUAUCUUAGUUUGAUUAAUUAGUUGAAUUGAUUUAUGAAAUUUUUUUAUUUAAGUAAAUUGAAUGAUAGUUAUAAUAGAGAGAAUUUAUAACAUUAAUGGUUACUUAAACUUAUAUAGUUAAUUACACAAAUAAUUAACUAACUUAAAAUAACUUAUUAAUUAGUGUAACUAACUAACAAACUAAUGUAAUUAAUUAACCAAAUUAAGAUAUCUAAUAUCACACUAAAACGUGUUUAAUACAUUUCGAACUUAAAAAAUUUCAAAAAAUAAAUGCCGAAAAAAAUAUCGGUUAAAAGGAAUUUGUAAUUCUGAAAAUUUAUCAACGAAAUAAUAUGAAUUUUUUGUUUGACUAUUAUAUUAUAAAUAGAAGCUAACAUGUAUAAAAUUUGAAAUGCCAAUAAAGUUUGAAAUUAUAGAUGUAAACUAGAAUGUCAAUUAAAAGUAAAAAAUCUUAAUUUUGUAGAAUGUUAAUUAAGACUAAAAAAAAGAAUGAAUUUUUAAAUAUAAGUAGACUAAAAGAAAUCACCAGAAAUUUGGUGUGUACGGAAAAUUAUUUUUUUACGAUGAAAAUCUUGGAUACUCUCGUUCUUUGAUUUAGGUCUUUCAUCCUCUUCACGUGAGAUGCAUACCAUGCCUCCUAACUUUCAAAUGAUCCAAUGUGUGACCAAACAGAAAUUUUCUUGGAUCUCUCAUAACAAAAUAAGGGUAGAAUAAAUAGUAAAACCAACAAUUAUGCCUUAGCAACAAUCCAUCUAUUUUAACCGUAAACAAAAAAACAAAAAAACAAAAAAAAUCAUCUGUUUAUCUAACAAACUUUAAAACUUUGACAAUUACGGAGGUAACAAAACAUCUUGAAGCCGGUGAUAUAUGAUCUCGUGCAUUGCAUGAACGUUGAUUUUUUUUUUCUUCCCAAUCUUUGAUCAAGUUCAUCUAGAAAGGUAAAAACUUGUCCAAGUCUUCCAUGAAUUAAUAAAUAUAUUAUGAUACUAUAAUACAAAUUAAUUUUCCAUGGUUAUUGAUUUAAAUAAAUUAAAUAAUAUUGAUAAUUGAAAACAUUUAUUACAUCAAAAGUUAGAUAGAUUUAUAAAGUCAGUUAAAUAAACAAUGAUUAAUGUAAAAUAACUACUAGUAUAACUAUUUAAUGAAUUUAAAUAAGUAAUCAAAAUAAGAUAUCUAAUAAUAGUUUAUUACUUAUUCUCAUUUAAUGUCUUAUAUCUAAAUCAUUUAAUUGUUACCUUUGGUUGUUGAUGUGAUUUUGAGAAGUAAUUUUUUAUCUUCAAUGUUUAUUCAUGAGUUGGUUCUAAUUACAGAAGUAAAUAUAGAUAAAACAACAAAAACAUCUUUUUAUUUUACAGAAAACAACACAGAAACGUAUUCAUUACAUUACACUGACAAAAUAUUGAACACUCAAACCUCAGCCAAAUCUAAUCGCUCUAAGCAUCUGAAAAGCAGCAGCCUCACAAGAAAGAAUAGCUACUGUAUUUUCAUUCUCAAAUAAAAAAUUAAAAAAAAGUUGUGGGACAAAAAUGGCUCAAACCUCAGUAGGAACUCAGAAGCUUGUCCAAUAUCAACAUCGUUACACAACUGGAGGAGCAAAAAACCCUCCACUAAAUCUAAGAACCUAACACUGGUGGUAACAAUUGAAAGUGUCACAUGACAUCUCUGGACCAUACCAAAAUGCUUACAAACAAGUGUUACAACCUCAAUCUAACUUUCCUAAUUGACAUUAUGUAUAGAUGAUCUGUAAUCCAUAUAUGUAUAACCUAAAAGCUAUGAUUUUAUAAGAGGCUGAAGCCCAUUACCUUCCCAACCAAGCUUGAGCAUUUGAUCUACCACUUUCAAGCUUAACUGCAAGAAAAAAGUUGAGUAUUUAUAACCAUGGAAAAUAAAGAGGAAACAGGACAAAAUAUGUUUAAGGCCUAAUUGAGAGAUUUGAGGUACAAUAUUUUAGUUUAAAUGCAUUUCAUGCACAAAAAUUUCACAACUCGUCAAGGAGAGCAACCUGUUGUUAAAAACUUAAAAUAUCAAAAUCAAAUAUGAUAUUGAUUUAAAGAGAGUAAUGGAAAUUCUACACAAGUUGAAGUCACACAACUUUUAAUAUUACAAAGCAGAAUACAUUGAUUUCUUUGCAGUUGGUCUCACGGUCUCGGUGGUACACAGACAUAUGAAAACUUGCUGAACAACAUAGAUAAUUUUUGGACUCCAAUUAAUGUGAAACUUUAUUUACUCAUUUUAAGAAAUCAGACUGCAAAGGAAAUACAUGAAGUUUAUUCCUUCUACCAGCUCACAAAAAUAAAAGAGGAAGAUUUAACUUACAGAUGGAUCAGUGAAUAUUAUCAAAUGUUUAUCCAAAGUUGAAACCAAAAGAUUUGUGUUAUCCUGGUUUAGAGUCAGAGCGGUGAUAUCCUGCCCUUCUCCCAGCUUUAACACAUGAAAUAUCUACAAAAAUGGAAUGGAAGAAUGUUUAGUAUUGAAGAAUAGUUUGCUAAAGACAAUAGUACAAAAUAAUAGUGACUAAAUAUUGACUAAUAAGGUAUGAUAAAUUCGCCUUGUUUCAUUAGAAUUCAAUUAUUAUAUUUAAAAAUUCAAAUCUUCAAAAAUCAUAUACGAUGAUUUUCCCAAUAGAAAAGGAAAUAAAUCUUGCGGAACGUUGGCUCUUUCUGAUAUAAUGCUUUCUCAUGGUGUACAAAAUGAGGAAUAUAAUCUAGCAAUUUAAUGUGAGAUCAAUGAAAAAUGGUACUUCUAUCUUUGACAUCUUAAUCCUGUACCUCCAGAGUGUGCAUAUCCAGGAAGCAAAUUGAUGGUGAUGGAAGAUCUGUUCUAUUGCUUUCGUCAGUUUCUUCUGAUUCUGAAUCAAAAUCAACACCUGACUUAUUCAACUGUGAAUUUGAACUGUUAUUAUAGGCUCUACCAUUUUCUAGAGAAUUAAUUCCAAUCAAAGCACUCAUCCCAUCAACAGAAAUUUGCAUGCAGCUGAUAUUGCAAAAGAAGGAGAAUUGUGCUCUUGCAAUUGGAGCACCAUUGAGAGUGAAGGUACUAAGGGUAUGUUGUGAUUCAUUCCAAGUCAUGACAACCCCUUCAGAUGAAAGACAGACAAUAUGGGCUUCCACACCAUCCAAUCUUCUAAUUAAACGUCCCCGUCUAAUGGAAUGCAAGAGAACAUCUGAUGAAUGGGAGCAAGAUACAACUAUUCCGAGAUUUGAGUUAACACAACAACUGAUAAUUUCACUGCGGUGCCCCCGAAGUACUUGUAUAGGACCCUCAAUACGACGUCUCCGAUUCUUUUCAAUCAAGUGUGAUGAACUAUUGCUGGUUGGAGAGAGUGCGCCUGUACCAGUGGAAUGUUCCGAUACGACAUUUGAGUGAGACACAAGAACCCUAUGUAUUCUCCACAAUAAUACUGUUGUAUCUCGUGAACCUGUCACUAGGUAGUUACUAUCCGGUGAAAGACCAAGGCAAGUUACAGGAGCACAAUGUCCAUAAGCUGUUUCUAAGGUCUUAGCUCCAUCGGAUGAUAUUAGCCUAAUACUAUUAUCAGCAUGCCCACCUGUAGAAAAUAAUAGGGUAAUGCUAUCAUGUUUUAUUCAUUGGUCAAGGACUGUUAAUAUGGAGAGAUUAAAAUCAAUUCUCUUCCUUGAAUAAAGGAAAGAUUUUAGGAAACAUAACAAAAAAUAAUAGAAAAUAAAAUCUGAACUAAGAUAAAAAAAGAAAGAAUCCUGCGGACUUUCCAACACCACCUAACCAAUAAGAGGUAAAUAUUUCAAAUUAGAUGCCACAUACACAGCAAUGAAAGUAACUACUACUAGUUGAAGUGCAAGUUUCUAAAUUUCAAUGCAACAGAGAGACGACAAAAAUAUAAUUAAAAAAACGAUUUCCCGGUAUAAAGGUUUUAGUAAUCAUACACACCCAAGGCCUUGGUUGCAUUGCAAUUUAAGUCAGCAAUGGUACACCAAUUGAUUUUGAAACAAUAAGGUUAAGAAUAAAAGAAAUGUAAAAAACCAAAUUAUUCUUAUUGUGAAUAAUUGUUUUCUAAUUUACUAAUGCUUCUAUAAUUGUAAAUUUUCAAUAUCUGGUUGAUGAUUUAAAUAAGCUAACUUGGAUACCGUUGGAGCAAAAAUUUCAGUACAAGUUUUGCAAUAUAUAGCUUUAGGGGUUCUCUCAUACUACAGAAAAUGGUUUCCUCUGUGCCUAUUUAUUAUAAUAACUUUGGAUAAUAAAUGACCAUUGUGUCUAAUGAUUUCGGUGUUGAGUAAAAGCUUCAUUUAAUAAUGAUGGAGCAGAUUUCCCAAAAUGCCUUCCACAGUUGAACUGAAUUAGAAAUUAGGGUUUAAAGUUUAAAAACAUAUAUAAUUGAAAAGAUUACUCUGUUGUCGUGGUUUCAGCUGCUUUUUUUAUGGUAUUUAAAUACAAAUAUUUAGAAGGGUUGAAGGAUAAUGAUUUUUAUAUCCAAGUCAUAGUAUCCUUCUCAUUCUUGUACUUGCAUCUUGUAAUUAUGAAUUUUCCUUUUCUAUUGAACAAAAAUGUUGCAUGUGCCUAAAUGCCCUGCGAAAUCCAGUUUUCUAUCUCUCUUUUUUUCCUAAGAAAUAGUAAGUGCUACAUAAUUAAACAUUACAACCUCUAGAAAAUCUCAUGCUUAUGGUACACUUCUAGGAGAGAUUCAAUAUAAUUGAUAAUUAAUUUUCAAUGUUGCAAGGCAAGAGUAUAACAAAUUAAUCACAAGAACUCUUCCAUUAAAAUUAAAAUAAAUACAAAGACAGCAUAUGCAAAUAAUUUCAGUUCUUCUAGAUUUACCAGUAAUAAUUUCUUUGUCACAUGUUAUAGAAACGACAGCUUGGCUUCUAAUUCCAGAGACAGAAAAUGCUACAGCUUGUGGGAAUUGCCACUCUUCACCAGUCGUGGCCGGUGCUUUGAACAUGCGCAUAAGUGUACCACCAGCAGAGCCUGUUGUUGGCUUUCUAUGUUGAAAAAGGAAAGGAGUGCCGUGACCAUCAGGUGUAUUAGGUUGCCACUUGUGUUGUGCAACAUGCGCUGCUGGUGCAUUCAUAUCAACAACCACAACCGUAUCUGAAGAUGCAUGAAUGGCAGCGGCAGGAAGAUUGCAACGCUCAGGUGAUGGAACAGCAUAGGGUUUGACUUCAUUUGGGUUGCGGAAUACUGUCUGAUAUGAAAAGAAUAUAUGCAUUGUUAUGCAUCAACAACAAAAAUAUAAUCAACAAUGAAGCAAAUAUGAAAUAACUGAAGCGAGGCUCAUCACAGAUUCAUAUUGUUUUCGCAUAUAUUCUACUAUUGAACAUAUCAACACUUUCAUGAACAAUAAUAGUCACAACAUUUCAAAGAUGAAUAGUAACAAAUAGUAUUUACUACUUAUACUGUUUUACAAAAAUGUUUAUUUAGAUCUCAUGUCCCAAAUCGCCCAAUACCUCAAAAAUUUAAACAUAUUCCUCAAAACGAUUACUAAGUAGAUAUAGUGAUAAAUGUCAAGUGAAGGAAGAAGUUGUUGGAGGUGAGAAUAUGAGAGAGAAACCGAUAAGGAAAUGUUUCUGAAAAGUAACUUUCUGUAUUGUGAAUCUCCAAAACUGUAUUCAAAUUUCAGUUUUGUUCCCUCAAUUUUGAAGAUUUUUUCCCUUUUGUAGACUAAAAGUGUCAAAAAUCCUAAAAAAUGAGGGAGAUGCACAUGCUCCAUUCGCAGAUGGUUAUACAACUGAAUAGUAAACAAUAAAAUAGAGUUAAGACUUAUUUAAAAUAGGAUUACUCAUAUUUUGUGACAUCUUGACAUUGGUUAGGGUAAAAAGACAUGUGUGACAUAUUUACAAGGAAAAUAAUAUAUUUUUUAUAUGAAUAAGAGAACAAUAUGUGUAUGUGUUUUUGUCAUGAGCACAAUUAUCUUUUUGGAAGUUGUGAUCGUCAUUUGCAUACAUGAUUAUAUAAUGUAUAGUAAUAUGAAAUAUCAAAGUAAUCUCUUUACAAAUUUUAUGCAAUUAUGUAAAAUAUGUAUAACUUUCAAAAAAUUAUUUUUAGGUAUCUAGGUCAGAACGCAUCUUUAACUUUCAGAUGUGUCGUAUCAAGUAUCUGGGCUUCAUAGGUAACGGCUAAAUGCAUCAACAUACGAGACGCAAUGUUUAUGUCAAGAAUUAGAAUAAAAUUAUAUUUAUUGAAACUUGAAAUAUAUUGGUAAUACAUCAGAUAUAUUUAUACUAGAUUACUAAACAACCAAAUCCUAUAAUUACUCAUAUAUAACUAAACUGAAUCCCUAUUAGUACUCCUAUAUAACUGAAUCCCUACUAGUACUCCUAUUCAACUAAAUCCCUACUAGUACUCCUAUUCAACUGAAUCCCUAUACUUGAGCGCUAUUAAACAGAAACAUAUUUUGACAGUUUAUUUCGUGGAAGAUCUCAUAGGAGCUGGACCCCACAAAUCACACAAAAUUAGUUCUAGUCGUGCUGAAUAAACUCAAGAAAAGGGCUGUGAAGAGAGUCUACUGGAUAUGCCACUACAUCAUGCUACACAAAAAUCAACUUCACUUUUAUUAGGCGUUGAGACAUUACCUUAAUACUCCCUCCUUCCCACAACGAGUGACCCAAUUGGCUAUUUCACACAAAUUAAAAAAAGUGUAUAAUGUGUAAAUGAAAGAGAAAGAAUAAUACCUUUACUAAAAUAUCUUUAUCAAGUAUUGAUGUAUUCACCAUAACCAUUGAUGUAAAGUGGAAAAUAUUGAAUUAGAAGUGGUGUAUGUAGUAUUAAUUAGAGGGUACAAUUGAAAAAAGUAAUUAAUGUUACAUUGUAAAUUGAAAAAGAUCAUUCAUUUUGGAACAAUUUUUUUUUAUCACUCAUUGUGGGACGGAGGGAGUAUUUGAUUUUGUGGAAGAGACAUGAAUGGAGCAGUUCAAACAGAUUGGCAAAGCUAUGAUAAUCAAGUUGCACUGCACAUUGCAUUGAAUCCAUUCUUCCAAGAAAGAGCCAAGAUUGAAGAAAUUGAUUGGCACUUUAACAGGAAUAAAAGUUCUAAGAGAAUUGCUAUAGGGUUUUGCAAACCCCAGUGAUAUAUUUUCCCUAGGUCUUUAUGAGAUCAUCAGAUUCAACUAAUUUGAAACAAGCUGGAUGCACAUCAUUUAUAUGCCCCAUUCAUGGAGAAUUAAUUCCUUUGAGUGCUGUCAUAUAACUAGUUUAUAUGGCAUGUAUAUAUUUUUUAAUUUAUUUGAGUAGUUGUCAUAUAGCUAGUUUCUUUAGUUUCCAUAUAUUGUGAAUUCACGGAUUAGCCUGAUGUCUUUUAUAUAUAAAGUUUCAGAUGUUACAUAAAGCCAAAUAAAACAGAAGGAUAAAAAACAAGAAGAGAAGAAGGGAAGGGGGGAGAGCACGUGCAAGCAUACAUGCAUGCUCAGUCAAGAACUCAAGAUGUAAUUAAUCAAUAAAAGCUGUCAAACCAAAAGAAUCGACAGGUACCUGCAAAUGCAGAACUUCUGCUAGUGGCAUUUUCUUCAAGUGGGGAACAGUCAAAAGUUGGGAUGGUGUUUGUCCAAAAUAUGCAAUUUGAUCUUGUGUGGCACGCUGUUGAACCUUUACUUGUCAUGUACAAAAGAAAAUAAUAAGUUACAUAAACACGGAAAAAAAUUCAACAAAGGGGGUUCCUUGUUGAUGUUUUCCAAAAAUCCAUUUUAAGAUAAAGUUCUGGUGCAUAAAGUUUCUGCAUAUUUAUCCAUAAAAUUUCCCACAUUUUUUUAAUGGCAUAUAUCAGAGAUGUAAUAUAAAACCAUUCAACUAUAUUGAUCUAAUAGUUUAUAUUUUGAGAGAAUUGGUUAAUGACAUGGUAAAGCAGUGACUUUCUCAUGCAACAACUUGUUGGAUGUUGUGGGUUGAAUAAUAAAAGUAGAUAGUCAGGAAAAUGAAAGAAAACGAUACAAAGUAGAGAAAACAGGGAGAUCCCACCACUCUGCCAGAUGGCGAUGGUUUUAGUCGAUAGACUUGUGCAAUUACUUUUAUGGGGGUGGCUCACGGUGGCCAGAAAACAGUUUCGAAUGCAGGAACAUAGACACAGCCACGGCCUUUGGAAGUUGGCAGUGGUGACCAAAGAAGGAGAUCGAUCAAGGAUAAAGAUAAGAAUCAUAGAUAAUGUUGAAAAUAAAAUAAUAUUAUGUUAAUAAAUAGAAUAUCUGUAAGUAUUUCUAUCAUUAUGUGUAUUUAUUACUCAUAGUCUAUAUAAAGAACUUUCGCUGUGUAGUUGAAACGCACAGGUUUUUCAACAUGUCUCUCAAUAUUCUCUUCUCAUUCAAUAGAUAAUAACAAUACUAUGGUAAAGUUUCAAAAUUUAGAGAACUUGGUAGCAUAAUAGAGAACUCACUUCAGGAGAAAAGGCUUUGGUGGUGGGGGUGGUUGUUGUAACGCAAGAAAAUGGUGUAAUAUACUAAAAAAAAAUUGCCUUAGUUUUCACCAUCUUUCUGUACAACUUGAAUUGAUGAUAAUACGGCCAAAUAUUUUUCUGAACAUGGUUUGCUUGCAUUAUUGAUAGACUCAUAGUAGGAUAGACACAUAAAUUAUGAUUCAGAAUAAUUAUCAUGUGCUUCAACACUUUCAGUAAAGAAGGGAAUCAUAAAAUCUAAACUAAGGAAUGUAUGAUUUUUUUAACGAGCUUUCUGAGGGGAUCGCAUUUAUUCAAAAUAAAUAAUUGAGUUGAAAAUAUGGAGAAGGAAAGGAGACAUACUGGGUCAGAGAUUUUAUCAAUAUCCACUGUCCCUUCAUAGGUAAUAUAGAAGAAAACAUUAUUUGCUGCAACAGCUUCUUUGCCCCGUUGUUUAUACCUGUGUGGUCCAACUCAUUAAUGUAACAAGAUGUACAAUACAAAGGAACUAUAAUUAAAUGCAUAUUUCAUAAAAUUAGUUAUAAAUAUAUUGGCGUAGCAAACUUAUAAAAAAAGGGGGAAACACUAAAAAGGCAAGAAGAAGCAGUCCAGAGAGGGCGUUAACAUCAACACCCUAAAAACUGGGUGAAACUGAAAAUAGUUAGAAGCCUACCCAAAUAUAAGGUCAAUCCACUCAUGUAAAUGAGAAGAUACGUAUUCACUCUCCAGUGCCUUCCGAUGCUUAUGAAUAAAAUCAAUUGGAUUUUCAGCCCAGGCAGGAAGUUUUACAGUAUCUGAUAUUGCAGAAAUAAGCUAUUAACCAUGAUAUGCAUUGGAGUAUACAAUGAAGUCAAACUGCUGCAGAAAAUCACAAUAAAUAUACCAAGCUUUCCUCCCAAUUGCGUUGUGCCAAAAUCAAUUGAAUUUUCAUUUGUGAGGACUUCAGGUUGGUAAAAUAGCUCAGGAACCUAAAAAAAGUAAAAAUAAAGAAACUUCUAAUGAUAUAAAUUAAAGAAAACCAUGAUAAGAACUUAAUAUUAAUAAAAGUAUUAAAUCUUGUUAAAAAUAUUAAGAAAUAAGCUAAUCAAGGCAUAUCAACCAGUCAAUUUAUUCUAAAGGAAUAUACAUACCAAUUCCUUCACAUCACUCAUGUCCUCAAGAACUCCAUUCCAAGUACCAGAAAUGUCAGAAAACAUCCGAUCUGCAUGGUCAAAUUUUCCACCUUGUAGUUGGAUAGCAAGGGUAGUGAAUGGUUCAACCCUAACAAGAUAAUACAAAACCUAUAAAAGAAGAUAAUAAACACUAGUUAUUGCAGAAUCAGCAACCAAAUACAACAGCAUAAAUAUACUGAACAAUUUUGCUGUUCUGUAAUGAAAAAAUUAAAAAGUAAAAAUCAGGCAUCAGAAGUCCUAGUAAUUUCAAUACACAAAAAGAGAGGCUUGAAUGACAUCGCAAAAAGAAACUGAACAGGCAGCAAAGGAGUAUUGAGAAGGAGGUCAGGGGUUCAAUCCCUGCUACUAACAUUUCCCCCUCCCCACUACCAAAUUAAACACUAACAUUCACCAAUCAAAAAAAAAAAAAGAAGAAAAGAAAGCAUAAGUUUUUCAUUUUGGGCCUGAUAUAUUCCAUAAACCUUACUGAAUCUAAUUUUUUUAUGGUAUUUGCUAAGUUGUUUAACUUUAGUCCACUUAUGUGUAAGUAACUGGAUUUAAGUUGCUUAAACAUUACCAUUCCUAUGGAACCAUUAUUAGCAAGUACAUAUCUUUAUAGGAUCAGACCUACUUUCCCUUUCUUUGAAAAAAAUAUAUAUAAACCCUAUUUAAUAAUUUUUAUGACAAUUCUUAGAAUUUGGGUUUGGUCUUAACCCCCAAAAACUAGCUCAUUGGGUGAGACCUGUAGAAUGUUGGAAGGAAGGACAGAAUGCUGCAGAUCAAAUCAUCUAAGAAAUUGUGCUGCCGUCUCUUCUUAGAUUUUGGGUUUGAGCCUACCUCAACCCCGAGAGCUAGCUCAUGGGGUGAGGAUUGGCUCCACUUAUAACCACUGUUUGUGCCACAUCACAAUCCACAUGGGACUCCUAACAAGAAUUGAUGGAUAAACAUAUUUUAACAUUUAAUAGAGACCGUUUCAUGGCUAUAAUAUACAAAAAUUCCUUCAAUUUGGUUGCAUGAUGCAAUCAACCCAAUAUGCUUGAGAAACCAUAGAUAAUUCUUUGUAAAAUUUCAGCCUUUGCUGACCUACAAUUUUUAGUAAACAAUAAAAACCUAAGUGGACUCUUGCUUGAAUCUGGCCUAGUAACCUAGCACAGCAUUGAUUUGACAAAUGAAACUCAGCAAGCAAACUAUCUGCCUAGGAUUCAACAUCAUUGAAGAAACCAAAAGAACCUAUCAGUUAGAAUGCUAACAAACUAUAAUUAUCAAGAAUGACUCCAACACCAUUGAAGAAACAAAAAGAACCUAUCAGCUAGAAUGCUAACAAACUAUAAUUAUCAAGAAUGACUCCAACACUAUUGAAGAUACUAAAAGAACCUAUCAGCUAGAAGCUAACAAACAUUAAUGAUCAAGAAUGACUCCUAACAAAGACGAGGGACCCACCGUUCCUGCACUUGAGUAAUGUGAUCCAUAAUGAAAUUUAGGGAUGAGUGGAUCAUCGAAGCUGGCAUAUCUCUCUUGAAAUCUUUUCAGACGAUCUGGGUUCAGUGCACCAACAGGCUGAUCAUAUCAAAAGAUUAAAUUAUAAACUUAAAUAUAAAUAUAAAUUUAAUACACGUUUUUAUUUUAUCUGACUAAAGCAAUGGGGUACAUAACACCUUUGAAAGGUCUCGAAAAGAAGAAGGAUUAGAAAUAUCCAAGCUCUCUGAAUUGUAAUCAGAAAGAAUCCAGGGGAACACCGGAUACUGCCAAGAAUAGGUAAAAAUAAAUUUAAUGAAUAAAAAUGAAGGUAGGACUAAAAUACUUCAUGGAAGAGAGAGAGAGAGAGCACCUGGGUAAUAUCAUUAUAACUACGCCCAGCCAGUGUAUUGAGUUGCAUUAGAUAUUCAAAAUUGCUGAUCUGCACAAGGGAAGUAUAGAACUCAUACACGUAAGAAAUGUAUAUGCUAUUAUAAUACAAACUAUUUUCUUCAUUAAUUAAGGCUCAUACCUCCCACCUAGCCCAGCGCUCCAUAAGUUGAGUUCUUUUCAAAAGUUGAUCAGGUCUCUGCAACAACAAGGCAGUUCCCUUAGGUUUUUGAGCAUAACAUACACCCUAAAAACUAUACCAGAAAAUAAAAAAUAUAACAUGAACACAAAUGUAAAAUUGCAGAAAACAUCAAAAUAAAAAGCUGUAAACAUAAUCACAUAUACUUUUAUCGUAAGCAUGGAUAUAAAGAAAUUAAAACAAAUAAACAGUCAGAGAAACUGUAUUACCUGAGUAGCCAAAUAUAUAUUGUUUAAAUGGGGAGGUCGUGCUUGAACAAUUGAUCGAUAUGCAUUUCUUCGUCCUUCACUACUCUAAAGAGGAAUUGGCAGGGAAAAUGUAAGAGAGACAUAAAACCAUUAUCAAAUCUCCACCUAAUAGUUUAGGGUUUAGGGUAGAUCUUUCACGUUUUACAUAUUUAAGACCAACCAGUCACGAAUCAAUCCUUGUCAGAUACAUUCUUCAGAUUUAAAUCAAAUUUCAGCACAAGGUACAAUGGGCCUGUGCAUUACCCAAUCGUCAAGACCAAAAGGCUCUUGGAACAUAAAUAAAACUGUUCUUGAGCCUCCAAUAAUAGCUUAAGCUUUUAAGGAUGAAAAGGAUUAUGUGUACAAGAUUUAUCAAUCAUCAGUAAAGCGUUCAGAAUUAUAUCAGCAUUGAGAAUGAUCCUAAAACCAAAAGGACUUUUUCUUCUUUAAAAAUAGAGGGAAAGAAACUGGGAUAUACGAGAAACUAUACCCCAAAGUCAAAAAAGAAGUUUGAACGGUCCACCAUAAAUAGCUCCAGAGCACUUCUUCUAAGGAGAUAUCUGCAAAGGAACUAAGACUUUUAAACCACUAAUAGUGUGUAUUUUUUUUUUCUUUCAGAAUUUUUACAUUGCAUAUAAACAAUAACUUUGCACAAUAAUAAAAACAAUGACGCAAAUAUUUAAUGUAAUUAAGCAAAAAAACGGAAGAUGGUGCUUCAAAAGAGACAAGUAUUAAAUUCUCUCUAAACUACAGUACGUAAUACUAUAGAUGAAACUAAAACAGCUCAUAGACUAAUAUCAACUACAUCAAUGGUUCAAUGCACAUCCAACAUAUAACAAGGGCCAGCGAUCAACCAUCCACUCUGAAGAUUCAUAUUGAUCAAUCGAUCCCCGUGUCCUGCCAAUUCGCUGAGUAGACUCACUCUUACCAUACUCAAAAUGACAACACAAAAAUACAACAAAUGAAUGGAAUGGACAGUAAUACAAUCAAUAAAAUGAGCUCACCUCCGGCUAUAGAUUUGAUGAAGAGAAGACAUUAACCAGCUACGAUCCUUUUCUUGGUUACCUGCCUCAAAACUGAACUGCAGACCAUCUGUUGUGGCACUGGUCUCAUUGCUAUUUUUAUCGACUAUAAAAUUUAUCCUCCUACUGGUUACCUAUAACAAGAGUAUAGUGCUUUGCAUGAGUGAAACUAUCAUACCGAAGAAAAGAAAACUGUUGAAAUUAUCAAGUUUGGGAAGGGAUGGUGAAAGAGAACAAAGAAUGCACAUAAUAUGAUAUUAAAUUUAUAUGGUGUAUUGUAAUGCAAUCUAAAUCAGAGUAAAACUAUCGGAAACAAUCAUCUUUUCCAAGGUUGGAUCAGGAUCCCUUGGGAUAUGGGAUUUGUCAAAAUUUGUUUCUGUUUUAUUAUUAAAAAUAUCCCUCAAGUAUAGGGAUUUGAUUGUAUAUGAAUACUAAUAGGGAUUUAGUUAUAUAGGAGUACUAAUAGAGAUUUGGUUGUAUAGUAACCUAGUAUAUAUAUCUGAUGUAUUGUCAACAUAUUUCAAUUCAAUAAUUAUAUUUUACCAUAAUUGUGCGCACUUUUUUUAAAGAUAAAGGGAUGGUGGCACACUUAACAGAUGAACCCCACAAAGAAACAGAUCUCAAGUUUAAGAGUUGGGAUAAAGAGGAUUCUAUGAUCAUGGCGUGGUUAUGGGAUGUAAUGACCUCAUAAAUCAAUGACACUUGCAUGUUUCUCAGCACUGCGAAGAAGAUUUGGAAGGCAUCAGAAGAGACUUAUUCUAAAGCCAAAGAUGCUGCCCAUAUAUAUAUGAUGAAAGGUGAAAAUUGUGGCUGCUAAACAAGGAAACAAGACUGUUACGAAGUAUGCAAAUCAUCUCAAAGCUUUGUGGAUGGAGUUGGAUCAUUAUAGAAUUAUAAAAGCCAAGUGUUCAGCAGAUGCGGCAUUACUCAAGGAGUACUUAUGAACAGGAUAGAGUCUACGAUUUCUUGGUGGGGCUCAACUCUAAUUUUGAUCAAGUUAGAGUGCAAAUCCUUAGUAAGGAGAAAGUACCAGGAAUUAAUGAGGUGGUGGCUAGAGUGAAGAGUGAAGAAAGUAGAAGGGGACUAAUAUUGACGGUCUCACUUGUAGAAAGCUCAGCAAUGCUAGCUGGGAAGAAUUCAACUAUGAUGGUUGACCAAAAGAAAGGAGGAGGACCUUAUGUGGAGAAGAAAGGUGAAGGAGUGUGGUGUACCUAUUGCAACAAGCAUCUCCACACUCGUGAAAAAUGUAGGAAAUUGAAUGGAAACCACCUAGUAGAAAGUGGGGCUCUCAAAACCGAGACAAGGAGUGGGGAAGAAAGGGAGGUCAAGCACACAUAGCUACAAGUACUAGUGAAGAAAGUUGAGGUAGAAAAGUUGAGAUCCUUACUCACUAGUUUGGAAAAACCUGCAGGUACUUGUUCUUUAGCCUGUUCAGGUACAUUUCCAUUUUCUUUUGGACUUAAUGCUUCAAAUAUACCCUUUAACCAAUUUUGGAUACUGAAUUCUAGAGUCACAGACCACAUGACACUCUUACCUACACAUUUCUCCACUUAUUCACUUUGUCCUAGCAACAAGAAAAUAUCAAAUAACUGAAGUAGGUCAAGA